This 91199-nucleotide long non-coding RNA is filed under the name Lotus japonicus. Its description in RNAcentral is "long non-coding RNA (LJAP_LNC001193)". The stretch from base 82032 to 82235 matches the Rfam family "Bacterial small subunit ribosomal RNA", at positions 34 to 540 of the family's 1533-position model. The record is from RNAcentral. Lineage: Eukaryota; Viridiplantae; Streptophyta; Magnoliopsida; Fabales; Fabaceae.
AGUUGUCGAAGGCCUGGCUGGUGGUUUCGUGGUCGUAAGGGAAGGAGGAGGAGAAGAGGAGAGGCCAGGUGUGGUGGCUAGGGUUUUUGUUUUGACAAAAAGGGGAAGCGUGUCUCACUCUCCCUUUUCUCAUAUAUUUGUUAUUUUUUAUUUAUUUAUUUUUUUUGUCAAUUUUUUUUUUAAUUCAAUGUGGACUUACUCCUAUUGUGUGGCUGCCUUCUUUUUUUUAAAAAAAAUAUUUAGCCAUAAUAUUAAUUUGUCAUGGUUUCAUAUUUUAAAAUUCUUAAUUUUGUAAUUUUUUUGUUCUAUUUACAAAACUAAAACGUAAUUUUAAUAUUUACUUUUGUUAUUGAUGAUAAAUAUUUGAAUUAUUCUUACUAAAAAAUAUUUAACAAAUAUUUAUCUUUUUAUUUAAUCAAUGAUGAUUGAACUUAAUAAUACAUUUUUUUAGUAACUUAAAAAUACAUUUUUACAAACUAAAUAAUCACACUAUAUUAAUAUGUAUUAAAUUCAUUGUACUCUAAUCUUUUAUUUUUUUAAAAAUUCCAGGGAGCGUAUCAUUAUUAAUUACUACCUUGAGGUACAACACUCAUAGUCGAUUUAAAAUACCUCUAGAUGUUUUUGAAGAUAGUACGAGCUUAAUCAAGUAAAAUACUCAGCUUGCUCAAUUAAUAAUUCAAAUAGAUUUGAUUAUUUGGAAUGAAACACCUAUGACUAAAAGGUUGGCAUUUGAAUCCCUUGAUAGAACACUAAAAGACAUUGUUGGUUUCUUCAAGAUCUUUAUGUUUUCUAAAAGUAUGAUCGUUGACACUUCAUCAUCUGCUCAACUUAAUUUAUUGGCAUCUGAAUUCAACAAAUGGAUAUUGCAAAUGAUAAUAUAUAUAACUGAACAAGAGUUCAUGUAUCCGGUGAAGUUCUUGAAUUCUUUAAAUUUCAAUAAUACCCAAACCAUUGUUGCACCUUAAAGUAGGAAUGUCAAUUAUGCUACUCAGGAACAUCAAUCCAACCCUAGGAAUGUGCAAUGGAAUAAAACUAAUUAUUGUACAUCUAGGAGAAUAGAAAAUAGAGUCGCAAAUACUUCAGGAAGUAACACUGGUGCAAAAGUGCUUAUAACACAUAUAGUUUUUACCACAAAUAAUUCUAAAUGAUAUUUUAUGCUAAGAAGAAACAAUUUUCAAUAAAGUUUGUUACACCAUGACAAUUAACAAAAGCCAAAAUCAGUCAUUGAACUAUGGGAGAUUAUAUUUGCCAAGACAUAUAUGCUCUCAUGACCAAUUAUAUUUGCGUUGUUUAAAGUAAGAUUACCAAAGGGAUUGAAAUACUUAUUGUUGAGAAAGAUGAUACAUAUGCGUAAUAUACGAAAAAAUUUAGUGUACAAUGAAGUUUUUGAUGAACUUUCAUUUAAUAUUCUUACCUUUAUACAAAUUAAAAUAUCACAAUUUAAAAUUACAACUUAAAACAAAUCUGUGCAGCGCAUAGGUAAAAGAACCCAUACUUGAAUGCAUUGUACCAAACAUCACAUUUUCUUUGUAAUAAAUAUAUUACACAAUAAAAUUAACUUAUUGCUUAAAUUAAAUAUUUCAAAGUAAAUUAGCAAUUUUUUAUGUCAUUGGAUAAAUAAAUUUUUAAGUUGUUAAGAUUAUUUCUAUGCUAAUAAUUAUAUAAUUUGAGUACUAUUAAUUAUUUACACAAAAAAUAACUCUAAUUAUAUUUAUUGAAAUGUCUUAAUUAACACAAUUUUUUUAUAUUUAUAAUUAAAAUUAUUUUAAAUUUUAUUUAUUUAAACUAUAAUAAUUUAUAUAUAAUGUUCUAUAAUAUUGUAAGUAAACCCGUGCAACGCACGGGUAUAAUAUCUAGUAAAUAUGUAUUUCACAAUUUUCUCAUCUUUUAUUUAAGGAAAAUAAUAUUAACAAGGUUACUAAUGUUAAAUUAGUCAUGUCCUUAAAUGAUAACUCAACUUGUAAGAGCUACAGACAUAUGUGUUGAGGAGAGAAAUGUUCCAUGAUCAAUCUAGUGGGUGUAAUUUAUCUUUCUGAUAUAUAAAUAAAAUGGUCGAAUUGGUUUUUGAAUUUGUAAGCGAGUUUGAUUUUACUACCUCUGAAGAGUGGCGGUAAAAAACCGUCACUAAUUGUAAAAAUGACAGUCAUUAAACGUCAUUUUUCUCAGAUAGACUAAAAUCAAAUUCUUUUUCAAAUUCAGUGACUAAUUUGACCAUUAACACUAUUAACAACUAUUGAAUGACUGACUGUCUUCAUCAUGUUAUUAUGUUGUUGUUAGUAAAUUUUUUUUUGUUUUUUGUUUUGAAGCUUCUAAAUCAUUCUCACAAGAGGUUUGACUUCUAUUUUUUGUGUUCCUUUGAUAAAAGGCUUAAAUGCACUUUUGGACCCUCAUGUUUUAACUUUUUGCGAUUGUCAACCCCAUUUUUUUUUCUACGAAUGGGAACCCUAUUCUUUCAAAACGCUGCACCGUUUACCCUUCCGUCCAAAUCCGUAAAAAACUUGACGGAACACGCUGAUAUGGCCUUCCACGUGGAUAAAAGGGGAUUUAAAAAAAAUGACUUAAAUGCACUUGUGGACCCUCAUGUUUACAUUUUUUGCGAUUGUUGACCCUGAUCUUAUUUUUAGUAUGAAUGGAGACCCUAAUCUUUCAAAACGUUGCACCGUUUACCCUUCAGUCGGAAGGCUAGGUAAGUGGGUUCCAUCAAGUUUUUUAUGGAUUUGGACGGAAGGGUAAACGGUGCAACAUUUUGAAAGAUUAUGGUCUCCAUUCGUAGAAAAAUAAGAUCAGGGUCAACAAUCGCAAAAAAUAUAAACUUGGGGGUCCAAAAGUGCAUUUAAGCCCUGAUAAAAAGAUUAGGUGCAUUCUUUUUUUCAACAUUUUCUUAUUGAUAGAUUAGAAUUUAUGUUAGUUAAGAAGAGAUAUGAGUCUCAUUUUUUAUAUAGUGGAACUCAUGAAUUUGGACCAAUAUAAUUUGUCUGGUGUUAAAGUUCAACCAACGAGUGAAAGGGUAUUAAAAAUAAAGUGUUAAAGUGAAUGCUAUUAUCAUUCUUCUUCAUCUACUAAUGUAUUUUAUACGAGAUCUUGAAAAAUGAGAUUCUCCUUAGUUAAAUUAUUUAUUUUCUAAAAUUUGUCAAGUCUUUAAAGGCUACAUAUUAAGAGUAAUGAUGUGUUGGACAUACACACCAAAAAAACGUUGCAUAAAUCGUUACCUGAGUGUCACAUUGUUAUCAAUGUGAUAAUCGUAUAUGUGGUCCUUUGACCUGAAGUCAUUAUUAUUAUGUCAAUAUCAAAAUUUUGAAUUCGAGACAAUUAGAAGAAGAGGCAUGUGAUCAGAGGAUAAAGGGAUAAAAUGGUCAUUUUGAAGCUUACUUCUGAAAGAAAUCAAGCAAUGUUCAGACUUAGAUCCUCGGAGAUAUGGUAUAUUGUGCAAACUUCGACAAAGAUGAAAGCAUAACUAGGCUAAAUUAUGAUGUAUCAUGAUGGAAAUUCAGAAAAACCUUAGAUAUGAGGUCAAAGGCUCAUCUAAGAUACAUGAGAAUUCGAGAAAAGGUCUAGUUAAAGAGAUAGAGAAGACUCACACUUAGGAUAAGUUUUUCUCAAGUCCCAUAUAAUUAGUUAAUAUUGAAAGUUGAAUUCGAGGUAGAGGAACGAACAUGGAAUUUAAAGACUGAACCUAAGAAUGCCACGAUUGCAAAGCACAACCCCACGAUCACAUAGUCGCACACAUCAUAAGCCACGAACCCACAUUCUUUGCAGUUACGAAACUUAAAGGUUUAAGGGACGACUCGAGAUAGUAUGAAGAAUUUGAAGGUGAGAUGGAAGCUUUAGGGUUGUACUGGAUGAAUAACUUAGAUUAAACAAUUUCGUUUACUUUGAAAGGGUUUGAUAUCUAAUAUUAAACACUCUAAAAAUCUAUGUCUACUAUAUACGACACCAGCCAUACAUAGUUCAUGUAAAAAAUCUCAUUCCGCCUUUUUCAACUUUCUUUGUCAAUCGAAUUUGCAUUUUAGUUCAUUUUCUUCAUCAGUUAUUACUUUUUCUUUUGUUAACUUUUUGCUAUUCUCAAUUUCAACAUCACUUUGGUGUUGAACUAUUUGUUUGAACUUUGAGAUAUUGGUUAGCCGGAAUCAAGAUAUUCUAUCAUUUCGAAGUGUUCUCAAAGCUAGACCUAGCACCCACUCAACGCAUUUUACAUAGCUUGUAAACUACAGAACCUAAGGACCCACACCACAGGACGUAAUCCAAGUCCCAGAUUGCUCGUUGGGUCCAUUUAUUUGAAUGUGUAAUUUUCAAGGUAAACAGAUUCCUACAUGAGUAAUUAUAUGUUUUAAUGUCGUUAAACAUUACAUGUUACAAGGUAUAAAGCCGAUAAUUGAGUUUAGUAUGAAUUAUGCGAAGGAAUGUUAGUAAUGUAGAUGAGAUUUGUCUCUCAUAUUGAACACGAGUAAAUGUCUAUAGGCCAUUUGAUAGAGUUAACUUUGAAAUGCAUGGUCGGUGUUAGAAAGGGUCCAUAUGAGAUAUUUAUUUAUAGGAAUUUUCUCGGGUAUCAAGGAACAUAUAUUGAAUGUAAAUCGAUGGCACGUGAAUGCAUUGAGUUCAAUUAGAUAUAUGAACAAAGAGAUCAAUUAUAUGAAAUAAAAUUGUCACAUGAUAGGUUAUGUCAAAAUAAAGGCAUUCUUGAUACUUAAGUCAUAAUGAUGUAUUUUUAAAUACCACUCAUAAAUAUGUGAUAUUAAAUAUUUCUAAUCACUCUCAAGUGGAAGUGUGAGAUCGUUGAAAUAUGCACUAGGAGCUUGUUAUUAUUUACACCUGAAUAAGCAAGAAAACAUAUAGGACCAUAUGUAUAGAACUAUCCCACCGGAAAGUAUUAUAUUUUCUUAUUGGCCAUGUUCAUUGAAUAAGCCCAACUUCCUUAAGCAAUAGUGUUAAUUAAGGUUAGCCAUAUUGGGAGUGCUACAUUAAAUCUACCCCUUGCGUGCUUAUAAAUAUAGCAUAAAAUGUUCAAAACUGAGUUAGGCAAUUCAUUCAUACUUUCGUGUCUUCACUUGCACAAGAAUGUGCCAGGGUUUCUAGUUAGAGAGUAUAUGUGGAAUAUAGAUACGAGGUUGAUACUGCUUCAAACACCCAUGCCGCUAAGGUAUUCCUUAAUUUGUAUUCGCUUUUUAACUUUGAACCAUUAUAGUAAUAAGUAGGAAUUUAAGUAAGAUAGAAAUAACGAUGGGAUUGUAUAUCUGAGGGGCGAUGGUGUUCUCGCUUAAAAUAAUUUUAUCAAACUAUUUUACACAGUUAGAUAAGAAGGUUCUAUUUGAGUUAAAUUUGAAAUUUAUAACUUAGGUUUCUCAUCAUUAAAAUAAGGGAGAUUGUUAAGUCUAAAAGACAAGUACCUAAAAAUCACUUGGUAAGUUCUAAAGAUAAUAAGAAUAACGUUAUAAAUAUUUGAAUGAACAUGACUAAAGAUUGAGCUUUUAAAUUUCAAGAAGUACGACUUAAUGUUUGGUCAAACAAGGACAUCAUCUGCCUAGACUUGAGGAUAUCACUUACCAUUUACUAACAUUGUACGUGAGAUAUUAAAGGCAUCGCCUGUCACCAAGCAGGGCCGGCCCUGGGCCUGUGCAAGCAGGCCCACAGCCCAGGGCCUCCAAAAUGAAGGGGCCUCAAAAAAAAAAUUGAAUACUUUUUACAGCGUUUUUCUUAAAAAAGCGCUGUAAAUAGUCCAUCUUUUACAGCGCUUCAUACCGCUGUAUACUAUUUUACAGCGGUUAGAGGUCCGAAGCGCUGUAAAAGGCCUUUUUUUGGUUUAGUAUACCUAUUAAACUUUCUCUAAAAAAAAAUUUAGGGGUCCAUUUUUAUUAUUAACCCAGGGCCUCCAAAAUGUCGGGACCGGCCCUGUCACCAAGUGAAGACAAUGCCUAAGAGCAUCUCCAAUGGGGGUUGCUUAAAUCCCGUUAAACAACAACAACCAAACCUCCAUUUCUUCUCAAGUCUUGAUCUCCCACCACAAGAAGAGGAGCAAUAACCCGAAUUUUUUAGAAAAAAAAUCCAGAUUUUCAAAUCAAACCCGUCAACAUUAAGAUCCAUAACCAAAGCCAGAAAUCUCACCCAAACCCAGAAGAGACGNUUCUACUUGGGUUGCUUAAAUCCUAUGUGUCAGUCUGGACCCACCGAAAUAGUUUUUAAGCAACCCAACUAGCAACUAUGUAUUGGAGAUGCUUUAAGGUGACACUUGUCUUAGUAUGAAAAGGUGAGUUUUGUCUUAUCCCACAUUUCUUAAAUAGAAUGUCUACCUUUGCAAAGUCAAAACUGAAGCUUAUGCAAAAAAUGGAAUGCUCAUACAUAACCUUCGCCCAAGGUUACCAUUUUUUUGUCUAUUUUAUAGCAAAGGUCAAACAAAAGUUGAAGUGAAGAUUUAUUGAUUACACAAACAGUCCUUUAAAUUUAAUGUAGUACUUUCAUAUCAUUUAAAGAGUGAAACCCAAACCCUAAUAGUUAAAUUCAAGGGUCUAUAUAAAAAGAGAAGAUUGAAGACCAUAAAAAGUGCUUAUUCAUAAUUUAUGAGCAAACAAUCUUUUCAGGUUUUCACUUCCCUCAUUUGUCUUAAAGCCUAGCUAUAUGUAUACUUAAGGUCAAACACUUAGAGAAAACGCAAGCGUGUCAAAGUGCUUACAUCAUAAACACUAUCAAUUCUUAAGGAGAACACUUGACAGUUACUCACAUAUAUUACCAAUGAGAAUAAUACUUGAAGAGUGUGUUGCUACACUCUUGAACACAUUCAAUAUGAUUGAUCUAAUUUUUUAAAAUUCAACAAAUUUCUCCCACUUUAAAGAAAAAAUUGUUUUGAUUUUUUAUUAAAUUAAACCAAUUACAUUGACGGUUUGUUUGGUAGAGUACUUAUAGGAGAGAGAGAUAUUAACGAUGGAGUUGGUGAAGAGAGAUUGAAUUCAUACUCGUUUGGUUGACGCAAGAUGAUGAUAGAAAGAAUUGAAAUGGUGGGACCAUAAUGAUUUUUUCAAUCUUUUCCUUUUGUGCAGAGUUGAGAGUUGUCUAACACAUUCACGUGUCUUCCACGUUUAACGACACAUUUAACUAUAUUGUUAAGUUAAAAAAAAAACAUGUCUUUAUGUGGGAUAAAUUGAUUUUUUAACAUAAUUUUUUUCUCUUUCAUCCACCUCAUUUUUUCACUUUCCUUUCUCGUUUAUCCCUAUCAUAUUAAAUAAACUAUAAAAUUUACUCUAUUUUCUUAUCUCUGUCACUCUACUCAUCUUCUUUAUUUUCUCUUUCUCUCCUAAACCAAACAUACCGUGAGUGUGUUGAAGAGAAUGUGUUGCUAGCCUUUUUAACUUCUCUAAUCUUCAAAAUUUAACCCCAAUUGGAAAAACCAAGUUGGUAGAAUAGUUUGAUAUCAUUUCUCAGCAUGAUAAGAAACUGAAUAAGCGUGUCACAUAUUCAGGAUUUAGUUAGAUACUUGGCAUUGCGAUUAAGAAACAAGGAUCUAUAAAUAAAAUGUUAGUCUAGUUGCUAGUGUAGAAGUUAAUGCCGGCAAAGGGCUUAUCAUUUUGUUAAACAUUGAUUAGUGGAAGAGAAGAUAUUACUACCUCUUUCAUAAUUAAUUAGUCUACCGGCUAGUUUUUGUUUUGUUGCCUAAAAUCUUUCACUAUUUGUCAUUUCUACUUUCGAUUAUGACAGAGAAUAUUCUCAACUGAUGUUGCAAGUUAAAAAUGGAAUCAAAGCAAAGAAGCGUAUCAGACCUUCAACACGUUUCCUAUUUUGUACCAUGAUUUGAAUCCGGUUGUCCCUCAUUUACUGAACAAUGAUGCUUAAUCAUAGGCAAAAUUUGAUAACUCAUAGCUGUAUAUACAUUCUUAUAAGACCAUUGGUUUGUGGCAAGCUUCCUAUUUAUUAAAAGCUUACAGGAAACAUAUAAAAGCAUAGAAGUAGAUGCCAAAUGUCGAAAUCUAUUUCAUUUACUGUCCCAGAACACUUGCCGCAUAGUUUGAUGAUUUAUUAAAGUAUUUAUUGCUUCAGCAGUUCAGCUAUUUAGCCACACAAAAAAUAUCUACUGCAGUACUGCUUCAGCUACAUAAGAGCAUCUCCAAUGGAGUCCUUAUUUUGAGACUUUAAAAUAAGAUUCGAAUCUUAUUUUAAAGUCUCAAAAUAAGUUCCUACCAUUGAAGAUGCUCUAAGAUAAUGAUAUAUGACUUACUCGAAUGCUUGUGGAGGAUACUUUAUUAGACCAAAAAAUUUUAGAUAAUGAGAGUCAUGAUGAGAAGUAGGUUUCAUUGGCCUAAGCCAGUAAAGAAUCUAGACUCUGAAGCUUUAUUUUGUUUUGUCACUGCUUCAUUGACUUGGGACAUACUAAAGUGAAGAUGUGGGGACAAAGGACAGAAAGAAACUAAGGACUUCCUUCCUCUUAACGUUCCAAGAACUUAAUUAUGCUGAAAGAAAGGAAGUUGAUUCAGCUGGGCUUUAUUCCUUUCUCUCUAGUAUAUGUAGGGGGAGCUAUGACAUUGCUUUUAAAAUUAGAACUACAUCAGCCAUCUCUUCUUUGCCCCAGACCUGAAGUUCUUUAUCUUCAUUUUAUUUUCUGCAACUCACCAUGAGUAGCAUUAGCAAGUUGGGGGCAAUGCAACAACUGAUGAGAAGUGGAAAAACCAUGCCUGCAAAUGCAAUUUCUGAUGACAGCAUUUUGGUGAAGAAAAUAGUUUCAGAGCAUAAUCCUGAGGGAAUAGAAUAUGAAGUCAAGCCACUUCUCCAUAUUGUUGAGGACAUUCUUAAACGUUCCACCUUUGUCUCUGAAGGCGCUCCAACGGUAUGAUGCAAAUAGCUCAAAAACAUAGUACAUACAUAAGCAAUUGUAGUUUUGUUUUGAUUAAAAUGUAGAUUUGGCUGAGAUUACUAUCUUGUGGUUAACAUGUACUUUAUUUCAGGGUGCUCUUGCACAUGUUGACCAUGUCGAAGACAGAAAUCACUUUCCUGCCCACUCAAGCAUGUUGGAGGCUCUGUCUGUAAAGAUUGAUCGCAUUUCCUGUGAGGUAAUAGAAAAAUAACAUAGAACAUAGGUAAUCUAGACCAGAAUAUUCACAUCUUUGCUCUGUCUAAUUACAGAAACAUUGUGAUACUUCAUACCUUUGGACCAGCUGAUCUUCUCAAUCUAAUCAUUGAAACAUUGUGAUACCACAACUGAUAACAUGGCCUGCUAUAACUUAUAAAAAAGUUAACAUAUUUAGAGAUAUCGAGUUCUGAAUUUGUAAAAAGGAUAUCAGAAUAUCAACUGCAUGCUUACUUUUCCAUCAAUAUAACAAAUUAACAAUAUCAAUGCCAACAUGAAAUUUCAGAUUUCGUACAAGACUCUUAGUGGUGUAGAUGCACACUCCACAUCAGUUGCAAUAUUUGACAUGCUUACAAUCUACCAGUGGGAUGUGAAGUUGGUGCUGGCUUUAGCUUCUUUUGCUCUGACCUACGGUGAAUUCUGGCUGCUUGCCAAUAUUCACGAUACAAACCAACUCGCCAAAUCAAUGGCAAUUUUGAAGCAAUUGCCUGGUAUCAUGGAGCAUGUGAGCUCGCUGAAACCACGGUUUGAUACCCUUAAUGAUCUGAUUAGUGUGAUAUUAGAUGUGACCAGGUGCGUUGUAGAGUUCAAUGAUCUGCCAACUAAAUACAUCACACAAGACAUAUCAGCCUAUACCACUGCCUAUAAUCAUAUCCCUAUUGCUGCUUACUGGUGUGUUAGAAGUAUUGUGGCUUGCGCUGCUCAGAUCACUAGCCUCACUACACUUGGUUAUGAGUAUGUUUCUCCAGUCAUUUCUCAAAAUUUUCAUGUUUGUAAUUGUAACACACAUGCACUAAAGGUCAGAAUUUUAAAAUUCAUGAAUAAGUUACAGAGUAUCAUUACACCUAGCUGGUAAAUGGCAGGGAUUAAUGUGGCACACAAAUAAUAUAUCAACCUUGUUUCAGGAUCUUCACGUCCACUGAUGCAUGGGAGCUUUCCACGUUGGCUUUCAAGCUCAGAAACAUAGUAGAUCAUCUCAGGAAACUACUGGGAAGCUGCCACAAACACAUUGGUAAGCCACUUAAAUAUAUAUUCAAAUGGAAUAUAUGUAUGUGUAUGUGCACCUAUGUAUGUAAUGUGAAUAUUAGUAGAGCUAGAGAGGUAAGAUGAACUGAUCUUGACCAUUUAAUUAUAUAUUGAUAGUCAAGAUUGAUUUAAUCAAAUAUGAUAUUGAUUAUUCAUUUAUGCUGUAUAGUCACGAUUAAUGCCACUCAUGAGAGAAUGUUCAUGCUCUUACCAGUUAUGCUUUCUAAAUAUAUUGACACAGAGAUAGAUAGAUAUACUGAAAUGCUCUGAAUAAUUUAAGAUCACCAUUCAAUGUAGAGAAAAGGAUGGAUGUUGAAGCUUACGAUAUGCUACGUGAUUUAUUUUCGAGAGCCCACGUUGACAACAUGAAGGUUCUCAAGGCUCUGAUUUAUGCACAGGAAGAUAUUCUGCCUCUAUAUGAUGGUGUUUCCAAGAAAAGGGUUUGAUUUUCUGACAUAGUAAACCUACAUGAUGUAUUACUAUUAUUAUAAGUUAGUGAUGCUAAUGCUGAUACAAUUCAUGCAAACAAACAGGCUAGCCUGGAGCCGCUGAGAAGGAAGAAUGUUUUACUUCUAUUUUCAGGCCUGGAGUUCUCCACUGAUGAGUUUCUGAUUCUUGAACAAAUCUACAAUGAAUCAAAAGUUCAUACACCAAGAAUGGAGAGUAGAUAUGAGUUAGUUUGGAUCCCAAUUGUGGAUCCAAACUCUGAAUGGACAGCACAAAAGGAAAGUCAGUUUGAGGGCCUGCGAGUGACCUCGCCAUGGUACUCUGUGCAUCAUCCUUCAUUGAUAAGCAAGGCUGUCAUCUGGUUUGUCCAGAGUGAAUGGAAGUACAAGAAUAAGCCUAUUAUUGUGGUUUUGGACCCUCAAGGGAGGGUUUCUUGCCCUAAUGCUAUUCACAUGAUGUGGAUUUGGGGAAGCGCUGCCUUUCCGUUUACAAGUGCUAGAGAAGAAGCUCUGUGGAAGGAAGAGACCUGGAGACUUGAAUUGUUAGUGAAUGGCAUUGACUCAGAAAUAUUGAACUGGGUAAUCAUCUCAUCUGUUCUAGCAAUCAAAGACUUACUUAAUUAUGUAUUUCAGUAUGCUCUAACCACUAUUUAGUUACCAUAUUUAGACUAGCCUCAACCCAAAAGCACAGUGCAGCUAUUUUAGAUAAUUGUGCAGUUAAAACCAUCACAUAUGGACCAUUUAGUUCACAUGACUAGAUAGGAUACCUCAAAUUACAUAAUAGAAUGACACACAAUAGAUCUUCAAGAGUCUGCAUUUCCUUAAGCCCAACCCCCACCCCCCCAUUUCCAUUUAAAAUGAGUAGAUACCUCUCCCUCUCAAUCUCUCCUUCUAUUGAUAGGUAACAUGCCUGAUUUCUAAUAGGCACCUAACAUAUUCACAUCUGUCCCAGUUUUCCACAAUACAAAGAAUCACUGUGAUGUAAUUACAUCUUGGACUGCAGCCACAUGAUUAAGGAUAUUAACCUCGCACUUUAUUAGAUACAUAUCAAAAUACAUAGGAUUUGCACCUCCAUAUGCCCAUAGGUCCUAGUUUCUCUCAAGAUGACUAGAUACCUCUCUCACUCAAUUUCUUCUAUAUAUAGGCAACAAGUCUUUUUCUUCUAAAUAGCCAAGCAGACCAAACUAACUAUCUCACUACCAGACACCUAAUUAACAGACACUCCCCCAUUCACAUUUGUCCACAAAUUUUCAAAAUUUAAAGAAUCAUCACUUUAUCACAAUCGUGCCAGCAACCAUAAUUUAAAAGCAGAGGCAAUUUCACAUGCCCAAGGUUUUAAAUUACCGUGAUUGCAGCCAUUGAUCCACAACAUCGUGAUUUUGUAGCAUGUUUGGAUCGACUUCUCUUACACGAGAAUUGAUAUCAAUUCUGAAACUCAGAAGCUACCGUCUUCGGAAUCAACCGUAUAAGGGUUUCCAAGUAAUCUCUACAGCUGCAAUUGUGGUCAAAUCAAUCCCAAUUGUCCAUAAUUCCCCCCAAUGUAUCAUAAUCACCACCAUCAACUGCAAAUUUAAAAAGUUGUUCAUUCCAUUUUGCAAACUAAUCAAUUCUAAAAUUUCAAUUUCAUGAACAGAUCAAGGAAGGAAAGUACAUUUUCCUAUACGGCGGCAACGACGCCGAAUGGGUGAAAAAAUUCGUGAAAGAAGCCCGGAGAGUAGCACAGGCAACCCAAAUCCCCUUAGAAAUGGUCUACGUCGGAAAAAGCAACAAACGGGAACAAGUCCAGAAGGUGAUCGAAACCAUCGCCCGCGAGAAGCUCAACACACACUGCUGGUCAGAACAAAGCAUGAUCUGGUUCUUCUGGACCCGUCUCCAAAGCAGCUUCUCAGCUACGACAAGCUCGGAGGGUGGAUCGUGCUGGCGAGAGGGUCGCAGAUUGUGGUGAACGGGCACGCGUCUACGGGGUUGCAGACGCUGGUGGAGUAUGACUUGAUGUGGAAGGAUCCGGCGGAGAAGGAGGGGUUUGAGGCGGCGUUUAAGGACCAUUAGGAACAAGUCCAGAAGGUGAUCGAAACCAUCGCCCGCGAGAAGCUCAACACACACUGCUGGUCAGAACAAAGCAUGAUCUGGUUCUUCUGGACCCGUCUCCAAAGCAUGCUGUUCUCCAAGAUCCAGCUGAAGCAAUCAGACACAACGCAACACGACCACGUGAUGCAGGAGAUCAAGAAGCUUCUCAGCUACGACAAGCUCGGAGGGUGGAUCGUGCUGGCGAGAGGGUCGCAGAUUGUGGUGAACGGGCACGCGUCUACGGGGUUGCAGACGCUGGAGCUGCACACGGUGGCGAACCCGUGUUGUAGAUUUGAAUUCUCGCAUUCGAUGGGGAGGAUACCGGAGAGGCUCACGUGCCCGGAGUGCCACCGCCAUAUGCAUGUGUUGACGACGUUUCAGUGCUGCCAUGAUGAGGAUAUUGAGCAGGAUUUUUUUGUUAGCAGUGUUGCUCCUCCUACUUCCACCAUUUGAGUUGGGUUGCUCCUUUUCUAUGCUGCUGCUUCCACCCUGCAAUUGUGUUUUUCUUAUCAUAAUAAAAUGUUGAAGAGGUUGGUUGAAUUAUCAUGUAACUUGUUUUUCUGUAUUUGGCUCUUGUCUAUGAAAGCUAUUGGCAUUAAGAUUGUGGAUAUGCCUAGUCUUUUGAAUCAUCAUCAAUAAAGAUUUUUUUUUUUUUGAAAAUAUCAAUUAAAGUUACACCUAAUACAAAAUUGAGUUAAAGUUUUUAAUCUCCAUGGGUGAGUUUUGAUUUAGUCUCUCAUCGUAGAAGUAAUGUUGCAAAUAGGGGUGGGAAUAGAGCAAACCGUUCGUAGGGGCCCAUGGCCUAGCCUACCACAGGCACAGGCCAGACCAGACCAAAUUGGUAAAUAGGCAAGACUUAAGCUUUUUGAAAAGCCUAUUUAGUUAAAAAGGCUAGACUCAGGCCAUUUAAAAGGUCUUUUAAGCCUUAUAGACUAGCCUAUUUAAGUAAAAAUGAUUAGUAUUUUUCUGCUACAAUGUAAAUAUGAUUAGUAUAAAUAUAUUUUACCAUUGAUGAUGUCUAUAUAUUAGAAAUUUAUCAUAAUAUCUUGAUAUUAUAUACUUGAUAUUAUAUACUUAUUGACAUUUUUAUAUAUUUAAGCAAAUUGACUUAUUUAAUGACUCAAAGUUAUAAGUCUAUUUUGAAAUACAUAUAUAACGUAUUUAAAUACCUUAAUAUAAAGUGUGAUUUUAUACUGACUCUCCGACUCUAAGAAACCAACAUAAUCUCUCGUUUAGUUUCAUCUCUACCUAAUAGCUUAUAAUAUUAUGAGUCUGAUUGUUGAAAAAAUUAUUUUAGUAUAAUUUAACCCGUUAGUUUAUAAGUUUGAUAGCUUAUGUACAAAUAAGUUUGUUAGCAAACGUAAAACUCUUGUUAUGAAACAUGCCUUUAAAUAGGCUGCCAGGCCAGGCCAGGCUUUCGAGAAGGCCAGGUCAGGCUCGAAAAAAAACCUUUGACAGGCCACAGGCCAGACUCAGGUCUUAAGAUUUUAAACAGGUUAGGCCUAUUCACGCAAAACCUACCUAGGCUCAGCCUAUUCCCACCCCUAGUUGCAAAAACCAAAAGCAUUAAUGCAUUUAGAAAAAAAAGGGUUUUAUUGGUUACUGCUCGUCCUGAACCGCAGUUUGGUGCUCUAAGAUCCCGCCAUCGUUAGUUUGGUUUUCUUGGUUACUUAAACAUUGGUUCCUUGACAAUAGAUUUUGGUUUUGCUACAUUGGCUUGUUGAUCGAGCUUUCGUGUCGUAAUGUGGUGGCUUGAAUUGUGCUAUUGGAUUUGUCACAUAAGUGCCCUAAUGUAGGGGGUUGUUCAUACACCCGCUUACCUUGUCCUCCUCUUACACUUGUGAAUUAUUGGUGUGCACAUGGUUGAGAUAGCUCUCAUACAACUUUAGUACCUUUAGGCAUUGACUUCGUCAGAUUAUUUUCCCCAACAAACAUAGCAUUAUGGGGACUAUAGUACAAUAAAGACAGAUUGAGGCUCUUUGGGGGCUCAAAUCUUUGAGCCGAUUGUACAUAACCAUAUUGCAGAUCCAUGUUACAAGUAGUUUAAAUAGCGACUAUAAGUUCACCUAAAACUGAUCAGCAAAAUCAUGUUUCAAGUCUUUUAAAUAAUGACUAUAAAUCUAAGUAGUUCAAUAUAGUUUGAUGUAUGCUUAGUUUAUAAGAAGGAAAAAUCACGUAUGGCUUAGGUUUGUUGAUUCUUUUUGCGCGUUCACGUAUCUAUUGACUAUAGUAUGAUUCUUAGAAUUUGCAUGACAAUUAGAAGUUGAUGUAAAUCUAGUUUAUGAGAGUAACCACCUUCACAUCAGUCAUCGAAAGACUUAUCUUAGACUAGGUUAAGGUUUUCUAAGUGACAAUAGGAGAUGCUCACCCUUAGAGAUGAAUAUCUUGAGUAAGGAAUGAGAUCCAAACCGAAUGACUAGUCGAGAUCUUCACCACUAUCAUGAGUAGGGACCGAUUCAUAGUCGGCCAAACAGUAAAUGAGGCCUAAAGCAAAAUUUAAAAGUGAGGUUUUUUUACUUAAAAAAAUGUACGUGAUUUUCUUUUUAUUUAAAUUUUUUUUCGAGUUUUUUUCAGAUCAAAUUUCCGGCGGACUGCUAUGCAUAUCCCCUAAGCCGGUAUUGCCCCCAAGGUUUACGCAACCGAUGAUCUAACUUGUGCACUCAAGGUAGAGCACCUUGAAACUUUCGCAGAUCAAUUGCCUAGAAAUAUCAGGUAGGAAAAUGAUGAAAGAUUAUAGCAAAACAUUACAAAAUGUAUGAGAGGAUGUUUUGUGUUCAGUACCUAGGAGGCUAUAACCUUUGCUGCCAUCACCUUAUAUAAUAUAACAGAGAAUGAAAAUUGGAAAUCAAAUACAAUUUUUUUAAACUUAUAAUAUUACCAUAAGUCAUCAAAUACACCAUCAAUGCAAAACGUUUUUUUUUUGAAACUAAUGCAUAACGUUAAUAUCAUCGAUGACCAUGAGAAGUGGAAAUCAACACAAUUAAGGGGUCAACAAAUUGUGUUUGUCGAGUAGGUGAAAAAGGAAAGAAGCGUAAUUCUGAUUAAUAUACUAUAAAUGCUUGGUUUUUUGGGGUCUUUUUGACUUAGUAAAAAAAAUUUGGACCUAAAGUCCUUACUUGGGUGGCUUUGGCCUUGGGCCGACCCUAGACUGAUUAUGGUUUCUUGAGUGACGAUCAAAGUAUCUAUCAAACUAGGAUAUGAACUUCUUGGGUUACGAAUAGAGCUUGAGAAUGUCUCAUCGAGUAGGUUUGUGCUAUAAUACUCCUUUUACGAUCACUAAGACUUAAGACAUUAAGGCUAGGAUUUCAACGGGAAGAUUUCUUGACUAAGGCAUUCGUAACUAAUAGUUCUUGGAAAAUCUGAUUUCUCAUUUUUCUAAUUGGGGAUGGUUUCCAAGAUAAUUUCGAUACUUCACCACUGUUGAAUGUUGAUCAAUGCCAUUUUGUUCUUUCUUGUUUAGAUGAUCAGAAAGUUGCAGACUCUUGCUUCUGAUGAAUGAAAUGGUGGAUGGGGUUGUCUCAAUAAGGCACUUUUCAUCUGAAUCACUGUUCUAAAUAGUAGAAACAUCAUCUAUUUGUUAUUCAAUGUUGCAGAAUUUUGAUGUUCAUUGCAGCUAAAAAAAUUAUUGUGCAUAGUCAAGUGAUCAUAAAAGAAUGUUAUAAUCUUUCAAUGUGUUGAAAUUGACACAAACUUCAGGAAGUUUCCAAUAAGAUUUAUAACAUGCUGAUGCUAGUAUGAGUAUCCAUAGGGAUAUUUCACUAUCAUGUAAAGUCUAGCAACUCUCUAGAAUGUACUAAUGAUAAAUAAUGUUUACCGACAUUAUGAAGUUGGUUAUGAUGAGCCUAUAAAAGGGUAUAGGGUUUAGCCUCUCUUUCUUCAUAAUUGGGUGUGUUAAUCAUUAAUUUAGUAGAAACUGUGGUAUGUACCUACAUGAUGGAAUUAUGCACUAGUAGACAGCCAUUGCUUUUUUGUUGUUUCUGAUUCCUAAUUUAUUUUUUAUUGUCAGUUAUUCUUGUUACAUAGGGGAGCUAUGAAUAUCCUAAACUUGCUGACAGGUGAACUUCUUUUGUUUAUUUACAACUCAGGAUUUCUAUUCAGAGGGAAACAAACUCAUUUGGAGUUAGAAUUAGCACAAGGUACCCUUCUCUCUCUUAGCUAUGGUUGUAUUGUCUCCCGCCUAUUUCUUUUUGUAUUGUCCUUGUCUUUAAGGUAGCUAAUGUCAAUGCAUUUGAAUUGAUUGGCCUUAUUUAAUUAGUCAAAAUUUAGCAGAAAUUUGUUUCCAUGGAAUACUGAGAAGUUAGAUACAUUUAUAUUUCUUCUAUUCAUUGUUGUUUUAUAUCAUUUCAUUAUAUUGUGAAUUCUGGAUACGAUUAAUUCAUGUUUUUCUUUCAGGGAGAGAAACUGGGAAAUCGUCUUCAAGCUUCAGCAUGCUGCAAACACUUGACUGCCUGUGCUUUCAAUAAUUGGGAGGGUACUGUGGACCACUUUGCCUUCGAAGUGAAGCUCGUAUAAGUAUGUAAACUAUCCUAUGGAAAAUGAUCUAUGAUUUUUGAGCAAUUACUAAUUGACAAAAUAUAGAAGCUAAUCUAUGAUAUUAACUUGUGUGAUCAGAUUCUUUGCCAUCUUUAAAUUUUGCAAUCUACUUUUUCUUACAUGAAUUAGUAAUAUUUAUCCUAUGAUUUUGAUGCUUUAUGCUAAAUUUAUUCUUUUGUUUUCUGUUAAUUAAUUACUACUAGAAUUGGAUAGGGUAAGUGUUCUUUUUAAAUGUGGUACUUAUUUUGGCAAUAAGAAGAGCGAUUCUUGGGGAUCUGUAACUCCCAAAUCUGAGAAGUAAAUGAAGUAUCUCAGCUAAGGAAGGUUAAAAAGCACACUAAAUAGUGUCGGGUACAAGGGGUUGCUUAAAAACGCCGCUGAAUGCUUGCAGUUGAAAGUAACUGCAUGAUUUUUGAAACCACUGGUAAUUAACUUCAGAGGUUAGAAACCACACUAAACGUAGAAAAACAUGUGUUGUCUGUAUUAAUGUAUUAGGUUCACCUCAUAUUAGAUGUAUUAGGUUCACCUCGUAAUAACAUACAGUAAGAAAUGUACUGAUUGACUUAGAUCAGCAACUUUGUGCUAUAAUACUCCUUUUACGAUCACUAAGACUUAAGACAUUAAGGCUAGGAUUUCAACGGGAAGAUUUCUUGACUAAGGCAUUCGUAACUAAUAGUUCAUAUCAGUAUCUUAAAAGUUAUUACACCUUAUAUGAUUUUGUAAAAACUCAAACUUUGCCUAGUUUUUUAAUGGUUAUUUAGUUUUAAUAAAAAGUAGAAGAUUUUAAAAGACACAAAAAUGAUAAAAAUCUAAAAAUAUACAAAAUAGUUUAUUUCACUCAAGGUUUUCUUAAAUUUUAUUUUAUUCGUGCUUAAUUAAUCUUUUGAGUUGAAGUUUAGAUAUUGAUCAUUAUCUAAUAAAAAAAGGAAGCAAAUGAAGCCGCGCACACAAAAAUAGAAAAUGGCCCAGUUGUCAAAGGAAAAACAAAAAUUAUCAACUAAAGGCGCAAGUAAGAGAGACCAACUCUACCCGAGUUCCCCUUCCUAAAUAAGAAAAAUCCUAUUCCUAAGGGGAGAAGACUGGGCAGCCAACAAACUCGCUCUCCCAUUGAAACAUUCCCUCACUCUCCUAAAAAAGAGGCAUCAGCCUUUCUCUCCUUCUCUCAUCCAUAAAUUCGCCUCUCACCCACCUUACAAAAUCCUGACUCUCAUGGCUUAUACCGUCACUUCUUCUCCUUCUUCCCCAACUGCAUGCCACGUGACCAACCACCACGCUGCCAUCGUCCGCGCCACUAUAUCAGAAUCACCUUUGAUCAGGUCAUCUCUUACUGUGUCUGCUUCACAUGUUUUUUUGUGUGUCCUUACUUGUUUUUUUUUUUUGAAACUUUCCUUACUUGUUAUUAAUUAGUCACGUUGAUUUUGCUUGCUGGACCAACUAAUGAAUAAUGAUAAUGAUAUAAUGAAUAAGGAAUGAACAAUUGAUAAAAUCAAAUGGAAAAUUGAUGAGUCAUGAUUCUUAUUGAUUGAGUCGUGAAGUAUUACCCCUUUUAUUUGACAAUAUUCCUUGAUUGAGUAGUUAUAGUUAUGAUUAUGACCUUAUGGGUGUUUUGCUUCUUUAAAUUAUGAUCACUUCUUUUUCUGUUAAUUUUGAUCAAAUAAAAAAUUAAAUGCACUUGAUACGGUGGCGUUUAAUGCCUUGCCUUGCUUUGUUGUUCUUUAAUUAGUAAUUACAAUAUCCAUGCACUUCUAUCUUUUGCAAAUGGGUUUAGAUACUUAUUGGUUUUGUAGCUGAGUAGAACACAUUGAAUUAUCUACGCAUGUUUUAUGUUAGUUAAAUUUAUUGCUCUUUUUAGUUCUACCUUAAUGAUUACUUUUUUUAAAACUAAAAUUAGUGAUAAUCAUUAAGAAUUCAUUUGGUUUUUGGUUUUGAUGUGCUUAGCAUGAUCGAGGCUUUCUCAGUGUCUGGAUCGGACAUUGAAAUUGAAAUAUUAGCCUUCGAUAUACACAUACAUAUUGUUGCCAUUCAAUAUUCACAAUGUUGUUUAGCGUGGGUUAUACUUAUACAUGAACAUGCUUACAUGCAUGCUGUAAGAUGGCAGGCUUGUUGAGGUUCAUAGAAUAUACACAUAUAUUCUGUGCACAUCUUUGUCUACAACUCGUCUUUUUAGAGGAUUUUUCAUCGAUCUUCCUCCAUAUGUGAAGAAUCGUCCUUUCAAAUAGAACAAAAUAAUUAAAUGGGUUAUUAAGAAAAAUUAAAUAUAAUAUAGAACUACAAAUCACGGGUCAUAAAGAAAUUUAUGGGCUAUUUAAUUAUUGUUUUGUAAAUAAUUUCUUAGUUUUUUAAAAAGGAAGACACACUAUUUUUUUUAAAAAAUGGCACUAAAAAAAUAAUUAUUUUAAAUAUUAAAAACUAAAUCCAAAACAUCUUAGGAAUACUUUCUGUUUUAGUUUCUAGUUUUCAAUUCACAUGAAUUGAACUUUGUAAAAUAACAUUAUCAAAGAUGUUUUUUUUAAAAAAUAUUUGAAAAGAGUUUUUUUAAAUUGUUUAUGGAAAUAGUUUAUAUUCAUAAAACUGAGAAAAUAAUUAAAUGAGCUCUUAGUUUCUGUGGAAGAAGAAAACAUGUGGGAUGAUGGGAAGUCAUAGUGGCGAAGCCCGCUCCAUAGUUUAAAUACAAAUGUGCUCUAAAAUAGAUCUUAUUGUAACUGUUAUACUCAUAUGAAUUAAUGUCCCAAAAGUUUUUCCAUUAAGAAUCCUGGAUAUGUUAUAUUUUGCACCAGUAGAGUCAUAUGUGUCGGUACUAAUAAAUGGAAAGUUUCUGCCAUCAUAGAAAUUAUUCCAAUUUGGAACAACAGCAUAUGAGAAUAGAAAAAAUUCAAUCAGUACGUUAACUAUAGUUGACCCAGGAGCAACAAGAGGACUAUAAUUAAGGUAUUGAUUGGAUUUUUCUUGGUCUCAUGUGUUAUUGUUCCAAUUGCUUAUUGGAAUAAUUUCUAUGAUGACAGAAAAUUUCCCUUUAUUAGUACCGACACAUAUGACUCCAGUGGUGCAGAAUAUAACAUGUCCAUGAUUUGUAAUGGACUUCUGAGAUUAAUUUGGAUGAAUACAACAGUUACAAUAAGAUCUAUUUGAGCAACACAUUUGUAUUUAACUAUGGAGCGGAUGAUACGCUAUCCGCAAGUAUACGGUACGCUCGAAGAAAUAAAAAAGAUUGUCUAGCCACAGGGAUUGGGGAAACACCAAUUCACACAAGCAAGAGUUGUUAAUUAGAACACAAGGAAGUAAAGACAAUUUAUAAAUUUAAUUGGUAGAGAGCUUAGUUUUCAGAGUCAAAGAAAAAAUUAUGUUAACAGCAAGCACUUGAGUUUAGCUUCACCAAAACAAGUUAUGCUUUAGAUAAAAGAGCUAGAGUAUAUGAAAUUUCAUGGAGUCCAUUCUACGGUUGAUCUAGCCUAGUUCUUUAAGUGUUGAUUCCUCAAGUCAGGUACGACUUUCAAUUAAAUUCCUUUGAGCCAAUUGCACAUAAUCAUAUUGCAAAUCCAUGUUACAAGUAGUUUUUUGGGUGCUCUAACACACAAGCACAUAAUUUCAGCCCUGCUAAUCAAUCAAUUCAAAGUCAGUUGUAUAUUUACAAGAAUAAGAAAGACUUCAAAAAGGUUAUAACUUUGGCUAAGGCAUAGGUAGUGGACUAGGCAAGUCCUAACAAGCGAAGGACCCUUUAUAAGACGGAUCACCCAUCUUAACAAUGGGCUCAGGCUUAUUGAUUUAUUAGCAUUUGGAAUUGUGUCUUGAAUGUAAGGCCCAAUUCCUCACUCUCCUUAGGGUUUCAGGCCCCUCCCACUACAAAAGGGGGGUCAUUUAUUGUACUGCCGACUUUUUACUCAUUCUAUGAUAUAGUACAAUUUACCAUGAUCAUAGUUUUGUAGCAUGUUUGGAUAGUCUUCUUUUUCAUCAAUUUUGAAAUCUAAGAGCUACUCACAUCACAUAAGCUUCUCCACAUAAUUAAUUCUGGCAUCAAAAUCAACUGUAAAAGGAUUUCCAAGUGAUCUACAGCUGCAAUUGUGGUUACAUCAAAUCCCAAUUGUCCAUAAUCCCCCCCCUCCUCGAAUGUGUCAUAUAUAAGCUCCACCAUCAACUGCAAAUUUAAAAUGUUGUUUAAGCCAUUUGAUAAUAUUUGGACAGAAAUGAGUAGAAAAUUAUUCAAGAAAAUAGUUGAAAAUGGGUAGAAGGUUGUGUAAUGUCGUGGGAAAUGGAUGCUAAGGCACUAGUUAGAGAGGAAGUGGCUUUAUUAGUUUGCAGUGAUUCAAUUACAAAGUCUGAAGGCCUAUUUAUAGGCUCUUCAUAACCGACUAUACAAUGUCGCUAAACAUUUUUAAUUAUUUACAUACUUCUAGAUAGUUUCUAGACUUUACAAGAGAUUUUAAUGUCUAGAUUUUUCUAAUCCUAUAUGAUGGUGUCAUGUAGAAAUUUCUAGAAAUUUGCAGCAAUUUUAACACUCCUCCUUGAUGCAAAUUUCUCCAACUCCAAGCAUGUUACGCAGCUCUUCAAAUCUUGGUCUCGGUAACGCCUUUGUGAAUAUAUCUGCGAUUUGAUCUUCAGUCCUACAGUACUUGAGUUGUAUCUCUUUUGUUGUCUCAGCUUCUCUGAUGAAGUGAUAUUUGAUUGCUAUGUGCUUUGUUCUGCUGUGAUGCACCGGAUUCUUCACCAUAUCAAUAGCUGAUUUGUUGUCACAAUAGAGUAUAGUAGGCCCAUCUUGUUUUUCUCCCAUAUCUUCAAGUAUUCUCCGUAGCUAUAUCGCUUGACUUGUUGCUUCAGCCGCUGCCCCAUACUCUNNNNNNNNNNNNNNNNNNNNNNNNNNNNNNNNNNNNNNNNNNNNNNNNNNNNNNNNNNNNNNNNNNNNNNNNNNNNNNNNNNNNNNNNNNNNNNNNNNNNNNNNNNNNNNNNNNNNNNNNNNNNNNNNNNNNNNNNNNNNNNNNNNNNNNNNNNNNNNNNNNNNNNNNNNNNNNNNNNNNNNNNNNNNNNNNNNNNNNNNNNNNNNNNNNNNNNNNNNNNNNNNNNNNNNNNNNNNNNNNNNNNNNNNNNNNNNNNNNNNNNNNNNNNNNNNNNNNNNNNNNNNNNNNNNNNNNNUAUAUUUCUUUUGUGAGAUAAAUAUUCCAUCAUUUCUCUGACUUACCUCUAUACCGAGGAAGUAAUUCAUCAAGCCAAGAUCAGUCAUCUCGAAGGUCUUCAUCAUGUCUUCUUUGAACUCCAUCAUCAUUUUAAUAUUGUUUCCUGUGUAGAUAAGAUCAUCUACGUACAAGGAGAGUAAGAGAGUAUGCGCUCCUCCUGAAUACUCGAUCGAUGAAGUACUGAUCAAUCCGACUAUACCAUGCUCGAGGAGCUUGCUUCAAGCCAUAGAGAGCUUUUCUAAGUCUUAGCACUUUGCUUUCAUUUCCUUCGCACACGAACCCUUGUGGUUGCUCCACAUAGAUCUCUUCUUCGAGUACACCAUUGAGGAUGGCUGAUUUGACAUCUAGUUGAUGAAUGCUCCAACCUUUUUGUGCUGCAAGAGCUAUUAGAGCUCUUAUCGUAUCAAGAUGAGCUACUGGUGCAAAUGUCUCAUUAUAGUCGAUGCCAGGUUGUUGUGAGUAACCUUUCACUACUAGCCUCACCUUGUGCUUCUGUAUAGUGCCAUCAGGGUUGAGCUUUGUCUUGUAGACCCACUUAACCCCAAUGAUGUCUUUUCCAUGUGGGCAAUCUACUAACUCCCAUGUGUUGUUUUUCUCUAUCAUCUUUAUUUCUUCUUCCAUUGCCUUGACCCAUACUUCUUGCUUUGAUGCUUCUUCAAAGCUUUCAGGCUCAAGUAUGGCCAAGUUGCAGGUUUCAUAUACAUCCACUAAAGAUCUUACUCUUAUGGGAGUAGACUCUGGUGAUGAAUCUUGUUGNNNNNNNNNNNNNNNNNNNNNNNNNNNNNNNNNNNNNNNNNNNNNNNNNNNNNNNNNNNNNNNNNNNNNNNNNNNNNNNNNNNNNNNNNNNNNNNNNNNNNNNNNNNNNNNNNNNNNNNNNNNNNNNNNNNNNNNNNNNNNNNNNNNNNNNNNNNNNNNNNNNNNNNNNNNNNNNNNNNNNNNNNNNNNNNNNNNNNNNNNNNNNNNNNNNNNNNNNNNNNNNNNNNNNNNNNNNNNNNNNNNNNNNNNNNNNNNNNNNNNNNNNNNNNNNNNNNNNNNNNNNNNNNNNNNNNNNNNNNNNNNNNNNNNNNNNNNNNNNNNNNNNNNNNNNNNNNNNNNNNNNNNNNNNNNNNNNNNNNNNNNNNNNNNNNNNNNNNNNNNNNNNNNNNNNNNNNNNNNNNNNNNNNNNNNNNNNNNNNNNNNNNNNNNNNNNNNNNNNNNNNNNNNNNNNNNNNNNNNNNNNNNNNNNNNNNNNNNNNNNNNNNNNNNNNNNNNNNNNNNNNNNNNNNNNNNNNNNNNNNNNNNNNNNNNNNNNNNNNNNNNNNNNNNNNNNNNNNNNNNNNNNNNNNNNNNNNNNNNNNNNNNNNNNNNNNNNNNNNNNNNNNNNNNNNNNNNNNNNNNNNNNNNNNNNNNNNNNNNNNNNNNNNNNNNNNNNNNNNNNNNNNNNNNNNNNNNNNNNNNNNNNNNNNNNNNNNNNNNNNNNNNNNNNNNNNNNNNNNNNNNNNNNNNNNNNNNNNNNNNNNNNNNNNNNNNNNNNNNNNNNNNNNNNNNNNNNNNNNNNNNNNNNNNNNNNNNNNNNNNNNNNNNNNNNNNNNNNNNNNNNNNNNNNNNNNNNNNNNNNNNNNNNNNNNNNNNNNNNNNNNNNNNNNNNNNNNNNNNNNNNNNNNNNNNNNNNNNNNNNNNNNNNNNNNNNNNNNNNNNNNNNNNNNNNNNNNNNNNNNNNNNNNNNNNNNNNNNNNNNNNNNNNNNNNNNNNNNNNNNNNNNNNNNNNNNNNNNNNNCUAGAAAAUUCAAUAUGUUCUGCUCUUUGACUUCAGCUCGGCUCUUCCUGGAUGAUACAAAAGACUGCGGUGCCCAACCUGCACAUUCAUUCAUAAAGUUAACACUCACCACUUGCAAAAACUAAAAUGCAUAGCAGGAGCAUUAUAAUUCCCUGAUGAACUUAUACCUUCCUUUGAGCCCACUGUAUUAUAGUAACAAACCAUCUUUGCUUUUCCCUGGUUAAACUAACCCUGGUUAAACUAUUUCUUUGCUUUUCGUAGGCCAAACCAUUGAAUGAUUUUUGCUAAUUGAUUUACUAAUACUGUGUAGACAUAUGACCAUAGUUGAAAUAUCUACACCGUAUAGAAGAAAAUAUCUUCACUGAUAAGAUGGUGUUGUUGUAUGAUGUUCGGUACAGUUAGCAUAUUAGCUACUUAUAUAUUUAUCAUAUUAAUAAACUACCUUCUCAAGCACAUUAAUCUCUAUCAAAUGAAAGUAAAUGACAGUACAAAACUUCCUUUGGUUUUUAGUUAUCCCUCGAUGAAACUUGAGACUCUUAAAAUCUAAUUUAUGCAUGUAAACAAAAAAGAUGCAAGAAAAUAGGCAGCAGAAAGGAGAAGACGCAAAAGAGAUAGCACCAAAAAUGUUACUCACCUGUAAUCUUUAUCAAUAUCCCAAAAGCUCCUUGCUGCAAUUUUUGAUAUCGCAGAAGGCAUAAUUGGGAAAAUAAAAUUUGGGAGGACCCAAAAGCUCAUGUCUGAUGUCAAGAAAGAGAGAUUGGUUAAAAUCCUAAACAUAAGUUUUCUAAAAUGUCAUAUGAAUUAAUUCCAAUAGAGCAUGAUCAGUGCAUAUGAGUACCCUUUAAAUAGUAUAAGGGGAAUCUAGUCCAUCACUAAUUGUAGUGAAGAGCCAGUAAGACAUUUAAGUAAUAAACUCACUCAUUAUAUAAAUAAACCAAAAGUAAAUAAAACAAAAAAUUAAGGAUAUCUUAACUAUAUAGCAAUUGAAAUUUCAAGUGGAGUGUAGACUGGAAAUUGAACUACCCAACAAAUUGAUAAAACUUAUCUAUGUAGCAUCUUCAGUUUCAAACACAUCCCAAUGGAGGCUCUAAAAUAAUUUCCUAACAUGUAUUAUGAAUUUUGAGGAACUGACCCUACAAAGAACCAAAGGAAUGUUGUGCCUCUUGAUAUUAACCGUUUCAUGGCUUAUAACCAACAAUAGCAAUUGAAUAUAACAGAAUCAAGGUAAAGAGAAUUAUUGUAUCUUCAUAUGGGAACCCUCAGUCCACCUUAUUAGAUUCCCAGGUGCACUUGCUUUGUUUGCUUCACUGGGAAUGAGAACGUAAAACCCAGCCAAGAUAUGUCUUCCUCGGGGUGGAUGAAAACCUUUAGGUUCUGAAUCAACAAACUUUGCAAGAGCUGCUACUACAAAAUCAAAUGGUCCCUAAAAUAAACCGAAUGAAUGUAUAUCAGAGUGUAGGCAAGCUUAAUACUCUGAUAGAUUUUCCCUUAACAAACUUACCUUUGGAGUACCGGUGAUGGGGUUCAAGUCAAAACUGCAGCAGAAAAUAGAGGCUAAUCGGUGUUGGGUUUUGGGUACUUCGCCAUUGACUUUGCUACAUGUUGGUGGUAUUUGUCUAUGUAUGUAUGUAUCUGGUUGCAUCCGAAAUCAAAUCAGGUGGUGAUGCAAGGAACCUGCAAAUCAUGCCAAAAUCAAACAAUAAUUCCACACUUCAACUUGUUCAAUUUUUGGGAGAAUUUUCAGUGCUCAAAUUUAAUUUAAUGAUAUGCAUUAAUUAAUUGGAUGUUGAAGAUUUCAACACGCGAGUCUUCUUCUCCUUCUAAUUUUGUAUUUUUAAAUCAAUUUCUUAAACGAAUUUAUGAUGUAAAAUCCAACGAAUAAUGUUGAAACCACCAUGAAACUAUAGAGCAGCAAAAGAAAUAUUGUAGAAGAGAUGAAACCAAUGAGCAUAAAAUUCGUACCUGAUGAAAUGCCCUAAAUUAUUCUUGUAAGCAGUAUGAGAGAUGCCAUUGAGAGAACAACCAUGAGAGAUGCGAUUAAAGGUCGAAGGAAUUGGAAGGUCUAGGGGAUGAAAUCAAUGAUCGUGAGACUGGAAGGUCGAGGGUGGAUAUGCGAUGUUUGCAUCAGAGUAGGCUAUGAGAGAUGCGAUUGAAGCGAAGAAUGGUUAGAAUAUGGAUGAGAGGGGAAAAAAGGGAAAUCUGGAAGCCCUUUAGGUUUCGAUUCAAGGGCUUAUGAAUCUGUAAAUCGCAGACGAAACGCGUUUAGAAUAAAUGAGAUUAAGGAGAGAUGAGUGAAGGAUAAGGAGAAAGGUNNNNNNNNNNNNNNNNNNNNNNNNNNNNNNNNNNNNNNNNNNNNNNNNNNNNNNNNNNNNNNNNNNNNNNNNNNNGGGUAUCUAUUACCAUUGGAGUACAUAUUCAAUCACAAGCCAAUCUACACAAGCAGUGUAACGCCCUAAUUUCUCAACCGAGGAGUCACAUUAGGAACCUAUCAAAGUCUAAAGAGAAAGGAUAUAUUUUUUUUCUUGAAAGACAACUAAACACUUCAACCAUGUAAAGUGGUGUAGAUGAUGUGACAUAUGAGGAAUUAUAAAAAAUGAAGUGUAGAUAUUUUAGUGAAUAUGAUGAAUGUAAAUGCUCUAAGAGCAUCUCCAAUUAGAGUGUCUCUUGCCUAAGACACUUGAAGAUGAGUGUCUCACACCAUUGGAGUAAAUGAGAUCUCCAUGCUGUCAAAAAUUAGUGUCUACAGCCACACACACUGUCUCUUCAAAUUGUGCACAAAAAAUAAAAAAGUUAUUAUUAUUAUAUUGAAGUAAAAGUGGUUUGAUGUUGAUUGUAGGGUCAACUAGAGAAACUAAGAGUUGUUGAGUUGAAGUAAAAAAUUAGUAAAAUGGUUUAGAUAAUGUGACAUUAUAAAAAAUUGUAAAAAAUAAUAUAAAAUGAAGUGUAGACGCAUUAGUGAAUAUGAUAUAUAAAGAUGCUCUACGGCCUUAGUUUUUUUUUAUCCUUCAUGGUUGUAUGUCCUGUGGGAACCGUGAGUUGACAGCCUAAACAUGGCAUAAUAGAACAGAAAGCAUUAUUUCUAGCAAAUUGGGCCCCACCUGCGAACCUUGCGGCUUGGGAUUCUGAGACUGAAGACAAUUGGAGCCGUUGAUGGGCCUGGAUUACCCAAAACGAGGUUCUUUGUUCAAAAAUUCCCCAACAGAGAUUCUCCCUAAUCUAAUUAAACAAAAGGAGAGAAAGUUCUAUGAUGAUGAAUUCAUAGUUAAGUAACAUGGCACAUUAAACACACCCCACUGUGCUUUACACAGGACAUUCCUGCACCCGUGUCAAUUUUGAGGUCCCAUUGGUCCAACAAAAACACACAAUGCCGAAAGGGAUUCUCGUUCCUUAGAUGGGAAAUCAUGGUGAUGAAGCAGGCCUGAGUUGUUUGACAUCAACAUGGGACAACCUGUUAUUGCUCCAUGAAAUCAUUUAACUAAUUGAUACUCUGCACUUUUAUGUGUCUUUUACUCCACCCCCUCCUGCCCUUUACUCAUUGGCUUGCCUCUAUGCUCUCCACUCCUACAAAUAAUUAACAAUCACCCUAAUCACAUUCAACAGGAUCACUGAAACAAAUAACAAUAUCAGUAAUACUUUUUAUUUAUUCAUAGAGAUUCAUUAAAACCAAGAUUUUUGAAUAACUUUUUUUUUAUGUAAGAUUUGAAUAUCAUUUCAAAUCCUUUAAAAAAAUUACCAUUUUCAAAAUAAUGCUAAACUUAAUAAAAUGGGUCGUUGGUAUGAUAUUUUAACAUUUUAUUCCUUAAGCAUAUAGUUAAAGGUUUGAUUUCCAUCUCUUACAAAUGAAAAAACACAUUAGUCUUACAAUACAUUAGUUGAGAGAGUAAAAUGCUGAAUUUUUUAGAAAAAAUGUAAACCAUUUAAUAUUAUUGAAAUCAUUUAGUAAUAAAAACGAUUUAAUACUAUUUAUUUAGCAUUUAAUACUUUUUGUCGUAUAUAAAAACAGACACCAGUGGCUGUGUGAGGAGAAAAGAAAACUUGAGGCCAAGAGGACAGCACGUGGAAAUAAGAAACAGACAACUAAUUAAUACUGAUAGAUGUGAAUGCGAAUAAUAAGGAGUUGCUCAAUAAAUAAAAAAUUAUUAAUAAGGUGUAGUACAACUAAUUGAUAAAUAGUUGAACUCUUUAAAUAUAUAGUUCUGUGUUGAGAAACAUUUAUUGAGAGAAGCCUAUCGAUUUAAUGGGAUCUCAGAGCCUUGAAAAUUAGCCUAAUGGUUGCCGGCGCCGUGGGGAUAUUAGGGAAAAAAAAUUAAAAUAUUAAAUAAAUAAAAUAAAAUUGUAAGAAAAUAAAACCCCUCCACACUUGAAAUGCAAGAGCAGCAUCAUCCAUAGAAAAACAAAAAAGAAGCACAAGCACCGCCACAGAUAGAAGAGGGAAUGUGAAGUGAGUGAGUGAGUUCAGAAGAAGAAGAAGAAGAAAGGUGAAGUGUGUGUGUGAGAGAGAGAAAUGGGUGGAGUUACCUCAUCCAUGGCUGCAAAAUUGGCCUUCUUCCCUCCGAACCCGCCGUCGUACAAGCUCGUGAAGGAAGAAGCAACGGAGCUGUUGCUCAUGGACGCGUUCCCGCACCGUGAAAACGUUGAAGUUCUCAAGUUCCCCAACCGCCGCGGCACCGAGAUCGUCGCCGUCUAUGUUCGCCACCCGAUGGCCAAAUCAACCAUCCUUUACUCCCAUGGAAAUGCCGCUGACAUUGGCCAGAUGUACGAGCUCUUCGUUGAGCUCAGCAUCCACUUGCGUGUUAAUCUCAUGGGGUAUUUCAAAUUUCCACCUUUUUACUUUUUUUUCAAAAAAAAUUUUGAAUUUUAUUGAAUUACUAUUUUGUGUGUGUUUGAGUUUUUAGUUGAAUUUGGUUGUUGAUUUUUGUGUAUGGUUUUGACUUAGUCCUGUAGGAAUCUCAACUGUCCUGUUUGGCUAGGAUUUACUGGGUUCUGAUGUUGAUGGGAAUGUUGGGAUCAGGAAUUUUCUUAUUUUCACUAGCUUUGUUAGAUUUGAUUUGUCAAAGAUGGGGUCUUGUUUGGUCAUCAAGGGGGUGCUAAAUUUAUGAUAUGAAGGCUUUUGAGCCAUGUAUUUAUUUUGUGUGGUUCUUACGCGAUUAGAAGAUAAUGAUUUGAAGGUGGGAGUUUAGUAUUCCAUCAUUUUCAUUUUUGCAAUAUGCUCAGCAUAUCAUUAAAUAUGAUUAUAUUGAAGAUGGAAUUUAACUAGUUGUGAGGGAUUUGAAGUGGCCAUUUACAUUUUAGGAUGUUUCAAUUGCAGGACAACACAGCUUAACCCUUUUUCUUUCUCUUACUCUUGGAUAGGUUUGUCUUUUCUCCUAAACACUAAACAGAAACCUCAGGAAACACUAGUAAAUUACUAUUAAAAGGAAGGAAAUGAGAGCAUCAAGUUGGUAAAAUAACGCGCAGUUCGUUCCAGUAAUUGAUACAUAACAUCAGGUUAAACUCAAUGACAGGAUUUUGUUCUGCAGAGAAGUGCUUAUGGAUUUUUGGUCUGCAGUGUGACCAGAGCUUAUGGUUUAGCUCUUAUAUUAAGAAACCAUUCUGCUUUUAUAAUCGGUAUUGAAAGCUUCUAAACUUCACAGAUUGCCCCAUCAUCAAGCACUUGACUUCAACUUCAUAAACAGUCGGAUAGAUACAUUCAAUUUUGGGCUUACAGUAACACCUUAAAUGCCCAGUGAAAGAUGAAAUAGUAAAUUUUGGUGGAUUACCAACACCUUGAUAUACUAAAGAGGUGCAUCCAAACAUUUAGAGUUCAGAUGCCACUAUAUCAUGUUUACAUCUUGCCCCCUAACUUCAGUCUUAUUUUCUCUCUCAGAUGUUUUUUUUUUACGGGCUAAUAUGCAUUAGAAAAAUUUAAUUUAGGCACAAUUACAUGGUUGCAAGAUUACCAAUCAUUAUUUAGACUGUACUUUUACCCUCAUAUUUUAGAUUUAAUCUAAAGGACCACACGAUAGUGAAAAUCAUAGAAGAUACUUGAAGUCCUCUUGCUUAUCAAUCAUAUGAUUGUUGUGUUGUGUUGUUUUAAAGAAAAAGUUCUUAAGUUUGAUGUCAAUGAUUUUUUCAAGCAUCUUGUUUCCAUGUAUGCAGAUACGAUUACUCUGGCUAUGGACAGUCAUCAGGGAAGGUAACUGCUCUGUACAAUUCUUUCUGGUUUAUUCAAUUCUUUUGUUCUUAGCAGGCAGAAAUAUCAUGAAAAACUUAUAUGAAUAUUUUUUGCAGCCAAGUGAGCAUAAUACUUACGCUGACAUUGAAGCUGUAUAUAAGUAUCUUGAAGAGAACUAUGGUGCCAAACAGGAAGACAUAAUCCUUUACGGUCAAUCUGUUGGAAGUGGUCCUACUUUAGAUCUUGCUGCCCGGUUACCCCGACUUAGGGCUGUUGUUCUCCAUAGUCCUAUACUAUCAGGGUUGAGAGUCAUGUACCCUGUAAAAAGGUCUUACUGGUUUGACAUUUAUAAGGUUAGAUUUUUCAUUGUCAUAUAUGUUAAAUGUUAUUUAAUUUCAGAAUUAUGUAUAUGAGCUUAUGACCUGAACUUAGUUCUAUGUUAUUGUUGUGCAGAACAUUGAUAAAAUUCCAUUGGUGAAGUGUCCAGUGCUAGUAAUUCAUGUAAGUAUUCCUCUUUGUUGUGCUGGAUUUACCACUAUUAUUUUGUCAUUUGUGGUUGUUGUAAACCUAUAACUGGUAUCCAGUGAACAAUUUCUGUAAUGGUUGUCGUAAUUAAUUCAAUGCACAUUUUGGAGAUCAAAGUGAUAAAUAGAAUCUAUUUUGCACAAACAACCUCCAUAUUGUUAUUUAAUAUCUGCAUUUUUAGUGCUGUCAUUUGUGAUGAAAAUCAUGAUAUGGUUGAUAAAUGGAUAAUUUUUUUCAUAGCAUGAGCUAGGUAAGGUAACACAAGAAGUAUGAGUCUGUGUGUCGUGGCUGAUUAUCAGCCAUUGUUGCUGAUAUCAACUUUUUCAAAAUUGAAUUCUUGUGAAUAUUUUAACAUGGCUUAGUAAAUAUUGCUUUUCAGUAGCUAUUUUUUUGGGUGCAAAGCGUUUUCAUAAUUCAUAUAGCUCUACUAAUUUGCCAUCGUUCCCAUAUAUACCUUCUUCAGGGUACUGCUGAUGAGGUUGUUGAUUGCUCUCAUGGUAAGCAGUUAUGGGAGCUAUGUCAACAGAAAUAUGAACCUUUAUGGAUCAAAGGAGGAAACCACUGUAAUUUGGAGCUCUAUCCAGAAUACCUUCGACAUCUCAGAAAAUUCAUAUCAACAGUAGAAAAGUCACCAUCCCAAAGAGUGAGUUUUAGGAGAAGCGUAGAUAGAGUUGAACAAUCCAGAGGAAGCACUGAUUGCUUUGAAACACCUAGGAAGAGUACUGAAAAGAGGGACAAACCAAGGAAAAGCACCGAGAGGAUAGAGAAACUGAAAUUUCAUGAAUACAAAUUCAACAAUGCCGAAAAAUUAGAGAAGUUAAGAGUCCAAUUUGACCAAACGGAGAGGUCGCGAAGAAGCGUGGAGUAUAGUGAUAAAUCCAGAAGCAUUGAGUUCCAAGAUAAAUCUAGGAGAAGUGUUGAUGUUCAGUUUGAGAGGCCUCGGAAGAGCAUUGAUUGGCUGGACAGAAUUCGAGCUAGCUGAACCUCUUGAAGGAUGUGCAGUAUUGGAACUGGGUUUGAUACAUGGGAAGGAAAGAUACAAAGAUACGAGUUACUUACAAUGCGUUUAACUUAUGGUUAAUGGUUUGCAGAAUGCAUAUAUUGCUCUUGCAGUUUCGUACUUUCAUUACAAUGUUAGUUUGAAAUUGGAUAUGUUCCGUUCAGACUAAUAUUCUUGGUUUUUAUUUAUUAUUUCCAAUUGAUGUGACCCUAACCUUGUUUUAGUCUCAAGAAAGUAAAUGAACCUCAUGUCAAAGAUGGCCAUUACUAUGAUUGAUUAAAAUUCAUAGAAUCGGAUAUCUUUAUUUUUUUUUCCUUGCAUUUCCUAUCCCCGCGUGUUCUUCUUUCAACUUCUUUUCCUACAUUACUUGUUUACAGGGUUUCAUUUCGACUUAAUUUUGCCAAAGAAGCAAAUUUGCAUCACUUGUUCCAUUACUAAGGUUACCAAAAUGCUGGGAAAUUAAGUCCCAAAUUAAUGUAUGUGUUAGGAUUGGAAAAUCCUGACAGCCAAUCGAUAUAAAGGAAGAGGAGAAGAGAUAAUUUUUUUGGUACUUUUUAGUUGGUUCCCUACCAACUUAAUAUUUCCCAAAAAACAUACUCUAACCUAUUGAGAGAGGUCUUAUUUAUAAUAGACUCCUAAGAAAUACCCCUAAAAAAACCCUAAGAAAUAAAGAUUAAUUACUAAAAUAAAAGAUAAUUCCUAAAAUAAAAUAUAAACUUAAUCUAAAAGAUAACCCAACCUUAAAAUAAAAGAUUGCUUAAGAAAGAAUCUAAAACUUAAAAGAUAAAAUAAAAUAAACCUAAACCGGUAAUAGUUUGAUCCUAACAAUACUUCCCCAAAAAUCAACCUUGUGUUCAAGGUUGGACACUAGCAUAGUAGAUAAAAUCUUCUCCUCCCGGAUCCCAUUUAAUAGCUUUGUUAGUGGAGAUUGUUGAUAUCUCUACUUGUCUGUGACGUGUUUGCUUCCAGUAUGCUCUCAUGAGGCUAAUAUGUGUGCUGACAGACGAACUUCGUUGGAAUGCGCUUUCAGUUUGGUCUCCGACAUUGGUCUUUGCCCUCGGCUUAGCUAAGCUGCUUGCAUCGGACCGAAAUUGUUGUGCUAUUCCUAUUUAGCUGUCUUUUUGUUUUUAUGUUUCAUUUCUUCAAAAAAAAAAUUAUGCAAAAAAAGAACUUAACUAAAAGUUUAUAUAGAAAAGCACUAAAAUUGGGUUGAGGAGGUUCAAAUUUCAUUGUUAUUAUUAUUAUUAUUCAAAAAUAAUCAUAUAGUGAAGAUAAAAACAUAAUUCAAUAUUUUUUAAUUUAGCUCCUAUACUUUUUUUUUUACAUCGGAAAGAUUAAUUACACGCUCUAAGGAUCGAUCUCUGGACCUACCCUCAGGGUCGGGUCAGGGGUAAAGCCAUCCAAGCAAGAGCUAUAGGCCUCCAAUUUUUUUUUUAAUGGCCUCAAUUUCUUUUAAGUAAAAAAUGCCUCAAAAAACCAAAGAUUAAUACUAAGCUAAAAAUGUAUCACUUUAAAGUUUGCUUUAUACCUUAUUUAAUGUCGGGUCGGCCCUGCCUAUCUUCCCAACUCAUAUGUUUUUAACUCUUACCACUUAAGCUAUAAUUCGAUUUUUUUUAUAAGCGACCUAUAAUUCGAUGACAAUUUAGCUACUUUACUGAAUUAUUCUAAUCGCAACCUAAUUCUUUUAUUUUUGAGUUUUGGGUAAAUAUAAAAUAAAAAACGAUGGAAUUGUUUUUAACUCAUACAAAACAAAGCAGAUUAAUUUGAUGAGAGAGUUGAGUUGUUUUUAACUCAUAAAAAUCAAAGCAAGAGGAAAAAGUCCUAGCUUUCAUCGAUCGGAAUUUGAAAAUGCCCCUGUCGUGAGAUUGAAGUAAAGCCUCAUGUUUCGCACUCAAUCCUGCUUCCUCAAUAUGUAAAUACUAUAACUCAUGUUGUUGUUAAUGUUUUUGUUGUUCAUGGUUGUGAUGUUACUACUUACUACUUAUUUUGCUGUGAAAGUCAAACUCGCAACAUCCAAAAGAUUGAUUGAAAUCAAUUGAUUGUUCAAAGUUUUGAUCUUUGAUGGUGGAAAAUUUCUGGGCACCCUUUGAAUUUUAUUUUCCUGGCAACCAAGCCGGUGAUACUGGCGGGUUGGGGAUUGGAUGGUUUGGUGAUUGGAUUGGAUUGAAUUUGAGACAUGGAGAAUCCUUGCAAAUCAAAGGAAGAAAUUGCGAAUGAUGCUAUCAAGCAGGCUUUGAGGGCGUUGCGGAAGCGCCAUUUGAACGAAGAAGGAGCUCAUGCGCUUGCAUUCGCUGCUCUUUCUGGACCUAUCGCUUCCCAGGUCCCAUUUCUGUCAUAUCAUUCAUGUUUUGUUAUCAAUUUGAUCAUAAUGGGUAUUUAGCUUAAAAAAUUUUAAGACCCUUUUUGCAAUCCCUAAUUCUUUCUUAUAAAUGCCAUUGGAACUUUGAUUGCAGUAGAAUAGUUCUUGUGUCAACCAGGCUUGUUAAUAGCGUGCUAUAGCGGCGCAAUAGCCUAUAGCGUAGCACCCUGAGGAUUCACCGCUAUUUGCCGCUAUAGCGCUUGAAAUAGCGGUUUUUUGGGCUUGCCGCUACACUACACUAUCCGCCAUUAACAACCCUCCUGUCAACAUAUUUCUCACUACUACUACUGUUGUGUCCUGUGUUAUAAUAAUUUUGGGUGCUGCUUAUUGUUGUUACUUGUUAGCAUUAAUUGUUGGUUUUUUGAUCAUGGUGUGUAAGUAAUGAUUCAAAUGUUUUCCUGAGUUAAAUGUUGUAUUUGUGUGCUUGAAGGGCUCUGAAUGGAAAGAGAAAGCAGAGAGUCUGGAAGUGGAACUUCAACAAUGCUACAAAGCUCAAUCUCGAGUAUCUGAGCAGCUAGUUGUCGAAAUAGCUGAAUCCAGAGCGUUGAAAUCUUUGAUUCAAGAGAAAGAAACUGCAAUGGUUGAUCUACAAAAGGAGUUGGCUGAAGUGAGGUUGCUUAAAAUUCCCCUUUAUGCUUUAAUUUUAAAUCUCAUGAACUAUUUUUCUUAGUCUCAUGUGCUGCUUAUGAUUUGCAACUCCAGGGAUGAUUGCUCUCAUUUAAAAAUGGAUUUAGAAGAAAAAACGAAAGCUCUUGAAUUGAUUAUUAGCGAGAACGCGGAACUUAAAGCACAAUUGGAGCAGAUUACUAUUAGAGCCAAGAAUGCUGAAGCUGAAAAUAAGACAUUGGUGGAUCGCUUCAUGUUAGAAAAAAUGAAGGAUGCUGAGCGCUUAAAUGAGGUACAUUAUAUUAUCAUUCACCGUAUGAACUUUUGAAAUUAGGUACAUAUUUUUGUGAGAAUGGGUAGGAUAUAGCUUAUUGGAUUAUAAUUUAUUUCAGGCACUGCUAAUUUGAUAUUGAUGUCUGUUACUUGACUAUGCUAUAGAAGACUAAUAUUGCAUCUAGUUUGAACUUGUUUCCUGAUUGAUUGAAAUUUGAACUGUAUGUGAUAGAGUUGAAUCAUUGUGUAAAAUAGGUAUUACAGAGUAACUUAAGUUUCUCACAUGUAGCAUUUACAUAAAACUGUGAUUCUAUUAAUCUAAGUAGCUGCUAGGAUUCUAAAUGUGUCCUUGUAUUGAGUUGUAUUGCUAAUUCAACUAAAGUAUUUCCUAUCAAUCAAGGUUAACCAAUUGUACGAUGACAUGAUCAAGCGGCUAAAGGCCAGUGGUUUAGAAAAACUUGCAAGACAGCAGGUAGACGGCAUAGUUCGCCAAAGUGAAGAAGGUGCUGACUUCUUUUCUGAGACAACCGUCCCUUCUACAUGCAAAUACAGACUCCAGGCACAUGAAGGUGGUUGUGCUUCCUUAUUGUUUGAGUCAAAUUCUAGUAAAUUGAUUACCGGGGGACAGGAUCGAUUACUUAAAAUAUGGGACACAAAUACAGGAUCCUUAAGUUCCACUCUACAUGGCUGCUUAGGUUCUGUAUUAGAUCUCACAAUCACCCAUGAUAAUCAAUCUGUUAUUGCUGCAAGCAGCUCAAACAAUUUAUAUGCAUGGGAUCUCAACUCAGGUCGAGUCCGUCACACCCUUACCGGCCACAAAGAUAAAGUCUGUGCUGUCGAUGUCAGCAAGAUUUCAAGCCGGCAAGUUGUCAGCGCAGCUUAUGAUCGGACUAUAAAAGUUUGGGACUUGCUGAAAGGCUAUUGCAUUAACACAAUCAUCUUUCACAGCAACUGCAAUGCGCUUUGCUUCAGCAUGGAUGGACAGACCAUAUUUUCUGGGCAUGUUGAUGGAAAUCUUCGAUUGUGGGAUAUUAAAACUGGAAAACUACUCAGCCAGGUUGGGGCACACUCACUUGCUAUUACAUCAGUUUCUCUUUCUCGCAAUGGAAAUGUUGUAUUGACUAGUGGAAGGGACAAUUUGCACAAUUUGUUUGAUGUGCGAUCUCUGGAAGUUAGUGGCACACUAAGAGGCACUGGAAAUAGAGUGGCUUCUAAUUGGAGUCGCUCUUGUAUUAGUCCUGAUGAUAAACAUGUUUCUUCUGGAUCUUCUGAUGGAUCUGUCUAUGUUUGGUCAACAUCUACAGUUGAUAUAGUUAGCACUCUGAAGGAGCAUGCUUCUUCUGUCCUGUGUUGUGCUUGGAGUGGCCUUGGAAAACCUCUAGCUUCAGCUGACAAGAAUGGGGUUGUUUGUAUCUGGACCUAAAAGGGAAAAGCUGGUGCUAUAAAGCUCCUGCAUUGUGGAUCUAUUGUAGGAAGUCUUACCUUUCAUGUUUGCUAGAAGCCAAUUCCAUGGUUCUAACCUGUGACCGCAAAGUCACUUGGCAGCAACCUUACCGCUGUGUCGAGGCUCGCCCUAUGUAUCUAGACCUAAUGGAAUUUUAUUUCUUUGAAUACACUAGCAGGUAUGGAGUGAGUAUAUCAAUGCUCAUUUGCUCAGGUUCAGAUUCGCUAGUUGAUUUCCUCUACUAAAUUCUUAAACACUUGCACUUUCUGAUUUUUCCCUUACACCAUACAGGAUAUACCACUCAAAUUAGGGACAGUGUAGAACUGCAGAUAUUUAUUUUAACAGAAAAUUAUUUGAGCUAUUCUCUACAACAAGUUGUGAUGAAUCAAGUCUCUGACAGCCUGUAAUUAAUGUAAAAUGGUUGACAAUUAAUUGAUUGGAUUGUAUUUUAGUCUGCUAAUGCUGUUGUAUAACUGCACUUUUGCUUACUGCUACAUUUUUCAUUACACAUGCUAUGUUCAAAUAUCUUUUCACACGGCUAACUGCAUUGUCAAAAAUGAGUAACUCAUGAAGAAGUCAUUCUGAUUAUUCUUCUUAAUCAACUGAUACAACAGUGGUAGCUAUAUAUAGCUACACCUACACGAUUACAACUCUAAUGAAUGAAGAUUAAAUAGGAAAUCGUUACAAGAUGAAACUAAUAACUGAAAACUAACUGCUAACUAGCAGUGUGAACUACAACAGAAAAAUGAACUACAAACUGUUUGUACUAACAAUUAACCAACUUAAGCACUAACUCAAGUGUUAACUACUUAGUUUUACAGCCCCUCUCAAGCUGAGCUUGAUAGAUAUUGAUCAUGUUCAGCUUGGCUAUAAGACUAUGGUACCGAGUUGGAUCUAAAGCCUUGAUAGAUGGCCACAAGGAGGAGUGGUUAUUAGCCAUGCAAGAAGAAAUGCAAUCCUUGCAUGAGAACCAGACUUAUGAGUUGGUAGGGUGACCGAAAGGUAAAAGAGAACUCAAAAUCAAAUGGGUGUACAAGUUGAACACUGAGGAGGAUAGCUCAUGACCCAGGUGUAAGGCGAGAUUACUCGUGAAAGACUUAAGUUAAAAGAAUCGUAAGGCAGACUGAAGUUUUGGUGGAGUAGCCAGACUUUGCAGCAAAUACUACUAUUAGGAUUUGAGGCUUGAAUCAUUUUGUUGACACUGUAGAUAUCUUCCGUCCAGGACUGUUUAGCUAUUUCUAGCACUUUUAGUAGUAUUUCAACUUUGAAGAUAGAUCUUGCUGCAAAUAAUGUAGCUCGCAUUUUAGCUUUUUCUUUAGCUGCUUAUUUCUCAGAAGGAAGAUGGUGUACAAAUGACCCAUUUAGAGUAGAAGAGGCUUGUGUAAUGGGUAUUUUGGCUGAUUAAUUAUAUUUAGGUAUUGGUUUUCAGAAGAAAAAAACAUAUCACUACAAAUGUAUAAAACUACCUAUGUGAAUAGUAAUCUUACACGGUACCGAAACCAAUAGUUAUAACAUCAUUGUUGGGCACCAGAGUUACAGAAUAAUAUCAGACAAUAAAAAUUAGAGUCGAGAUGAAUAAACAAACAAGAUGUAAGGUGUUGGUCUAGCUGUAAGCAAGUUAGAUAUUACAAGGGUGAGAAUACAACUUUGAUCCCUAAGACAGACAUUUAUUGGGAGGGCUAAACAGGUUGAGACGCUAUCAAAGCGAUAAAAAAAGAAGUCAAGAUGAAUACAAAUUACCAGACAAACUUUCACUGCCGAAUUUUUCUUUUAGGGGUUACAUUGAUUAGUGGAAAAGGAGUGAUCCAUACUUUCAGGUGUUAUCCAGUUUGUCUUACAUUGUGUUGAGGGCACACAUGAGCCAUGCCCAAUUUCUUCUAUGAAUUUGGACUUGAAAGUGGACUGCACAAUGAAAAAAUUUGGAAGACAAAAAAAACCAUGCACUUCAUUUAACCCUUGUACGUUAUGAGAUGUGAUAUGUGAAGAAUAGCUCAAAUUGAUAAGAGUCGAGGGACGUGCAGAUCAACCUCUGCAAAGUAUGAAACUUCCUUCCUAAAAAAAAUUGGCUGAUAAAAAAAGGUGAUAUGCAAUAAAGUAAGCUCGUGUAAGGUGUGUUUGACUAAAGAACUUAAUUUUUUGGUUACAUGAGUAAAGAACUUAAUUAAGAACUCAUAGCAAUUAAACAAUUAAGUGUUUGUUGUAUAAGUAAUGUUAAUAAUAUAUAAAGCACAUCCACCAAAGUGGGUCAUAUAGUCACUUAAAUGACACAUGUUUUUAUUUUAUUGGUUGUCACUCAUAAAUUUCCAAAUGUCUUAUUAUGAUUGGUCCAAAUUGAUGAAUUAUUAUUGGUCUAAAAUGAUGACUCAAUAAAUCAAUAAAGUCAACAUUUAAUUCAUUCAAUUAAUAUAUUUUGAAAUUUAAAAUGUUUAAUAAUUGGAAAAAUUGACAAAAUAUAAAAAUCCCUUUUCCAAAAUUUUAAAAUUUAAAAUUGAAGUUUUUAGAAAAAAAACGUAAUCAUUAUGCAAAUAUUGCAAGAUAUAUAUGAUUUUCUUCUAUUUUUUGUUGUUGUAAUUAACCGUUACAAAUUAAAAAAAGUCAAAAGAAAGCAUCAUUAAGCAAUACUUUUAGAGAUUAAUGGAUAUGCACUGUUAGUGUAAAGAAGUUUUACACUGACGUCCAAUUACAUUAUGCCACAUAAGGCUAAGUAGUUACAAAUCUUUUUAAUUUUAAUUAGUAAAUUAAUAAAUUGCUGAUGUGACGGAAAUCAAUUGGGUGCAUGUGUAAAACAAGUUUACACUGUCAGUGCAUCUCCUAUUUUCUCAUACUUUUAUGGAUAGUAUUUAUUUUUAUCACGUAAAUGGUACCAUAAGAUAUAUGUUUUUAAUCUUAAUCUUAAUCUUAAUAAUAUAUAAAGCUCAUCCAUCAAAGUGGGUCACAUUGUAACUUAAUAUCCAUAUGUUUUGAUUCUAUUGGUUGUUGCUAUUAAAUUUCCAAAUGACAUCGUCUGAUUGGUCCACAUUAUUCAAUUUUCAUUGGUCGAAUUUAAUGAGUCAAUAAAUCAAUAAAUUAAUUAAUUAAUAAAUCAAUAAAAUACCAGCCUGUUUUCAAGUGGAAACGGUUAAAUUCAAAGUUGACAUUCAAAGUUUUUCCAUAAAUGUUACUUUUUGAGUUAAUUAACCGUUACAAAUUAAAAAAGGAAAAAAUAAUCAUCAUUAAGUAAUACUUCAAUGAUUAUAAUUUUUUUAGAACAUGAAUGGAAACAAAAGAUAUAUUAUUUAUAAUUUUUUAUGGAAUCUUUUUGCUGUGGUGUAUCAAAAUUUGAAAAGUUUGUUUCGUUUUAAAAGAGGAAUCGAUUCCAAAAUUAACAUAAUAUACAGUUGGGCAUGAGUACACUGAAUAUAAACUUAGUUUCCAUUAACAUAAUGAUGGUAUCUUUUUAUUUAGUGUUGCACGAAAUUUUUACAAUGGAUGAAAAAACGUGUUCAAUUUUGAAUGCGAUAGAAAUUCAAAGUUGACAUUCAAAAAUUUUCCAUAAAUAUUUUCCUUAAAUUCAUUCACCAUAAAUGUUGACAUUCAAAGUAUUUUCAAGUGGAAAUGGUUAAUAACAUUAUUAAGAUACCAGCUCACUUAGUCAAGUGGAAAAAAUAAGAUUUUGUAGAUAGAGUUUUCGAAUGGCGAAAAAGCCUCAAAUGAAAAUCCACGAAAACAUCAACUUUCUAUCCCAUCUUGACUCCACCGUCUUCAAGUUCUCAUCUCCGUUUCAUACAUAGGUUAAGCUUCAUCGGAAGAUUCUCCAUCGCCAAAUAGUCAAAUAACGUUAAGCGCCUAAAUAACAAGUAGUAAACAUAAAGCGUUAACUCCACAAAAUCACUUCACAAAAAGGAAAAACAUGUCAUUCAAAUUUAAAUCUUAAUAAUAUAUAAAGCCCAUCCACCAAAGUGGACCACAUUGUAACUUAAUAUCCACAUGUUUUGAUUCUAUUGGUUGUUGCUAUUGAAUUUCCAAAUGGCAUCGUCUGACUGGUCCACAUUAUUUAAUUUUCAUUAGUCGAAUUUAAUGAGUCAAUAAAUCAAUGAAUUAAUUAAUUAAUAAAUCAAUACAAUACCAAUAUGUUUUCAAGUGGAAACGGUUAAAUUCAAAGUUGACAUUCAAAGUUUUUCCAUAAAUGUUACUUUUUGAGUUAAUUAACCGUUACAAAUUAAAAAAGGAAAAAAGAAUCAUCAUUAAGUAAUACUUCAAUGAUUAUAAUUUUUUUAGAACAUGAAUGGAAACAAAAGAUAUAUUAUUUAUAAUUUUUUAUGGAAUCUUUUUGCUGUGGUGUAUCAAAAUUUGAAAAGUUUGUUUCGUUUUAAAAGAGGAAUCGAUUCCAAAAUUAACAUAAUAUACAGUUGGGCAUGAGUACACUGAAUAUAAACUUANNNNNNNNNNNNNNNNNNNNNNNNNNNNNNNNNNNNNNNNNNNNNNNNNNNNNNNNNNNNNNNNNNNNNNNNNNNNNNNNNNNNNNNNNNNNNNNNNNNNNNNNNNNNNNNNNNNNNNNNNNNNNNNNNNNNNNNNNNNNNNNNNNNNNNNNNNNNNNNNNNNNNNNNNNNNNNNNNNNNNNNNNNNNNNNNNNNNNNNNNNNNNNNNNNNNNNNNNNNNNNNNNNNNNNNNNNNNNNNNNNNNNNNNNNNNNNNNNNNNNNNNNNNNNNNNNNNNNNNNNNNNNNNNNNNNNNNNNNNNNNNNNNNNNNNNNNNNNNNNNNNNNNNNNNNNNNNNNNNNNNNNNNNNNNNNNNNNNNNNNNNNNNNNNNNNNNNNNNNNNNNNNNNNNNNNNNNNNNNNNNNNNNNNNNNNNNNNNNNNNNNNNNNNNNNNNNNNNNNNNNNNNNNNNNNNNNNNNNNNNNNNNNNNNNNNNNNNNNNNNNNNNNNNNNNNNNNNNNNNNNNNNNNNNNNNNNNNNNNNNNNNNNNNNNNNNNNNNNNNNNNNNNNNNNNNNNNNNNNNNNNNNNNNNNNNNNNNNNNNNNNNNNNNNNNNNNNNNNNNNNNNNNNNNNNNNNNNNNNNNNNNNNNNNNNNNNNNNNNNNNNNNNNNNNNNNNNNNNNNNNNNNNNNNNNNNNNNNNNNNNNNNNNNNNNNNNNNNNNNNNNNNNNNNNNNNNNNNNNNNNNNNNNNNNNNNNNNNNNNNNNNNNNNNNNNNNNNNNNNNNNNNNNNNNNNNNNNNNNNNNNNNNNNNNNNNNNNNNNNNNNNNNNNNNNNNNNNNNNNNNNNNNNNNNNNNNNNNNNNNNNNNNNNNNNNNNNNNNNNNNNNNNNNNNNNNNNNNNNNNNNNNNNNNNNNNNNNNNNNNNNNNNNNNNNNNNNNNNNNNNNNNNNNNNNNNNNNNNNNNNNNNNNNNNNNNNNNNNNNNNNNNNNNNNNNNNNNNNNNNNNNNNNNNNNNNNNNNNNNGCACAUUUAAAGCCAUUUAUAUGUUUUUUUGCCAUAUCGAACCUUACUUUUGUGAAAUUUAAAGGGAAUGGUGGUUAAGGGCAAGGUGGGGCAGGAAAGGUUUGAGAAAAGUGGGGAAGAUGGGGGAAGGGUUAUUAGGGUGGGGAGUAGGGGUUGGGUGGAAGUUUGUGGAGGCUUGAUGGUAGUUGUGGAGGUUAGAUGGGGGCAAAAAGAAGGGAAAAGGAGAGCGGAAGGCAAAAAGUGAUUAAAUAAAAAUUAAAAGAACUAAAAAUAAUGUAAAAGGUUCAUGUUGAUUGGCCAAGUAAGCAUCAUGACGUCACUUGUCAAUAUUUAAAUUAAAAAAAGCAUCACGGAUAAAAGGCAAUGAAAAAAAAUUCUAAAUGCUUAUUUGGAUUUGAUUCUAUAUGUCAGAGACCUAUAAUAUAUUUAACCUUUUUUUAUUUUCCACUUGUACCAAUAAAUUAGGAUUUAUAUCACAAGAAAUGCAAUUCAUCUAUAUAUAUAUAACACAAACCAUGCAUUCACACCAUACAUCAGAACACUUGUUGAAAACUCAAUGGUAAGAUAAUUGUAAAGCUCUUAUAUUCCAUAAGGUAUGGUAAUAUUAUGGUCUUAACUUUUAAGCCUGUAAUGAGAUCUAUCACAAAGGAUGGAUAAUAGGCUUGAAUGAGUUAAAACAAAAUUCAAGUGGUGUAAGAUUAGCAAUUUAAACCAGUAGCUUAUGAAAAGAAAAUAAUGCUUUUAUCAUCUCAAUGCAUGCAAAUGAACAAAAAUAUUCAAACAGAAUCAAAUCAUGUCUUUUAUAACAUAUAAGCAUGAGUGAAAUCGCACAAGAAGGAAGAGAAUGACAAGAUAUAUUCAUUCGAGCAUAAGACCAAAAAAUUAACAAGGUAUGCAUAUACCACAACGCAACAAAUCUUUUUUUUUUGAAAGAUGACUGAAUCACAUUAAACUUGGACUGGCAUAGAGGGCAAAAGGUCCGCAGAAACAAAUGAGUUCGCUUCGGAAGGGACUUCCUCAAUCCACACUAAACCGGCGAACAAAUCUAUUCUCCAAGAAACCUUGAUGUAAUCAAAAUGCAAGAACUACAUCCAAUCAAAUCUUAAGAUGAAAGGUUUGAUUCUAAUCAUAACUUAUUAUUCCUAAUACUCAAUGAAAACGUGUGAAUGAUUCACCUAAAAAGCAUGAAAAACAACCUAAAAUCAGUGCAUAUAUUUUGUUCUAAAUUAAAAUUCUCUCUGCACACUUAAAUCACACAUUAUUCUUAAUGUGAAGCAAGACCCAAAAAAUGGAAAUAUGAGAUAUAAGAGAAAGGAAAGAGUACAUCAGAAGGAUUAAAAGAGGCUUGUAGCCUCGAAAUGAUCUCUAAAACUUCUAUAUAAUGGUUUGGUGGAGGUAUACAGUUAAGGGAUAACUUUUAGUAUUGAGGAAUAACAAUGAUAGUUCAUAAGCGUAGUGAUAACUUUUAGUAUUGAGGAAUAACAAUGAUAGUUCAUAAGCGUAGUGACUCUGGUGGAAUAUCUUUCUUAACAAUGGAAUUUGAGAAAACAAAAUUCAAUGCUCUAAUCAAAACAUGGAAAUCUGGUUGUUUGGAUGAAUUGUCUUUGAAACAUAUAGGAAGCCUGAAACCAUAAUAGUUAUUCACUUAUUAGUAUACCCAACAUGGAAAUCUUGGUCUGGAGGUUUGGGAAAAAGUUUCAAAAAAAGUUCCUCUAUUAAAGAUGAACCCAUGCAAUUAAAAUUACCUGCAUCAAAGAUCCUAGUUACCACAACUUUUUGAAUAGUUAGAAGAAGCUUAUAUGCAAUAAUUCAUCAUUCAAUUCUACCUAGCAGCUACAUUAUCUACUUCAUGCCAUGCAAAAAAUUCAAAACUACGAAUUGAAAUAUUAGAACUUGUAAGUAUUAUGACAACAUCACAAAUAUAACAUUCACUAACAUUGCAACAUGCAAGAUAUUUAAAAUAUUCACCAAAUUUAGGGACUUUGUAAUGUCAAUAAAGUACGGGUAAAAUAUUGACUGGAAAUCUAUGGGUCUUUGAAAUUGGCAUCCAAGAGCUCAUUUUCUCUCUUAUUCUUGUCCAUGUUCUUCGUCUUGACAAGGAGAAACCAGACUCUGAACAUAACUAGUAGCCUCCAACCAAAAUUCUUGGUUAGGAUUUGGAAUAUACUCUACAUUAUCAUCUGUUAUAUUAUACUUGAUAAACUCCAAGUCCUCAGUUAGUGCGAGCAAAAGGAUGUUGCCAUCUUCAGACAAGAACAUCGGCAGAGGCCUAAACAAAAAUCCUUUACAUUCAAGAUUCUCAUAACUGAAACUCAUCCACUGAGUCCAAGACUCUCGUACUCCAUACUCUCUCAUUUUCCACACAACAAAAUGGGUUCUAUUGCGGUCAUGAAAAAGGCACAUGUGAUUUCCUAGAAUCCCGAGAUCUGGCUGAAAAUGAGGCACCUCAGUAACACCCUCAGGAAGUAACAUAUACGUAUACUUCUCCGUACUCAUGUCAAGGGAAGCAAUAACUAGCUGAUCGAGAGUAACAUUGUCCCAUUGGUAUUGGGGACCCUUCAUAUUUUUAAGAGCUAACCAGUUAACACAACCACACACAAAUUUUCCCGCGAUUUGGUGUAGCAUAAGAGGGGAACAAGGGUCACACAAAAUUUUUCUCCAACAAAUAUUAUUCAUGCAAGAAAUUCUUGUCAUAAUUUUCUGCUCAGUACAAUCCCAAUGCACCACCACCACCUAGCAAAGAGUAAAAACUAAAUUUAACCACAAAGGAUCAUACUUUUGAGAUGUAUUAUGAAAAUUACACAGUUUACAUUAGUCAAAUUAAAUUGACUAAUUUCUUCUUAAAUCCAUCUUUAUAGCUCAUUAUCUAAUUAUCCUCUAAGGUAAUUAAAAGUAGGGAUCGACUUGAUCCCAAAAUUACAUCAUUUUCACAAUAAUGACUAACUUAAUCGGUAAAAUUAUCCUUGAUGUUAGGAAUAGUAAAUUUGAUUGCUUGAGUAAGUUAAUCAAAAUUUUAUUUUAGUUUUAAAUUGUUGUCUACAAGGUGGACGUUUUCUGGCCAGAUCUUAAGUUUUCAAAUGAUAUUUCAUUUUUUGUCCCAUCGAUGAAAUUCAACCAUGGACACUAUUUUGGAACAUGAGAUCUUGAUCAUUUAGAGGCCAUCAUGAGUGUAAUUAUUGUAGAUAUGGUCAUAUGUAUCAUCAGUUUUUCAAAAUAUGAAGGAUCUAGAUACAACCACUAAUGUAACAACACUAACUUAAAACAUUGGUUGUAGUUCAUCACAUAUCUCUAGAAACAAGUUAACUUCAAAUUAAGCUAUCAUAUACUAUUAUAAAUUCUCAAAUAAUUAUCUUCAAAAGGGCUGGACUUUAAAUUUUUACUCACCUUGUAUGUAUCAUGUGAAUUAUCAUAGCCGAACCCCAAAUUCGUCUUACCCCGCGGAGCAUCCAUUGAAGUUCGCAUGCUCGGAUGAAAGGUUGGUGACUUCUUAGACAUCAAGUGUGUGGCCGAAUUCCAAAGUUGAACCCAAAUUUCUUCAAUUGGGGUCAACAUCAUAAUAGUUUCCCACACAAACCAAUCCAUUACAAGAGCCAAUUAUCAAAUGGAUUUCCUUUCAAAUGGUAGCCCCCUUCAACAUCGAUCACAGACGACGGAUCCUCCGUCAAGCAACGCACAGAGCAUGGAACAACCCAACUGUCUUGCUUUUCAAUUUCAUAGGGCUCGUCUUCUAUAGCGAGGAGAAUGUGUGUGUUUUUGGGAGAUCUAUUGAGGUGCAGUUUUACGAAUGAUGGAUCAUGGAGGAUAAGUGAUUUCCAUGAUUUACAAACGAUCACGAACUGCAUUAGGGUUUUCACGGGUAGUCGUGACAAAAUUUCCAUUUCGAGUUCGAAAGGGAGAAUCGGAUCUUCACGAGGUUUUUUCAUGAUUGGGGGAAGGAAACCAAUUGAGCCUAUGAACACGACCCACAAAAUAUCAAAUAACCUACAAAUCUGAAACUCUUAUGCCCCUUUUGGGUACUCAAACAUUGUGACUUUUUUAUCCACACUUUUUCCUUCAUCAUUAAAAUAAUAUUUUAUUUAGUAAACUUAAUUAAUAUAAAUAUGAGACAAGGGCACGUGUCUAAUUAAAUAUUUAUAUAAAUUUAAAAUAAAAUUUAAGUAAUUUCAAUAUAACAAUUUUUUUUAUUGACCGUUUUAAGUUUGUAAAUUGUAAAAUAUUUGCACUUUAAUUUUAUAUUAGGCUUAAUACAUUAGAAGGCCCCUGAAAUUGUAAAGGGAAUCAAUUCCAGGGCCUGUAAAAUUUUCGCAUCAAAUUGGGUCCCUAAGAAUUUUUUUUAAUUCAAUUAAGGCCAAAGUGUGUCUGAUGCUGAAGUAACUUCAAUUUUAGCCUACUCAGCUUUUCCACGUGGCAUUUUAAUUUUUUUUAAUUGAAAAAAUUCUAGAACUUAAUUUUUUAAAUCCAACUCAUAUAUUAAAGCAUAAAUAAAAAAUAAAAAACUUAAUAAAAUCUCUAAUGUAAAUAAAAACCUAAAUCUAAUUUAAAAAACCUAAUCUAAUCUUAAUUUGUAUCUUCAUCCUCUAAUACAAAAAAACUUUAAUUACUAAAUUAAAUUAAAUCACUAAUAAACUAAUUCCUAAUUAAAUCCUUCACCCAUCUUCUUCAUCAUCCAUUCUUCAUCUCCAGAUCUGUAGGUUACCCUUUCAGUCCUAAGAAAUUUCAUCUUCUCCAUCAACCUCCAUCGUACCACUAUCUUCUUCCCUCUCACCACCGCCGCCGCCGCCAUAGCCACCACCAACGUCAGACCUACAUCAUCCUCCCCCUACCGCACCUUCUUCACCAUACCCAAACCACCAGAUACAGAUCUAAAUCCUCCUCCCCUCCCUCACCUCAUACUCCUCCUCAACUACUCUAGGUCCAUCUCCGCUGGCCUUUGUCUCCCUCUCGAUCUGGAUCNNNNNNNNNNNNNNNNNNNNNNNNNNNNNNNNNNNNNNNNNNNNNNNNNNNNNNNNNNNNNNNNNNNNNNNNNNNNNNNNNNNNNNNNNNNNNNNNNNNNNNNNNNNNNNNNNNNNNNNNNNNNNNNNNNNNNNNNNNNNNNNNNNNNNNNNNNNNNNNNNNNNNNNNNNNNNNNNNNNNNNNNNNNNNNNNNNNNNNNNNNNNNNNNNNNNNNNNNNNNNNNNNNNNNNNNNNNNNNNNNNNNNNNNNNNNNNNNNNNNNNNNNNNNNNNNNNNNNNNNNNNNNNNNNNNNNNNNNNNNNNNNNNNNNNNNNNNNNNNNNNNNNNNNNNNNNNNNNNNNNNNNNNNNNNNNNNNNNNNNNNNNNNNNNNNNNNNNNNNNNNNNNNNNNNNNNNNNNNNNNNNNNNNNNNNNNNNNNNNNNNNNNNNNNNNNNNNNNNNNNNNNNNNNNNNNNNNNNNNNNNNNNNNNNNNNNNNNNNNNNNNNNNNNNNNNNNNNNNNNNNNNNNNNNNNNNNNNNNNNNNNNNNNNNNNNNNNNNNNNNNNNNNNNNNNNNNNNNNNNNNNNNNNNNNNNNNNNNNNNNNNNNNNNNNNNNNNNNNNNNNNNCCAUUGUUGUUUUACAUAUCCAAAGCACUUUAUCUCAUUCUCUUCCAUUCAUGCCCUCAUUUAAUAUUACAUCUCCCAAGUAUCACCUCUUACUUCCACCAAUCACAAUUCUCACCAAUUAGUUGACCAAUGAUUUUCAUUCUCUCUCUCUCUUUCAUAUAACUCAUAUUAAAUAAGGAUGUUUCAGUCAAAUUAUAACAUCAAUUAAUGAAUUCUUAAUCUUUACGCAUAACCCUUAAACUACAAUAGUUUUGGAACAGAGGAAGUACUAUACCUUAUCAAAUACAAAUAUUAAUUGCUAGGAUUCUCCAAUGUUAGGUGGAUGGGAAAGACCAUGAUUGGGCUGAGAUGUUGGGGUUCCUCUUCAUUGUGGCCAACAAAUAGUCAAAUAAUAUAUCAAAGAUUCCAAUUUCCAAGUACUGAUUCCAACUAAAGAUUCUCCUCAUGCCAGCCAAUUAAUUUCCCCCCUUAUACUUCCCCCCCGAAAAAACUUCUUUAAAUGAUUAAAGUUUGGAAAUAAUACAUGUAUGAGGUUAGCCCUUGAAGACGAAUAGGAAGAAGAUCGACAUUGAGGAUAUAACAACUUUUAACAAAACUACAAGACCUCCAAAAGAUAGAUGUUUACUUGAUUAAGGUGAGAAUCUUUUUUGAACUUUUUGCAUAGUACGUGGUUUCCAUGUUGUAAGUUUCCUCAGAUUUCAUUUUCAAAAAAAAAAAAGUUUCCUCAGAUUUGCUUCCAACCUAAAUAAAAGGAAUAUCACUGAACUUGAGCUCUAAAUUAUCAGUUGUGCGCUGCAGAAUUCAACAAACUUUACUUGAUAAAUGGUGGGACAAAUUAAACAUGAUCCUUAUAAAAAUUAACCUUUAAUCCUAAUACUAGUUCAAAGAGCUGCUUCAGAAUAGAUUUCAUAGCCCAAAUAUAUUUUGGAGAAGCUUCCCCUAUCAAUAUCAUCAAUGCGAACUGCAAAUGCGAGACAUCUACCUUAUCAUUCCCACUAAUACACAAAAAAUUCCUUAAAACAACCUUUUCUAUCAUUUCCCCCAAACCAUCAGUUACAAUGAGAAAUUAGAAAAGGGAAUAGGGGAUCCCUUGUCUUAAUCCCCUGUCUUGGUGUAAAUUAUGCUGUUGGACCUCCAUUUAUAAGAACAUAAUUUUUUUUUAGAUAAGCAAAAAAGUUCAGAACGGCACCAUCUGGAACCAUUUAUAAGAACAUAAAUUGAGGCAGAUUUUAAACACUCCAUAAUUCAUUCUAUAAUUUUUUUUUGAAAAAACCUAAAAUCUACCACAUCAUGAUGUAGUACAAAAAUUCCAACUGACUAUAUUAUAAGCCUUCUAAAAAUUCACCUUAAACAACAUACAUUUUCUCUUAUUGAUUUUUUGAACUCCUCUAUCACCUCGUUAGCAAUAACGAUUCUAUCAAAAAUUUGUCUUCCCUUAAGAAAAUUGUUUGAGAUAUUCUGAAAUCAAAUCCCGGCCCGCAAUAACAUUCAAGCCCCAUUAGAGAGAAUCUUUGCCAAUACUUUAUACAUAUAUACACCUAAUAAAUGAAUUUGGUCUAUAGUCCUCCAAUUUUUUAGGUCUAUUUUUAUGGGGAUCAAAAGGAUAAAAGAACACAAACCCCCACCAACUUCCUAUUUGAAUGAAACUUAUUAAGGAAAUUGAAAAAAGCCAAACUUUGCUACCACCGAGAAUUCCUUAAUAAAGUGAAAAUUUAUGCCAUAUGAUAUGGGGUGCGUUUAACGUACACCACCCAAGUAGGUGGUGUACCCGUACUCCAGCAAAAAAACUUAAUGCUGUGGGUUUUACCGGUUGUAUUGUCUUUUUUUGUAUUUGCAAAGGAGGGACUCGUAUGUAUUUGAUGUGGGGUCCUGAUACAUAUUAUAAAUUUGAUAAUGGUACUUUUUGGUGAACAUAUUAUUAAAGGUAUACUGAUACUUGGUGGGUUUAAAAGGGAUAUUUACAUUAUGAGUGAUGUUCUUGGUGGUACAGUGAAAAUUGAGAAACAACAGUGGCGGUGGAAGCGAAAAUCGGUGCCUACGUUCGUGGGGCUAUCUUUGUAAGGUGGAUCUAGAUUAGAUUGGUAGUUUGGGUAGGUCGCCAGUUGAGAACCUGUAAUGUGUGUCUUAUUUUAUCGCCGACGCAACAGAGGUAACCCACGCACAUACUUUGAUUAGGCGAUUUCGUCUUACGGGUUACGGGUUGUGUAGUUCAAAAAUGGGUAUCAGUGCUUAAUUUGGUUAAUUUGUACUUGGGUAUGUUAGAUAGUGAGUAUCUGAAGCAUUUAUUUAGUUUAGGGUUGUUGUAGGCUUGGAACAAAAUGUGGGAUUUAGGCUAAAUUUAUGAUCUCGGAGUUUAGGUAAUUGUAUGAUAUGUUAUGUUGGGUAACUGUAUGAGCUAGCAUUAUGUUUAGAUGUAUGAUAAGGGAAUUAGGGUAAUUUUAUGAUCUGGGAUUUGUCCAUUUUGUUGUUGGGCUUAUUUUGGAUGGAAAAUUUUGUGCAAGAAAUUGAGGUCGAUGAUUUUCGGUGCAGGAUAUUUGAUUAACUUGCAGGGUUCUCCAGACUGUAGUUAUGGAUAGUUGCAACGAAGAUCAUGGAUUUCCAAUUGGAGGCGAACAGGAUACGACAUCGCAGGUAUGUGAAAAUGUAUUUGUGCAAGUAAUAAAAAAAGGUAUUUAGAAGAAAUGUUAAGAGAUUGCGUAGGUAUUAACGACAUUGCUUCAGUGAUUGUGAAUAUUAAAAUUUGUGUUAUUGUAUUUUGUGAUAUUUAACCUGAUAAUAUUUAUGACAGUAGGGUUUGGAGAAUAUCUCUGAAGACUCUAUUGAUGUGGAAGGCCAUGAUGAAGUAGUUGUUAUAAAUGGGAUGGAUGAUUUGUUGAAGUAUGAUAUGAAGAGUUUGAGUAAUGAAGCAGCGCUGAAGUUUCAAUUCUGUAAUCGUGAGGCUGCGUUUGAGUUUUAUAACCUAUAUGCCAUGGGGAAAGGGUUUGCAGCGAGGAAGAAUAAAAUUUUAAGGAACAAAAAAGGGGAUGUUGUGCAACAAUCAUUUGUUUGUUUUAGAGAAGGAUUCCGCAAAGUGGUAGCAAGAGAAAAUCGAAAAAGAAAGAAGCAGGCUGACCGACGAUGUGGUUGUCCUGCAAACUUCCGGGUGCAUGUUGACAUUGGAACUACUCAUUGGUAUGUUACAAAAUUUGACGAUGAACACAAUCACGAGUUGUUAAGUGAAAGGCAUGUUGGAAGGUUGGCCCUCCAUAGAAGGUUAAGUGACGGUGAUGUGAUAGGAAUGCGGGAAUAGGUGUAACUGAAGUUUAUAACUUGAUUGCCAGUCAGUCUGGGGGAUUUGAUAGGGUGCCAUUUACGAAAAGGAAUUUACACAAUCAGAUCGGCAAGCAAAGGAGGUUGUUGAAGUGUGAUGUCCAAACCGCUAUUAAGUACCUUAAGGGAAUGCAGAAAAAAGAUCCACUAAUGUUUUGGCGACAUCAUGCAGAUGAGAAUGGGAAACUAGAACAUUUGUUUUGGUCUGAUGGUAUAAGCCAAAAGAACUAUGAUGUAUUUGGUGAUGUUGUAGCGUUUGAUGCUACCUACCGCAAGAACAAAUAUAAGUACCCAUUUGUGAUGUUUUGUGGUGUUAAUAACCACAACCAGACAACGGUUUUUGGAAGCGCAAUAAUUGCAAAUGAAACUGAAGAGACAUAUAUCUGGGUGCUUGAGCGGUUGGUUGAAGCAAUGAAAGGUAAAUGUCCUACAUCUUUUAUCACUGAUGGACAUCUGUCCAUGAAAAAUGCUAUUAGCAUUGUAUUUCCAAGGGCUCAUCAUAGAUUAUGUGCCUGGCACUUGCUGCAGAACGCCACAAGAAACAUUAAGGUUCCAGGAUUCACUCAGGAGUUCCAAAAAUGCAUGUUGAUUGAUUAUGAAGUGGGUGAAUUCAAACAUAAGUGGGAUGACCUGGUUUCCAAAUUUGGUGUGGAAGACAAUGAGUGGGUGACAGAAAUGUAUGAAAAUCGAAAGAUGUGGGCAGUAGCUCAUAUUCGAGGUUGUUUUUUUGCUGGUUUCAGGACCACUUCACGAUGUGAGAGUUUGCAUUCAGAAAUAAAAAAAUUUAUACAUUCAAGAUAUAACUUGACUGAGUUUUUACAACACUUCCAUCAAUGUUUGGAUUUUAUGCGGUUUAGGGAGGUUGAGGCAGACCUGGCAUCUGUGGUUGGGAAGCAACCCCUUGAAACCCCCUUCAAGCAACUGGAGAAGUCGGCUUCUUCUGUGUACACACCAGCCAUUUUUGAAAAGUUUCGUUCAGUUAUUGUGAAAGCAUUCAUGGUUUAUGUCAGUGGCCGUAAAUUGACUUCUAGUUUCCAGAUCUUCACAGUUUCAAAGUUUCGCAGACCCAAUAAGGAGUGGCAUGUGUCAUUUUAUCCACCAACACCAAUGCUUAAAUGCUCGUGCCAAAGAAUGGAGUCAAUUGGGCUUCCAUGUGAGCAUAUGGUGGCUGUCAUGGUUAUAGUGGGUAUGAAUGAAGUUCCUGCAAGUCUUUUGCUGCACAGGUGGACAAAACGGGCUAGAGAUUCCAUUGAAAGUUAUGCUGCCGAUGUAACUGGUGAGUGGGGUUCUGUUAACAUGGCUCGUCUUGCAGAGAAAUGUGCAAAUUAGCCGGUGCUUCAUUAAAUGAUUUCACAAGCACAAGAGAGCUAGUCCUUGCCCACAUUGAGCGGCUCAAAGCUAAGAAUAAUGGAAAUGAGGGACUUAACGAGCAUGAUGAAAACAAUGAUUCAGUCCCGUUCAGGAACCCUGAACCUGCCCGUCGCACAGCUGGUGGUGCUAGUACCUCUGGCACAAAACGUACUCGACGUCGAAAGACUAUGUGCAGUGUUUGCAAGACACCUGGUCAUAAUAAAGCUUCAUGCCGCCUAAAGAGUAGGAUCCACGAAAUGGCUGAUGAAGUCUACGGUGUUCAUAAUACACAACCAGCUGAUGAUGAAGAACCACCAUAUUACAGCCAGAACUUCAUGACAAAUUUGGUAUGACAUUCGUAUUAAUAUAUAUUCUAACAAUAGUAUUCGAUGUAAUCCACUAACUGUGUUGAAACAAUUUGUUUAUGUUUAGGGUUGUUCCAGGUGAAGUUUUUCCAUCUAACCUCCUCAUAUACUGAUGGAGCUAUUACAGUUGUUACGUAUUUUGUGUUUGUCAAAGCUUUGUUGGUGUAGGCAAGCCAGGGUGGAAGGAGCUUUACUACUUCAAAUUGUUUACCCUAAGUCUUGUUCGUUUUAGUUAUAAAUAUGUCAUUAUUAUAUUUAAGGUGAAUGAAUGUCACAGAAUUGGAAGGUUGUAUUGUUGCUACUGUGGUGCCGUAGAAUCUGUGUAACUUAAAUGUGAUGCAAGUUUAUUGACUCUGUGAUGUUGUUCCUGAUUAUUAUCAAACUUCAAACUUGUGAUAUUAGCAGGAAAAAUAGUGUUGCCCAAAGUCUACAACCAGAUUUUAAUGUAGUAUUUAUUUUUUGAAGGUUGUUGGAGUUUGUGAUGACAAACCUACAGGUUGCCAAUUAACACUAAACAUUGGCCGAUCGUAAUUUGGCAAAGUGUGUUGUGAUGGACGUAGUUUCUGCCCAUGAAACCUUGUGUUCCUAAAUCGUGACAUAUCAAGUAUUUAAAUUUAAAUUGAAUUGAAACGAUUGGCCGGGUCCGGGUCUUUUACUUAUUUAUUGUAUGACCCUAAUUUCAAAGAAGAAAAAAAUAAUUUGGUCCAAUGAUUGAAGUUAGGCCAGAAAUAAUACAUUUGCAUUGGUAUUGGGUGAUGGGACAAGUACAGCAUUGGGCCAAAAUUUGUACAUUGUGACGAAUAAACAUCUGGGAAGUUUGGCCCAUUAAGUUUUGACAUUGCUUACGGAUUAUGAACUGCUACCUGUUUAAGUAUGUGCGUCACGGAUUAAGGAUAAGACCAUUUGAAUCAUAAAAAUCGUUCUCGAAUUAAUCUUAAUACACAAGUAAUGAACAGGGUCCAAAGUACUUUCAUUAUGAUAGCAAUAUUCAUUACAUAACAUUAAGCCAGUCAUUAUACCGCAAUAGUGGCAUUACAUGACCAAAAGCACCCCAGUAGCAUAGACGACCACCUAGUAUAUUACAACAAAAUGGGUAGUCGCAGACAUAGGUCCCAUACACACAUAAAUAACCUUAGCAAGAGCACCCCAGUAGCAUAGACAUGGCGGUGUGAUUAAGUAAUUAUACAUUGGAUUACUAAUAAGAGAUAGAAGACCACCUACUAUAUUACAACAAAAUGGGUAGUCGCAGACAUAGGUCCCAUACACACAUAAAUAACCUUAGCGAGAGUGGUAUUAGUAGAUUGGCUUCAGGCUUUAACGUUCUUGUCCCCUUCAAUGAUGCUCUUCCAAUAUGUCAUGACCUUUUUAACAAGGGAAUCAUAUAACUCGUUAUGCCCCCCAAUUGCAAUACUCAAAGCUGCUCUCAUCCUCACAACCUUUUCCUUCAACUGCAUAAAAUGUCAUAAAACAUUUACAACUUUGGUUCACAUUGCAUCAUAUGUAGAUAAUUACACAAAAGGAAGUCUCAACAAACCACGCCAAUCAAGUUCUGUUGAAAUGCAUGCUCCAUGUCAAUCCAAUCAAUUACCCAUAUGGAUGAGUCUUCACUGAAACAAUAGACAACAUAUGAGGUUGAGGGUUGGUUUGAUUAGGAAAAAACCGGAAUUAUUGAAUGACAAAAAGUAUUGAACUAAAGUGAACACCUUCUUCCACAAUUAGGUAUUCCCUUGGCAUCACUAAUGUCCCAUGUUGGCAUGCCAUAUGCCUGCUGCAUAUAUCCAGUAGGAUAACCGUCAGACUGCAGCAUUUUUGCCAUAACCUCAGCCUGUAAUUAGUUCAUUGUUAGAAUUUGCAAUUGAAGCAAACUGCAGCAUUUGCACAAUAUAAUCAUAGUGUUUUACCAUGUUUUGGAUGUGCAUUUUCCUUGAAUUAUUUUUUUCAGGUGGCAAGUAAGAGUCUAGGUGGCAUAUUUCUUCGUCUUGUAUAGAGACCACCAUAAGAUACCAAUGACACUCAUCUCUCACAGGGACAUAAAUCUGCAAACCCACAAAAAUGCUUAGUUAAGAUUCCUAGUGAACAUAUUGUCACGAUAAGUACUUGUUAUACUUGAACUUUGCAUAAGAAAACCACUUACGUAUUUCAACUGUGGGUAAGCUGGCAUCCAUUUGUCCCUUGUGACAAAGCAAGCAACCAUAUCCUCAACUGGAACACCAUCCUUAACAGCUUCCUGUGAUUAACACUUAUAAUUAGUUGUGGAAUUCGUAAGACUAUAGGUGGUGUAUCUGUAUUGACAAUUUUGGAUAACUUGUUGCACUUAGUUACCACUUACAGAGAAUGAGGGUGGGAGACACCAAACUGUUGGUGUCUGUGCCCUGUACUGAUUCCAUGUCGCCUUAAGAGUAUAGACUUUCAUUAACUGUUUAAAUAUAGAGGCAAAAAUUUUGUUAAACAAUUUAAAUCUGACAGUUAAUAUACUACACAAGAGUUUUCACAAAGGUUUUACAAAUAAACCUCAUCAGAUAAACGUUUCCCUGGGAUAAAAGAGUCAAAAUCCAUUCUAAGAGCAACGGUGUUGCUGCACUUGAAAAUUAAUUCAGUUGCUUCACAGUCUGGACUAUAAAGAUAUGCGCAUAUCUGGACUUCUUUCUGAGUAAGUACCAUUUCUGGUGUGGGUCUGAACUUGCACUUAAAGAUCUGCAUACAUUAAUGAAAAUGUUAACCACAGGUAUCUGUCCAAAGGCACCAUUUAAUUAAUCAUGUUCACCUAAACUGGAUGUUAUUACCCUUGGAAUGGUGUAUCCGUAAGCCCUCCCACUUUUAACAACUGGAGCUGCAGCAAUGGUUGUUUUUCGCUUUGGCAAUGGUGCCUUUGGUGUAUGCACGUUCUUUAUUGUAGAACCGGUUAAUGGGGUUAACUCAGUUUCAUGUAUUGUUGCUGACAUACUCAAGACCCUUGGAUUUGGAGGAGAUUCAAACAAUGUUUUACCAGUCAGGGGAGACCGCUGGAGAUACACUUCUUCACCUAUUCUGACUCCCUGUUGGCAAAAAUCAAAUUCAAAAAAAUUUUUAAUGUGCACAUGGUUGCAUACAAGUGGCCUCCAUUAAAUAUUUAAACACAUGUUAUAGAUUUGUACCUUCCCAGAGGGUGCUCCCGAAGAUUCAGAUUGUACCACCUUCUUCCCUUUGUCGCGCUGUGCCACAUUGAGGCCCAGUUUCUCAACCACGUCAAAGCCGAAGGUGUCAGUGACAUCCAUGUCUUGGCCAGCGUGGUUACUCAUAAGAUAGCAGUCAUCGUCAUUGUCAGAAUCAGAAACCUCUAACACAAUGUCUGAGUACGUAGACAAUGGCAUUUUCAUUUUCAGCUUUUUAUUUGACCCAGUAACAGUAGAUGGAGUACUGUACGGAAACUUUUGUGGGUAGUUCAACAGGCUGUCAGUGAAUUGAGACUCUGUCACAUUGGCAAAUGAAUUGAUCUCCUUAGAUUCGAUUUUCCGUUGCAUUUCAUGAGUCAACCAUUUCAGAGUAGUGACUUGAGUUAGUACGUUGUUGGACACUUUGUCCACGUCAUUAAUUCGCGAAGUCAAGGUCUGCACAUAUAGAGUAUUCAACGUACUCAGCAUGUGCACAUACACAGAAAGCUAAAAACGUUAUUUGUAAAGCCUAUAUUGAGCACACGUUGAAGGUUCUUGUUCCACAUGUCAUAAAUAUGGAAUUUUUUAACUUAAAACUUUUUUGCCAUUACAAAACGUUUGGAUCAACGUACGAAACCAUUCUGGACCGGAUCUGUGCAAUAAAUUUUGGAAUGUAACGCAGUCCAUUACUGAUGAAGGGGUUGCAGAGAAAAACUUAAGGUUUAUUCAUUCUUAAACGCUGGAAGAGACAAUGUACAUUUAAUCAUUUAUAUAUGCCUCAGAUAGACUCCAUUAAUUUUGGGCGGUUGAAGGUAAAUAAUUUGAAUAUUAAAAAUUUGGUCUGCGUUCAUUGGUUCGUACUGUGAUUAAACGGGUCCCUACCCUUAGUCAACAACCUGCACAAAGUAUUCAACAACUUAAUCAAUACACCCAUGAACUGGCCCCCACCCCCAUGUGAUGCGUUUUACCGCUUCCAAUCCAAUUUGCUUCCAAUCCCAUUUAUAUAUAUAUAUAUAUUUAUAAUUAAUCCAGGAAAAAACUUAUAAUUUCACUUGGUUUCAAAAUGGUGGUUACCAAUAGAGGGCCCCAUCAACUUUCCCGCAGACUGACUUGAUGUGAUGAGAAAUGUCUUGUAGAGUUUACAAAACACUGACAGUUAGUAGCCCGCGUGCCCCAGUUACAAAAAUCGUGCUGAAAGCCACUUUAAUAUCUUCUAGCAAUCUCUAUUUAUAUCAUUAGUCAAGUCAGUUGUCUGUCUACUGGUACUGCCCAUUAAGACAUCCUCUCGUUACUUCAGUGGGAAAGAGUUCACGUGGACGCAAUAUUAACCACUUGUGAGUAACCAAGGGAACUGGAUUUUAAUUACACAGUUCAAUCCUGGAUAUAACCCUUCAUACUCGUCUUCGUGAGGUCGAAUUUACAUGUGGAUAUUAACAUAAAACGCAGCGCUGCCAUUUUUUAAAAUUUUCAUGUCGACCUAUUUGCCAACUUAUAUUGUUCAACAUUUUUCCCUAAACCCUAAUUUGAUGUGUCGAACUAUAUAUAAACAAUAUUUACUAGUAAUUCAUUUUCCACUAACGAAUCUAUAACUACUACAAAGAAGGUUAUAUAUGGCACUAUUAAUCCAAGGGUUUUAUUCCAUGUGAUGUAGGUGCACCAUUAAGUUUUAGGGUGUUAUCUUUUCAUUUCAUGCGAAAGUACAUUUUCGGGGGACUUUUAAUAGGAUAAAGUGACUUAAAAUGUCUUGUGUUAGUACGUAGACUUAUUGGGUUGUUUUCCUUUUCAACCAAAAAGCGCCACAUUGCACUUGGUCUUUGGACUGGGCGAGCCCCUAAAGGGGCAACGCCCAGGGUCUUGCCCGCCCCGUGGCGUGUCCCCAAGCCAGUAGUUGGGCCUCGUUCAGCCAAGCCCAUAUGGCCCACUAAGGACAUUAGCAUAUGGGGGCCCAACACCGCCCCUAUAAAUAGGUAGCGAUACCAAUUGUAAAGUAUUAUGGCUCAUUUGAGAAAUAAACACAUCAAAUUCAGCAUUUCUCUCUCUAACUCUCUCUCUCUCUUUAGUGCAAUCUCUCUACACUCUAGGGAUUACUCUUUCCUUCAAUGUUCGAUUCAAGAACAGUCUUACAGCUACACCAAGUGGAUGUGAAAACAACCUUUCUGAAGGGAAAUCUUGAAGAGGAAGUUUAUAUGGACCAACCUGAAGGUUUUCCAAAUAAGUUAUAAGAGACCUUAAAAUCUGUGAUUAGUUUAUCCACUAUUUUGAAUGUUAUAUCUUAUCUAUAAAUCUGUUAUUUGAUGGACAUAUCAGAAUUAAGUCAAAUACACAUUAAGUUUGUCCUCUCUAGGCCCUAUAAAUAGAUACACAGUUUAUUGACUCUAUAUGACAAAUUGGAGAUACCUCCAUCCUUGAUACAACCGGAUGCCCUGUUAAUAUAGGCUAGAUUAGAUAGGUAUAGUUCUUCUCCACCGGGAAAUUCGCAUUCACGAUACUCAAUCUAGUCAUACGAGAAAUAUAGUUUUUGCACUCAUGAGGAUGAAGCACAACAUUUGCGCUUAAGAUGCUAUUAGAGUGAUAAGAACACGGUUUUGCCAAGGGGGGUGACCAUCCUUUUAUAGAACGUUACUACAAGCAGAACUAGAAAAAAUAAUAUGGCGGGCCCAAAAUAAGAUAUUAAAUAUAAAUUAAACUUUUUUAUUUGGAAUGGAGUCAUAUAUACAAAAAAUAAUGGUUAAAAUAUAUACUCAUUGAAAAUUUAUAGUAAGUUAUAUUUUUUAAAUCUUUCUCUUCAAUAAAUAUAAUUCUUUUCGUUAUUAGCUUUUUAUAGACAUUUAUAUAUCAAUGUUAUGCUCUAAAGUCAUAUUAAUUUUUGUUUACACCAAAACAAAACUAUUAGCCUUUCUCUUGCAAUAGAAUAAUUUUAAUUCUUGUAAUAUUUAAUUGUGUCAAAGUUUCCUGUAAAAUAAAAAUUGUGUCAAAGUUAUUAAGUAAUAAUAAGUGAAAUAAUAGUUGUAAAAAAAACUGAAAUAAUAGAAAAUAUAUUUUUGUCAAAAUGAAAAAAUAAUCAAAGAUGACUUGGUGAGGAUUUGAGCUCACAGCCUGUUGGUGAGAGAUCACAGGUACCAACCAACGGGACAACACACUUUAUUCAUCGAAUUGCACAUUGUUUUAUAUAUAUAACAAAUAAUUAACACCCAUUGGGGGGGCAGCAACCGUCACCUGUUUAAACGUGGCUCCGCCACUGGCUACAAUACAAUGUUAAGGCUGCCAGAAAGAAAGUGACGUCUCCACCUACAACUGGGCUUCACUUCGGCUGACAACAGCUAUAGUGACAGUCCAGUUUAACGUUUCUUGGAAAUAUCUGGGCCAGAUCCGUCGUCUUUUUUUUUUCUACUCCUUCUCAACAUUGAACUGUUUUUUUGGACAUGCCCCACCGCCCAUUAUCAACCUGCACAAAGUAUAUGUUCACACUCCAUCCUAAGUUAAGGUUAAUCUAAUUAUUCAUGAGUAAUGAUAUAUACACACCUCAUUUUUUAAACACUCCUUCUCCACCUUUUUUAUUUCUAUCUCUCUCAUCUUAUCAUCUAUCAUAUCUCAUACUUUCUCUCUCUUACUUUUUCUUUUCUUCCUAUCUCUCUCCUCAUUCCACCUCUUCACCUCAAAAGAGAGGUGUAGAUGAAACAUUAUCCAAUUAAUAAUUGUAUUUGUCUCAUACCAAUGUCGUGCAACCAUUCAUUGGUAUGGGAAACAUAUUUGCAAUAAACAAUUAACCACCUAUUAUAAAUACAUUCUCUUAGAACUUCUCAUAACAUGACAUUCUUUAUCAUACGAUACUUAAACAGUAUUGCAUAGUUGUUACAUUCUUUAAGCAUUCAAUUAUGUCUUACUAGGUAUUACAGGGUAGCAUUAUAUCAACUUGGAUAAAUAUAUAUACACAUCAUAGUCAUUCUUAAAUGUUACUAUGACCUGCAGAAAUAAUAUCAUUUCCAUUAUAUUCAAUUUUGCAUACCCGCGUGUGGAAUUCCUACACCAACAGUAACCAAACCAUUGAAUUAUGAUUUUAACUAAAACACUGUUCCGCACUUCCGCUCCAAUCCAAAUAAGUGUAUUUCAUUCCGUUCAAUGAUAUAUAUAAGCCUUCAAUCAACAUAUAUUGUACCUCAUCAACCCUAACCCUACCCUACCCUAAUGACAAUUCCAAUUGCUUGUUCCCUAACAACAUUCCAAUUACAUAUCAUGAUUUUUAGUUCUUACCUAAGAUUCCAUUAAUGCCAUAUUGCAACAACUUCUGUAACCAAUUAUCAACCAACUUUUGCAUUAUUUUCUUCAUCCCCAAGUUCUUCACUUCCCCCAAUUCCUCCACAAGUACCACCUGAGGUGUAACUACCACCUGGCUUGGUCGGGCCUAUGCCUAGGCUCCAAUAAAAAUAACUUUUUCUUUCGAACAAGUAGGCCAAAAUUUGGGCAAAAUUUAAAGGGUAGGGCAAAAUACAUGUAUUUCUUAAUUUUUCUAGGCUUCCUAAAAUUCCUUAUCCACCACUUAGUACCACUAUACCAUUCAAUUUUAGUUUCAUAACUCAAUAACACAACACACAUAAAGUACUCGGAAUCAUAACUAAUCAACUAAUUUGGAUGGGAGAUAAAACUUUUCAGUAUCUUACCUUACUAACUCAUAAGACCCGACAAAUUUUCCUACAUAACAACUACAUUAGAUCUGUAAUUCUUACUAAUUCUUACUUUUAACUAAUAUACUCACCUUUAAAUACUUAAUUUAGAUCUGCCCAGUGGCGGAACCAGUAAUUUUGUGGACCCUGGCCAAAUUUAGACCUAAGCCGUCGAGAUCUAACGUCUGAUGCAGGCUUAUAAAUUGCGGUUGUGGUUGCAGACAUUAUGAUGUUGCGGCAUGAAUAUUAUGUUGCAAUGACAAAUAUGUCUCAUUCUCAAUUAAACACUGAGUUAUCCUUAAACACUCAACCCAAACAUAUAGGUACUGUCCCCAUAUGCCCGGUACAUGAGAAUACAUAAUCAGUUCGCAAAUUGUUCGUUCUAAUUAAAUUAAAAUAAUUUUAGAUAAAAUAAUUUUAGUACAUAUAAGAUAAUAGGUAUAAUAUUAAUUUUAUUAUUAAUUUUUCAUAAAUAAUUUCAUCUAUCUUAAAGUCUUCUAAUACUUUUUUAUACAAUUUUUUUUUUAUCUUAUAUCAGUAUAUUGACAGGUUGUGUUAUUUUGUUCAAGGAUAUGAAUUUAAUUAAUAAACGAUGGCCCAAGGCCCUACUACUACACAGGUAAAGACACUAUACCGUAUACCCUCUUAGAAUUAUUAUUCCAUGGAAAAAUAGAAAAAUGGGCCCAACUUUUAAACUUGGACGGCCCAUAGUUAGAGUCUCAUAACUUUGACCCAAAAAUUAAAAAAGCCUAAAACCCUAAAGGUCAUCUUCCUUAUUCUACUGCGCAGCCUCAACAGCAACAUGUCAUCUUCAACUUUUCGUUUCUUUUUUGGCUUUCUGAACUCUAAAGCUCUACCUGCGUCUUCAUCCUUCUUGGUUCCAUGGCAUCUACUUGCGUCUCUACCCUUGCAUCAGAUGGCAACCCCUCAAAAUGCCCAUGCGGCCCCUUAAAAAGACCUCUAAAAAUCUGUGGCACUGCCCACGGUACUGAAGGCGGAGCAGCCAGGGAGCCAGGCCAAGUGCCCAGGGUCGCCGGGCGGUGCCUCCGCCACUGGAUCUUCCCUAACAAGCUCGUCAAUGUACUGAUAUACAAGACCCCAAUCAAUGUUUUUUUUCAAAAAUACUUCAUUUAUGGGAAAUUCAAAUUCUAUUGCCCAGCAAAUUAAUGUCUGUUCAUCUGCUACAAAAACAAAACGUUUUGCCAAUGCGGUGAUCACGAACCCAGUAUUAACACGCAAGUUUUAAAAUGUUAUACUCCACUAUAAUAUUCACCAUUUAACAACUGUCUUCAACUCAGGAAACACAAGGCCCCACCGCCACCCCCGUCCCCUAUGACCGGUAUUCAAUAACCUGUCUUAUACCUGUUAAUAAAUCUAAUAUAAUAAUUUUUAGGUACCAGUUUGCAAUUCUUAGUAAACUUUUCAUAACAGGUCUUUUUUAUACAGUAACCAUUUUCAUCUCGUCCGUCUAAUAUUAUAUCAUUAUAUCCAAUGGUGUUUUUUGCUGGAGUACGGGUACACCACCACGUUAAACCCUGCCAUAUGAUAUGAACUUAGACUUUUGCUACUUUCACAAUUCCAAACAGCUUCUGUGACUUGUUCCUCCGGAUAAUGUGCUAUUAAGAAAUUAUUCCGCUCAUAUUAUCUAACAUUUUGAACUUCAAACCUUUAAGCAAUGGUUUACCCCAAUUUUGACAUUCAAAAAACUUAUGAAAAUGAUCUCAGUGCUUGCUUUAUGUAUCUAUUCUUUACCCCCUCCAUCCAGGGGCGGAUCCAGACCUUAUAAAUCAGUGUGACUAAACAUAAAAGAAAUUAUAAACUAAAAUAUAUUGAAAGUAUUUUUUUUGAAAAAGAGAAAUAUUAUAGAUAAAACAAUGAGAGAAAGUUUCUCAUGGAAAUAGAAGAGUUUACAGUCCAAGAAGGACUAGGCUUACAACGAAAUAUAACAAAAGAAACAAAGUGAAAACAAGUAAAGUAAAGAAACAAGAACAAUAAACUAGGGAAAAUGCAUUGUAUUGGAUGACAUGAUAAGCACAAUAAUUUGAGUGAACAUUAAUUUCAUGAUGGAUAUGAACAACAGACACAGUAUCAAACACAUUCAGGAAGAGAAUAUAAUGAAAGCAACACACAAUUUUAGAGACUUGAUUUUUUUUUGUAUCAACUAAGGUAAAAUGUAUUAAAAUGGGAGUACUGUGCGUACUUCAAACCCAUGCACUUACAACAAGAAAGCAUAGAACUAUUAAAAAUAAAAGAACAGACACAACAAUUCUAUUUUACUUACACAGACCUGCUACCUACAAAAAACCAAACUCAAACAAAACUACCUAUACAAGAAGCAUGUUUUCUUCAAAUGUUUUUACACCGUAAAUAGAUCUGACUUCACUUUGAUUGUUGAAUUCCUCUAAUUCUUCAUCAAGACCAAUUACAACUGAUUAUCAUAUUUGUCAUAUGGAGCAUUUGUUUUGUAAUCUAGAAACCCCUUCUGCCACCAACACAAGUUGCUAUCUUUUUACCUCCACAUAAGAACUGAAGCAAUUCUAAAUAGAGAAAAUAAAGAUUGAAGCUAUAUGAAAGGGAAACAUAGACGGCACCAAAAAAAAAAAAAAAACUGGUGUGGCUCAUGCCUUAAUGUGGGUCCGCCCAUGCCUCCAUCCUAAUACCAUAUCGGCAUAUCCCACUACAAUAUUGUUUUUUUUUUGAACAGUACAAAAUUGUUAAUAUGAUCCUGCUUCAUUAAUUUUUUUAUGCUUCUAUGAAAAAAAUUGAGUUUGUAUAUUUUUCUUGUAUGUACGUAAUUAAAUUUCUAUUACAUUCAUUAUUUUUUUUUUUCAAAAUUUAGUGAGAUAUGAACUUUGGUUGAAAGUGUUUUAACACCUAACCAAAAUUGAAACACACUUUGAGACAUACAGGCAACUAGAUUGUCCACCCAAAUUCAUAAAAAAAAAAAAAAAUUAGUUUGUGCUUUCACUCUCAGAUGCUUCAUCACGUUUAAUAUAUAUGCCAAAGCAAGACCAAACAUCCUUUUUCCUUUUCUUCUCCAUUAUAUAUUUGAAUUGAGAACACGUAAGAACUGAGAUUAAUGCUGUUUUUAUUUUAUUUUACUGCCCUUCUUGUAAAGUCCAAUACUAAUAUUGCUUGGUUGCAAUCUGUUCUGUUUUGUUCAAUUCCUUAAAAUCACUAGAAAUUAAAAGGCACCAUAAAGUAAACAAUAAUUAUAAUUGAAAAAGAACCCAAGGUAUAUAAAUGCCUUCUUUACCAGUAGAUACAGGUAAUAGAUUAGUGUUGAGAGGAAUUGUUUUUUUAGUGAAUUUAUUCACAUUUUUUAAUUAACUUUUCCUUCCCACCAUAUUAUUUGAAUAUUUCUCUUUUCUUCCAUGUAGAGAACAAGUGUCAAAAGUUAAAACGGGCAUGAGUUGAGUAAGACUCCAUUGGCAAGACUUGCUUUUGUUAGACCUGAGUUUGCCUAGGCCCAUGGAUUACCAUAUUAUUUGAUAGUUUUUAUUUUUUGUCAUUGAGCUUAUUCUCAUUUUUUCUAGUUUUUUCCUCUAUUUUUGUAACUUUUUUUCUUUUCUAAAUCACUUAUAAGAUUUGGAAGUACAAACCCAAAAUAUUGCCAUAGGUCUAGAGUGUGUUGGAUUUGUUGUGAGUGUGACUUAGCACGAUUCAAAAUGUUAAAGGUAUUUGAACUUUGGUAAGUGAUUAUAUAUGAACAUAUAAUUUUUAGUACGUGUACAUUUAAUCAACAUAUUAUUUAGCGCCAACGUAUUUAAAUUUAUGGCGAAUGCUUAUAUAUUUUAUAUAAUUUUCAGUGGAUAUUCAUCAAUCAACCUGCAAUUUAGUGGUGACGGUUUUUAACUAGGAUUAGACAAUAUGUUGAUUGAAUGUCGCUGAAAAUCAUAUAUCGGUAUAACAUUAGUGACUUGGGGUCCCCAAUCUUACGUACGAAGUCCUUAAAAUUAUCCAACUUCUUUAGUUUCAAUAUAGUCACAUGCAGCUUAGUGGCUACACAUAUUGAAAGCACAAACAAACAAACGCACUUUCAAAAUUUGCUUAAAGCCAAACCAGCUACGAAGUGGACCUGAGUGCGUAGCUAAGACCAAAUCUUUAAUACACUAGUCAUGCAGAAAGGAACACUAAUAUUUAGGGGGAUAUGAUUGUCAUGCUUGUACUAAUCAUCUUUCAUACAUAUAUGUCGCUCUCCACUAUUGGCUCAUUGGACUGGAUUCAAUAAUGCAACUGAAUAAUUCACAACACUUUUUAUCAUGAUCUUUAAGAAUACUCUAUCCUUUACCAUUAAGUCCUCAAAGAAAAGAAAGUAUACCUGACGAAAUUUAAGGAAAUACACGAAACAAGAAGAUAUUUGCAAUUCGAACUCAGGAGGAUAUUAGGCCUAAUAGCGUUUUGGGCCGACUGAAAAUGUUGGCACAUGGUAUGAGCAGUAUCAUGGAUUGAUAAUUCAUAUUAAGGUCUCAUUGAUUAGAACAUACGUAAAUCAGUCUAACUGAAAAAUAAUCACCGCUGACCUAACUUUUGGGAAAAAUAUAGACCAUAACUCAAAAUUUAAGAGCGUACCAAAGCAUGUUAUAGAUUCAUUUACUGGACCACCUAUAAAUGAGUAUUCGGUGAUGCAAACUUCACGUUUUGGCCUCUAGGGAAGCGGAGUUAGGCUUCAAAAAGCCGGUAACCAGCCGCUUUGUGGAUGUCGGGAGGUAGUCUUCCCGACUACCAGAACAGUAGUCCCUAACUUUGGGUAUGUACGAACGUGGAUCACAAGAGGCAUGAGGGUAUAUUAUUUGUUCCUGGUGAGAUGUUGUGGUUGGCCUUCGUAAGCGCCCAUGGUUUGUGUGCGUUGUUUCCAGGGUUCGUUGCACGAACGUCAAGUGACGAGGAGGUCACCAUUAGGCUUGCAUCAGGAGGUAGUCUUCCCGACUACGGGACAAUCCUCACCACCGAGCUAACUUUUAGGGUAGACUGAGACUUAGCGUCUGAAUGAUAAGAUUUAAAAAAAUAUUCUAUCGGUUCAUAUGAAAUCACACAUUGGAGCACUGCUUUUCCACCUCGUCUUUUAUGAGAAAGUCAAGUCCAGACAACUUCUCCACAAGAAAUCUUCACAAAUAGCAUGCCAAAAUCAAGCAAGCUACAACACAGGCAUCAAAAGGAAAACAAAACAAGUGAAGGAUAUCAUAAAAGCUAUUCCAUGAUGAAUAAACAUUCAACUAGGCAAAAGGUAAUAAUAAUUGAAAGCAGACACCGACCUUACUGAGUAUGUUGAUUACUGGGACUCCCCACUUGGUUACGUAAAAUAGUUGAGCUCCACUAUAUAUAGGUAAUAGGUAUAGUGUACUAUAAUAUUCAACUGAAUUUUGAGCACUAGUUUAACAAAUACCACACCCUCUUAUAUAUAAACAUGAGAAUUCAGUAAAUUGGUUAUUGAGUUCCAAGCUGAAACGAGAUGGACGGUUAUAGUCCAAAAUGGUUUCAUAAAGCGAAGCCAUUCAUAGGUGUUGUGUUCAUUCAAUCUGGAUACGCAGGUAUGGAUGUUCUGUGCAAGGCUGCAUUGAACAAUGGAAUGAGCAAUUAUGUUCUUGUUGUCUACCGUCACGCUGUUGCCUUUGUUGUCAUGGUUCCUUUUGCAUUGAUCUUGGACAAGUAUGUAUCUCUCUUCCAUGUGUGUAUGAAUUGUGAUAGCUUUUAUUUCUUCAGAAUCAAUUACGGAACUCAGAAACUAUGUAUUCACAAAAGUUUCACACUCAGAAUCAAUUCUUAGAAUCAAUUGUAUAGCAUGUUUAGAUCAGUUCUUUCAUAAGAAUCAAUUCUGAAAUGCUUCUCACAAAUAUAUCUGCUGCAGAAUUGACUCUGGCUUCAGAAUCAAUUAUAGAAGAGUUUCCAAACAUUUAGGUAGAAUGAUUUCCAAAUAUUCAUUCUGACCUGAUGCUACAUUCUCUUAACAGGAAAAUAAGGCCGAAGAUGACAUUUUCAAUCUUUGUGAAGAUAGUGUUACUGAGCUUGUUAGAGUAAUAAUUAUUUUCUUACAUGACUAAACUUACCAUAUUCUUCUGUCCUGUGGAAAAAACAUGCUUAACAUUAAUCUUGCUCUGUUAUGGCAGGCCAGUUAUUGAUCAGAAUCUGUAUUAUUUGGGAAUGAAGUACACAACAGCAACCUUUGCAGUUUCCAUGUACAAUAUCCUUCCUGCCAUCACUUUCCUCAUGGCUUACAUUCUUAAGUACUGUUUCUAUUCCCUACCAUUAAAGAAUAUUUCAGAUUUGAUAAAAAAGCUAAACAGAACAUAGCUCAAUAAUGAGGAUUAUUAAAUAAGUGUGCAUAACAUCUUUUAAUACAUGUUGUCACUCAAAAUUAUGUACAACUCAUCUCUUAUUAACUUGGUUUAGGAGGCUGAGUUUGUAAUCAGUGUUUUAAACUGUGAUUGCGGUACCGUCACGGUUGCGCUGCGGUCCUUUCUAUUGCAGAAAAUUGUGAAUAAAUGUGAUUGUCGCGACAAAAAUCACCGUCGCGUUACGUUUUGAAAACCUCCAAAACUUUGAUGUCGUGGCCGAUCACAGUCGCGAACCUUGAUUGAAAACCAUGCUUAUAAUUAAAAGAGUUUCUUGUGCCAUUUGUACUCAAUUUAUAAAAAAUUUAAUUUAAGCAUUUUAUUUUCAGGCUAGAGAAGAUAAAAAUAAAAAGUAUACGUAGUCAAGCAAAGGUGUUUGGGACUUUAGCCACUGUUGCAGGUGCCAUGGUGAUGACACUAAUAAAAGGCCCUGAACUUGAGCUUUUUGGGACUCAUGGAGGAAGCAGUACCCACAUCCAGCAUAAUGGUGGGGUAAACCUUCAACAUGCAAUAAAGGGAUCAGUGAUGAUCACAAUUGGGUGCUUUAGUUUUGCAGGUUUCAUGAUUCUCCAAGUGAGUUUUUCCUCUAUCAACUUUCAGCUAUGAAAAAAGUAAAUAUAGUGCUAUAAAGCUCCCGUUAUACUCGAGAUCUAGAGAGAGACCAGAUCAAUUUUUAAGAAUUUAAUAUUGGCAGUCUUAUACCUUGCAAAAAUGCAAGAGACUUAUUUCACGGCUCAAAUCUGUGAUCGACUGCAAAGUCACAUGACAACAACCUUACCAUUGCGUUGAGACUCGCACUCGUGUUUUUCAUCUAUCCAAAUAAAUAAAUUUUCUUUUAGUUUGAUGGGGUACCCUAAUCUGAUAUAGUUUCACUUUCAUCUUUUUCUCUAGGCUAUUACCCUUGAAGCCUACCCUGCUGAUCUCUCUCUCACAGCAUGGAUAUGUUUGUUGGGAACAGUUGAAGGUGGCAUAGUUGCCCUGGUUAUGGAAAGGGGUAACCCUGCUCCAGUUUGGUCUUUGAAUUGGAAUACAAGUUUGUUGGCUGCUGUCUACGGUGUAAGUUCUUUAAUUUUAUACUGAACAGUGAAAACUGAAAACAACCUCCAGUUCUUGACCAGCCAUAAAAUUAAAGAAUGCACAUUUACCACCGAUAGAGUUUAAGAAGAUAAUCCAAAAAAGUCCAUAGAAUCAACACUGAAAUCCAACUGCAUUAAAAAAAUAUACUAAAACAUAAAAGAGAUUUUGGAGGACAUGAAUUAUACAUGUCAACUGCUUCUUCAUGAAAUUUUCUUCUCACCAUAUUAGCAUCUUCCCUCCCAAUGUUUCAAGUUUAUAUAUGAAUAUAUGACAAAAGAGCUGUUGUGUUCGGAAGAGCUUACCUUAUAAUAUAAGCAUUUAAAUAAUUGUUUGAGUCAACCGACGAAAAUAAUUCAUUUGUUAUACACUUAUAUACUCUUUUGAGCUUAUUUUUAUAAGUUUCUUCAAAUAACAUAUGAAUAAGCACUUAUAUAUAUUUUUAAGCAGUUUUAAACUUAUUUUAAUAAGUUUUUAAAAAUAGGCUUAUGAAUAAUCAAGCACUUCCGUGAUAAGUACUUACUGGCAUAAAUACUUAAGCUGUUUGCCGUGAAUGUUCUUCCUCUAUAAAUUUCUAAAAUUUAUUUGCAGGGCAUAGUUUGCUCUGGAAUGACUUAUUACAUCCAAGGAGCAGUGAUGAAAUACAAAGGCCCAGUCUUUGUAACAACAUUCAGUCCUCUAUGCAUGAUCAUUGUGGCUAUACUGGGCUCUUUUAUUUUGGCUGAGCAAAUGUAUCUUGGAAGGUAAUCAUAAAUAUCGAGUACAACUAAUAAAUCAUCUUUUCUUGUUUAGUGUUUCCAUCACUGUUCAACUAAUAAAAUUGUGUCAUGUCAUUCAGUUGACAUUAUACAAUUUUAUUGAUGGGAUAGAGGAUGAGACACAAACAGAGACAUAAAAUCUUAACCCCCACAACAUAUGCCUAAAGACCUCAAUCAAAAAAUAAAUUUAUGAAAAAGUUGAACUGAAGUAUAUAUCUUGUGCUAAAUUUUACAGGGUGAUUGGAGCCAUUGUCAUUCUUUUAGGGUUGUAUCUAGUGGUGUGGGGUAAAAACAAAGAUUAUGACUCACCACCAAGUCCAAUUAUUAACGAGCAUGUAUUGCCAGAUAAGCAAACUACAGAGAGCAAUGCCAAGGACAAGGAGAAGCCUUCUAAUCACGAGCUUAUCACUAUUAGUAACAUUGGUGCAGGAAACUUAGCUCAAUAUGAACAAGUAUGAAGGGAUACACUAAAUUAAAUCCAAAAAGUUUAGUUAUCCUAUGAUGUUCUACUUUCAGUCUACCAAUCCAAAUGCCAUUUAACAAUCUCAACUAUAUAUAGGCUCCUAGUUAAUUGUUCGACCUUUCGAUUAUGAUGUAAUAGUUAAGGUUUUUAUGUAACAACAUAGCAUGUCAGAAUAUGACAACAAAAUACCAUGUAUUGGAGGGGAAGUGCAUCCAUGUAUUGUAGGUUUGAGAAAAUAUUCCUUCAACAUGCCUAUUGUUGUCAUGCUGGAUUUGUAUUAAGGUUGAAUUGUAUACUUCUUUGUUUUGGCUUUGUUCAUGGUUUUGAAUAUUUGAGUAAGAAUAAUGUUUGGCUCCCAUCCAUUUCCACCUCCAUCUCUUUAAAUGUGAAGAGAAAUUAGAAAAAUAAGGAAUAUGAUAUGUGAUGUGACAGGAAAUGCAGAGAGAUAUAGAAAGAAAAAUGAGUGGAAAAAAAAUGGAAGAGAAAGUGAAGUGUGAAUGCAACAUUACUCAACAUCUCUUUGAGUAAUGAUGCUUAGCACUCCAAAGUUGGACAAUUUGACUAUCUGUGUGUAAGACGGCAUAUAUAUAUAUAUAUAUAUAUAUAUAUAUAUAUAUAUAUAUAUAUAUAUAUUGGAUGUUUGUUAAAUGAAGAGUUAGAACAUGGACUCUAAUCUCCUACCUCCCGCAAAGAGUCACUGCACAAACAUUAAAAAAGAAAAUUAAUUAAGAAGAACUCCCUAAAUUUCAAAACGAGAGCAACGUCCAUGACAACCCAAUGGAAAGAGGAAUAACAAGAAAGUCUUUAGGGGCGUUUAUUACAAGUUAUCAAAAAUCAUUUUCGGGUAAGUGGAUUCCCAGGAAUACUAUGAUGAGAAUGUUAUUUCUGACAUCUUUUAAAAAACUGUUUGAUUGAUAAAUUCAAUUCCUAGUAUGUUUUUAAAAUUCAUUUAAUUAAAAUAUUUAAAAAUAUAAAAUUUAAAGGAAAAAGAGAAGUUAGUGGGAAAUAACUUCUAUUUCCAUGGCAAUGCAAGAUAUCAUAUCAUCCAUCCUUGAACAUGGAAAUAAAGUUUGGAGAAAAACAAUGUAAAUUGCAUGUCUGAGAAUCCACAAUAUCUGAGAAUACUUUUUUCUGAAACUUAUACCAAACAUGAGAAUGUUACAUUCCCAACCUAACUUACAUGAGAAUGUUUAAAGAUCCCUUCUACCAAACGCAAGCAAAAUCAUCAGAUAGCAUUUAUUCAUGAAAGGAACCCAUUUAUAAAACCAAAUACAUCAAUCAAUCAAUAAAAGUUUAAACUCACCAAUAUGAAUUGCAUUCAUCUGCUACAUAUUUCAUUCGUGUGAGAAGAAAUAAGCUAAUUAGUACAAGUUUUGACUUGUUUUGACUUUUGAGGUGAAAUGGAUUGUUAUUGUUGAGUAUGGCUCAUGGCGAUCAAAUGCAUUUGAGACCAUCUAUGAUCGCUGGAAUGUACAUGAGACCACCUUUGAGAAGCUUCAACAAUUUAAGGAUGCUACGAUGAUUAUAAAUUAAGAGGGAGUGUUAAAUGAUAGUUAAUUUAUAACUUGAAAAGUUAUGAAUGAGUUAAAUUUUGUUUAUGUCCUUUUAUGCAUUUCUUAGUGGUUACAAGCAUAAUGAUGCUAGAAGUUAAUGUCCUUUAUGUAGUUGCAUAACUUAUAUCCUUUCAUCUUCUCUAUUCACUAGUAUUAAAUAGAGAAGCAUUCUAACUUCUACAUUAAGAAAUAUCAGAAAAAUAAAAAAGUCUCUAUCAUUUUCCUAAAUUUUCUACUACUACACUUCUGCUUCUCCAAGAGGCAUCAAAAGGAAAACAAAACAAGUGAAUGAUAUUAUAAAAUCUAUUCCAUGAUGAGUAAACAUUCAACUAGGCAAAAGGUGAUAAUCAUUGAAAGCAGACACCGGCCUUACUGAGUAUGUUGAUUACUGGGACUCCCCACUUGGUUAUGUAAAAUAGUUGAGCUCCACUAUGUAUAGGUAUAUUGCACUAUAAUAUUCUACUGAAUUUUGAGCACUUGUUUACUAAAUACCUCACCUUCUUAUUUAUAGAAAUGAGAAUUUAGUAAAUUGGUUAUUUUGUUCCAAUUAGCUGAAACGAGAUGGAAGGUUAUAGUCCAAAAUGGUUUCAUAAAGCCAAGCCAUUCAUAUGUGUCGUGUUCAUUCAAUCUGGAUAUGCAGGUAUGGAUGUUCUGUGCAAGGCUGCAUUGAACAAUGGAAUGAGCAAUUAUGUUCUUGUUGUCUACCGUCAUGUUGUUGCCUUUGUUGUCAUGGCUCCUUUUGCAUUGAUCUUGGACAAGUAUGUAUCUCUCUUCCAUGUGUGUGUGAUAGCUUUUAUUUCUUCAGAAUCAAUUACAGAACUCAAAAAGCUAUGUAUUCACAAAAGUUUCACACACAUGUUUAGAUCAGUUCUUCUUUAAUUUCAUCAGAAUCAAUUCUGAAAUGCUUCUCACAAAAAAAGCUGCUGUGCAGAAUUGACUCUGGCUUCCGAAUCAAUUGUAGAAUAGUUCCCGAACAGUAGAAUGAUUUCCAAAUAUUAACUGACCUGAUGCUACAUUCUCUUAACAGGAACAUAAGGCCAAAGAUGACAUUUUCAAUCUUUGUGAAGAUAGUGGCACUGAGCUUGUUAGAGUAAUAAUUAAUUUCUUACAUGACUAAGCUAAACAUAUUCUUCUAUCCUGUGGAAAAAUCUUGCUUAACAUAGAUCUUGCUCUGAUAUGGCAGGCCAGUUAUUGCUCAGAAUCUGUAUUUUUUGGGAAUGAAGUACACAACAGCAACCUUUGCAGUUUCCAUGUACAAUAUCCUUCCUGCCAUCACUUUCCUCAUGGCUUACAUUCUUAAGUACUGUUUCCAUUCCCUACAAUUUAAGAAUAUUUCAAAUUUGAUAAUAAAGCUAAACAGAACAUGGCUCAAUAAUGAGGAUUAUUAAAUAAGUGUACAUAACAUUUUUUAAUACAUAUUGUUACUAAAAAUAAUGUACGACUCAUCUCUUAUUAACUUGGUUUAGGAGGUGUAAAUAAGCGUGACUGUUAUGAAAAAAACAUGGCCGCGUUCCGUUUUAAAAACCUCCAAAACCUUAAUGUCGUGGCCGAAAUCACAUUCAUGAAUGUUGAUUUAAAACCAUGCUUGUAAUCAAAAGAGUUUCUUGUGCCAUUUGUACUCAAUUUAUUAGAAAUUUAAUUUAAGCAUUUUAUUUUCAGGCUUGAGAAGAUAAAAAUAAAAAGUAUACGUAGUCAAGCAAAGGUGUUUGGAACUUUAGCCACGGUUGCAGGUGCCAUGGUGAUGACACUAAUAAAAGGUCCUGAACUUGAGCUUUUUGGGACUCAUGGAGAAAGCAAUACCCACAUCCAGCAUAAUGGUGGGGUAAAUCUUCAACAUGCAAUAAAGGGAUCAGUGAUGAUCACAAUUGGCUGCCUUGGUGGUGCAGGUUUCAUGAUUCUCCAAGUGAGUUUUUCAUCUAUGAGAAAAGAUAAAAUUUAAUUAGUGCUAUAAAACUCCUGUUAUUUGCGGGAUCUAGACAUAAUUUAGAUAUAUUUUUACGAAUUAAAUGUAGGUAAAUUUUGCAUUUUUGCAAGAGACUAAUAUCAUAAUUGAUAAUUUAAAUUUGUGACCGCAAAGUCACCAGCAACAUUACUGUUGCAUUGAGACUAGAGAUUGAGUUUUUCAUCUAUCCAAAUAAAUAAUUUUUCUCUUAAUUUGAUGGGUUACCCUAAUCUGAUAUAGUUUCAUCUUUUUCUCUAGGCUAUUACCCUUGAAGCCUACCCUGCUGAUCUCUCUCUCACAGCAUGGAUAUGUUUGUUGGGAGCAAUUGAAGGUGGCAUAGUGGGCCUGGUCAUGGAAAGGGGUAACCCUGCUCCAGUUUGGUCUUUGAAUGAGGAUACAAAAUUGUUGGCUGCUGUCUACAGUGAAAGUUUUUUAAUGUUAUACUCCGAUACAGUUCUUGACCAGCCAUAAAAUUAACAAAUUCACAUUUACAAUCGAUAGAGUUUAAAAAGAUGAUCAAAAAAGUCAUUAGAAGCAACAAUGAAAUCCAAAGGCAUAAAAAAUAUACUAAAACGUAAAACAAAUUUAGGAGGUCACUACACACACGGGACAUAAAUUAUACUCUGCUUCUUCAUUAGUUUUUUUUUUUUUUUUUUAAAUAAGUAACAUGAUUCAUCCGCACACAAAUUUUUUCCAUUUCAUUUCCACCUAAUUUUACUUCUAUUUUUCUCUCCAUUUUAUUUUCUAUUUUAUUAUUGUAUUAUAUUUCAUUCUUUCUAUUUCUUAUUUCUCUUAUUCAUCCACUCUUUUCCACUUAAAAUGAGGUGGUUAAACAAAAGUAUAAAUACCACCAUAUUAGCAUCUUCCCUCUCAAUAUUUCAAGUUUAUAUGAAUAAAAGAUAAAAGAGCUUGCUGUGUUUGAAAAAACUUAGCUUAUAUUAUAAGCAUUUAAAUAAGUGUACGUCUGAGUGAACUAAUAAAAACAGUUUAUAAGUUAUAAACUUAUAAAUUAGUUGUCUAAAUGACUGAUGAGAAAUUUUGAGUUAAAUAAGUCAUCGUCCAAUCACAUUGGAAAUAAGUGAGUUGAAAUUUAAAUAUUUUAUUUAUUCAUUUAUUUAUAAAAAAAAUCUUAUUGAUUCAUUAAGUUGGGGUUAGUAACCCAAUGGGUCAUUUAGACAUCCCUCAUUCUUUUGAGCUUAUUUUUAUAAGUUUCUUCAAAUAAACACUUUUUUUAAUGUAGUUCUCAACUUAUUUUAAUAAGUUUUUGAAAUAUGCUUAUGAAUAAUUAAGCACUUCGUAAGAAGUACUUACUGUAAAUACUUAAGCUGUUUGCCGUGAAUAUGUACAUGUAUAAUAACUAUGUUCUUCCUCUAUAAAUUUCUAAAAUUUAUUUGCAGGGCAUAGUUUGCUCAGGAAUGGCUUAUUACAUCCAAGGAGCAGUGAUGAAAUACAAAGGCCCAGUCUUUGUAACAGCAUUCAAUCCUCUAUGCAUGGUCAUUGUGGCUAUAUUGGGCUCUUUUUGUUUGGCUGAGCAAAUGUAUCUUGGAAGGUAAUUAUAAACAUCGAGUCCAACCAAUAAAUCACAUGUUCUUGUUUAGUGUUUUUAUCACUGUUCAACUAAUAAAAUUGUAUGUUGACCCAAAAAAAAAAAACUAAUAAAAUUGUAUCAUGUCAUUUAAUUGAUAUUGUACAAUUUUAUUGGUGGGGCAGAGAAUGAGACGCAAACGAAGUCAUAAAAUCUUGAUCCCUACAACAUAUGUCUAAAGACCUCAAUCAAAAAACAAAUUUAUGAAAAAGUUGAACUCACGUAUAUAUCUUGUGCUAAAUUUUACAGGGUGAUUGGAGCCAUUGUCAUUCUUUUAGGGUUGUAUCUAGUGGUGUGGGGUAAAAAUAAAGAUUAUGACUCACCACCAAGUCCAAUUAUUAACGAGCAUGUAUUGCCAGAUAAGCAAACUACAGAGAGCAAUGCCAAGGACAAGGAGAAGCCUUCUAAUCACGAGCUUAUCACUAUUAGUAACAUUGGUGCAGGAAACUUAGCUCAAUAUGAACAAGUAUGAAGGGAUACACUAAAUUAAAUCCAAAAAAUUUAGUUAACCUAUGAUGUUCUACUUUCAGUCAACCAAUCCAAAUGCCAUUUAACAAUCUCAACUAUAUAUAGACUCCUAGGUAAUUGUUCGACCUUUCGAUUAUUGAUAUAAUAGUCAAGGUUUUUGAUGUAACAAUAUAGCAUGUCAGAAUAUGACAACAAAAUACCAUCAAAGAAAGAAGAAGCAAUAACUUUGAGUCAGAAAAAAAACAUUAAGUUAGUUUUAAGUUGUCACGACCUGAAAUCCUAAGUCGUGACCGGCGCACAGACUAACACUCUAGUCUGGCAAGCCUGUUUCUCACAAAAAUCAUUUCCCAAAUUAUUCUCUAAAUUUACAUAUGUAUCCCUAUAUUUAUAAAAAUAAAUAUACAAGAUCUCAUCUGUAUUACCAAUAUCUCAAAUGACAAAACCUGUCAAAUAAUGAUCUCCAUUUUCAUACUUCCAUAAAAAGGAAAUUCUCAAAUUAAGCACUCAUGUGCAACUUUUACAAUAAAACAAUAAAUAACAAUCUCAAAUCUAAAUCCUCCUAAGACUCCCUAUAGCUGCAGAUAACUAGAAUCAAAUAGAAGACACCAAUAUGUCAACCUGUCAAAUGGUCUGAAUUUGACAACAGUAUGCAGUUGCCUGAAAAUCUGUGAAUGGAAAUAAUGAAUGGGGUAAGUCACAAAGACUUAGUGAGGAUUUAACAACCACCAUGAACAGGAAAGGGGAAACAAAUGAAGCACGAGUUUUUCACUAUCAGUUCAGAGUGUAUAAUAUAUAUAAAAUUAAUAAGAAUCAUUUCAAAUAAGAGAUGAUUAAACUGCCAAAGUUUAUAAAUAAUCAUUUCAAUGAAACUGAAUAAAAAUCAUGUCAAUCAUAUGAAAGCAUUUAAAAAUCAGCAAUAUAAUUUAAUAGGGUCACACAUGUAGAACCGUGAGGCGGCUCCAUCUCGUUGAUAGCCCUCUCCUCCUAAGGGAUGACCUAUCCGAUAGGGGCGGCUCCAUCUAACGGAUAGCACUUUCGUCUCUCGUAUCACAUGUCGUAUCGUAUCAUCGGGGGAAGCUACAUCUCGUUGAUAGCCCUCUCCGUGCACUGGCGGCUCCAUCUAACGGAUAGCCCUCUCCUCCCGGAAUCAAACUAGCUAGGUGCACCUAGGCCGUUACCUCCGUUAACGGCUACGGGGUUCUAUCAAGGAUCCCCAAAACCGUUUUCUCAAACCAGUUCAAGUCUCAUCAAAGUCUCAAAAUCAGCUUUCCAAGUUCAUAAUCUCAGUUUCACAUAAUUUCCAAAAUCAAGGUAAUAUAAAUUGUUUUCUCAUGUCAGUUCAGAAUCAGACUCAUAUCAUUUUCAUAAAACCAGCUUUCAGAUAAUUCACGAAUUGUAAAGCAUAUUUCCCCAAUUUAAAUAAAUAUGCAAUAUGCUAAAAUAAUCAAAUCAUCAAUUGUAUAAUUAUUAAAAGUAAGUCACAGUGAUUGGAAAAUCACUCACCAUGAAUUAGCCACUAUAAUGAAUCAAAUGGAUUGCUCCCAUCAACAUCAUAAUACCCGAAAUAGCUAGUAGCAGAAAACAUUUGAAAGAUCAACUCCAAAUAUAUCCAUUUGCAUCUUUCUUGUGCAUCAUCUAUAAUUAAUCAUAACCAAAAUAAAACAUAUUUCACUUUUUGGUCCAUGUGAGCGAGCACAACAAGCUAAAGCACCAUAAUUUAUGGUCUCACAAUCAUUAAAGAGACAACACAUAAAUAUUGAGUGCACCUGGCAUAGUAUCCUUCCAUGCGCUGCAGCAAUCUGAUUUGAACAGCAAUAUGCUCUAGAUAUUGCAAGGACAACUCCAUUCUUCUCAAUUUCUCACUAAAUCAACGAAAAAUUAACGAGCCACAACAGAUCCUUUGCGCCAAGGGCUUCCCCAUCAAAGACAUACCUUUCAAUUACGACACAACACCACGCCACACAUCAUCUCCACCAUGCUUGGGUGCUACAGUCGCAACUCCACUCUGAACGUGUGGGCGACACAACUAAUUAAAGAAGGACAGAGGUUGGAGUGGGUCAAGGGAGAGGAACACAGUUUUGCUGCCCUUGAUAGCAAAGAUGAAGGGUGUGGGGAGAUCGUGACAUGCGUGGGGAAAAUUGAAGGGGAUGUUAGGUUUCUUCUUUUGUUUUUUGCAAUGGAGAAUGGUAAUUGGGGUGUGGGGCUGCAGUGUGGGUUAGGGUAAGUUAGGUUUAGUGAGUCUUUUUUAUUUAUUUUCAAAUUUUCUAAUAAUAAAAAUAAUUAUAUAAAACAGGUCGUGUCAUAAGUCUGUUAGCAAAGCUGUAUGCAAAUGAUUUACUUGUAUCACAAGUCAAGCAUCUUCCAACCUCAUUACUUAAACAAUAAUCAAGCCUAGUGUUGUUCUGAAAACUGAGCUAUUGGAUGCGUUUGAUCUUCUACGGUGGUGCACUAUGUUGAUAGGACUUCCCAUGCACUUUUACUUUUACAUUGCAAACCGACAGGGGAGGCAGGAAUUUCGGGAAGGGGGACUAAGAUCUAAAGGAAUAUAAUUUGUAAGAAAAUUUCAAUUCUUAAAAAAAGGAAUUUGCCAAAAAAAAAAAUAGGAUUAACAAGAUAAUCUAAAAUUCGUGGACGUUUUCCAGGAUCACGAAUCAAAGCAUCAAUAUUGAUUAUUUCGUGUUCAAUCCUCAAAGCUUUUGAAGGAGGUGGUUGGAUAAGUUGCUCUACGGUUGAUUGUGUUGGUUGUCCAACUUCAACGAUAUUUGAAACAUUAAUAUCUAUGGAAGUUGGUGAAACAAAUGAAGGAAAACAAUUUGAGUAAAACAACACAAUGUGCAAAUAAAAGAUAAAUUAUAUAGUAAAGCUAUCACAACAUGUCUUUCGAGCGUAUUGAGGCUGUCACCGCUAUAAGUGUACUAAAAAGGCAGACAUCUCUCUAUUGAUUAAGUUACAACGUCCAUAUUCUGAAAAGUGCUAUAGAUAUGGAAAGAAAAGCAAUUGGUGGAGUGUUGGAAACAAAAUUGAUUAUCGCUUCUUUUUCAAGUAAAACACAAGCACCACAAAUUCUAUCACAUACAAUAAGACCAAUUAAGCAACAAAAAAGAGAAUUGAACCAAUAAAUUCAAGUUUGAACUCAUGAAAAUUUGAAUAUUCAUAAAAAGUCAUAAAUGAGAAAGUGAAGAGCAAGAGAGAAAAUUGAGAGGUUUUAAAUGUUGUAUCACCUAAACAAAAUCCCUUAUUCUCUUGUCUUGUUUGAGUUGUUUUUUAAUUAAACAAAUCCAAACAAGACAAUUAACUUUUCUUUUCUUUACCUUGUUUUUUCCUUUCUCUCUUCUAUUUCCUUCCCUCUACUCGCUUCUGUUAAUCAAAUCACGGCUUCACUGUUAUAGUAUUAUCCUAAUGUUAUGCUUUUUAAAUAGUAUAACUUUGGAUGUAUGGUCCCAUUACAUGUGAUUAUUAAAAGGAAAUAAAAAAAAGAGAGGUGCUGUGCUGUGCUGUGCUGUGCUGUGCUGUGCUGUGCUGUGCUGUGCUGUGCUGUGCUGUGCUGUGCUGUGUGUAUAAACGUAUAAAAGAAAUAAGGGGUGCUCACGUGCUGUUCAUCUCUGCCUCUUGCCUUUAUAUACUAUGCUUCAAAUUUUUUCCUUUAGAAUUUUCAAGAAGCCAGGGGUGACUAAGCAGGGGGAAGUCACCCCUGUGCUUCCGCCACUGCAAACCGAUAACCGGACCACCACCAAGAAGCAUACAAUGAUAGUCUUAUUAACCUUCUCUAUUCCAAGAGCCACUCUAAGAUUUAUGUAGCUCGUUAGAACCAUUUGUUCCCCAGUGAAACUAGUUGAAUUGGUCAUUAAUGAAAAUGAAAUCCCCAUGAUUAUAUCCCAACGUCACAAAACAAUUAUAAGACAUCAUGUCAAGCUUCCGGGAUUCACCAAAACUUCUAGAAUUUCCAUUUCAGCUAUAAUGGUUGAGAUCAUUAUUGACGUAGAUUGAUUACCUUCACCAUUGUUAUUUUUUUCUUUCCUUGAAAAUUCUAGGAGAAUCCUCAGAGUUCUUUAGAGAAUGUUUUCUACGAGCUUCCUCAGAGUUCUUUUCCCCUCAUUAAUGAAGUCCAUUCUUCAUACUUGUUGGUGGAAAGUAAAAGCUCGAUCUUCCUCUAAGCGAACGUACUCCAUACUCGAAAUAAAUUUAAUUGAAGUGAUAUGCCUGAUCAGUUUUUCCAAAAAACGACUCCACAUUUACUUGUUCUAACAUGCGCGAUGGAGGAUCCAAACCAUAAAUUUCCUCGGAUAAAGGAUCAUAAUUUGCGGCGACUUGGAGGCAAUUAGCGGCGGUUUGUAAAUAACAUGUAAAACAAAUCACUGUUUUCCAUUCACUCUAGUGCUUUCCCUUCCUCGCCAGACUUGGUCCUCUUCCACUUCCUCACCGGCCAUUUCGACCUCUACCACUCUUCCGACUCCACCUCCGACCACCGCACUCUCUGCAUCUGGUUCGUCACUGCGACAACUGGAACCCUGAGCUCAGUUACAACGCCAAUGGUUCCAGGUAUUUGAGGUUUGAGAAAUUUACUGCUUUAUUUUGUGUUUUUUAUGAUGUUUAUUCUUCUUGUUGUGCCUAUUGUUGUUGUCUUGCUGGAUUUGUAAAGGUUGAAUUGUAUACUUCUUCUGAGAUAUGCCAUUGGAGAUAAAUCACUGUUAAAUUUAAAACUGUUUGAGAUAUAUAUUUGAUAGUUUCAUCUUGUAUAUAUGAUCCAGUAGUUUUGUCAGUAAAGGAAACUAUUUGAUUCCUAACAUGCAAAACCAUCUUUAUCACUCUAGGUAUUUAUGGAGAAAUUAGAUGAGUGUUUGAAAAUGUUGAGGUGUAAAGAUUUUAACCUACAGAAAAGUUUGAUUUAUUUUAGUACCUUUUUGAUUCAUUUUUUCUCUUCUUACAUAAAUACUUGUUGAGAAGUUUAUCCUAACUAACUCAAAGCCACCCUUUUCCUAAGUCUCAGAACAACAGACAAAACAGAAAGACCAUCCAGAGGAAAUAGAAUUGAUACUUUUCUGUAGAAGCUGCGGACAUCACUGUAAUUAUGUACUCUUGGAUAUAAAAGUAGUCUUUAACUUAUCCAAGUACCUCUAGAUCUUUCACAAUUUUUUGUUUAAUUUUGUCAAAAUAUUUUUGGCUGUUAGUUAUUUUUGUCAAGUAUCAAAGGAUUCUGUUUUUGUAACUCUUAGUAAGUAAUAGCUGUUAGUUAACCUUAGUUAAUUUCUACUAGAAGCUUUUGAUGUCUUUGCAUCUAUGUAAACAUGUUUUUCUGGUAAGUCAGUUUUACAACAGAAACACCAUUCUACUAAAAAAUUUCUUUAUGUACUUUGACUAAGUUUUCUUUCUGUGCAGUUCUACAAGAAUCUGUCUACUGGGCUGAAAGAUUAACGUUUGAAAAGCAGGGCCUAUCGAUGAAGAAAAAGCUAAUGGUAAGUUUUUGAUAGGAGCUAGCAGAAUGAGAAUAGUAACAAAGGAAAGGACUGUAACUGAGAAUUUCUAUGUAACAAAGGAAAUACUACAACUGUGAGUUCUUCUGGAAUUUAGAAGUAAGAUUCCACAUUGCAUCCCACACCCUUUGGCUCCCCAAUUCCUAACUUACCCUCACUCUUUCUCUUUUUCCUACGGUAUACCACUAUACCCUCAGUGGAGUUCCAACAGUUUUUUGAUAUGUUAAUCUAAUACAGAACAUGCAAUGGAGUGAUGUGUGCUAGGUUGUUAUGCCUACCACUGUUGGUGGCACUCUAGAUGAUUUGCAUUGCAUUGUAUGUGUCACCAUGUCAGUUGCUAUCUUUUUCAGAUUUAAGAUUAUGAUUUCUCUCCAGAAUUUCAAUUUCUUGAUAUAUUUUUAUUUGUACUAAACAUUGCUUUGUUAUUAGGACUUGAACCAAAAAGUAAGUGAUCUGGAGCCUGGACCUCUAAUCUCCACCUCUGUCUUCCUUUUUUCCCUUACAUGUUAUAAAAAAGGAGGAAGAGAUUUUGAUAUGAAGAAGCAUUUUGAGAGUUGUGGAGGUGGCUAAACAGUUUGACAAAGCAUGUGGGAUGGCUAAACAGGUCAGUGUUGAAUUGAUCUGUAUUCUUUUUGUGCUGUGUCACAAGAUUAGUUUAGUCCAGCUACAUAUAUUUGUUUGACUUAACUGUCACCUUCACUGUUUAUAUCCUGAGUUAAGUCAUGAAUAUCAUCUCUAAUUACAUGAUUUUCUGGUUUAUGAAGUCAUAUCAGCUUGCUUCCUUUAAUUCAUUGGGCUUAUAAUAAUUUGUUGGGAAUACUGAACAGUACUUGACUAAUAAGAGCAUCUCCAAUAGGGGUUGCUUAAAUCCAGUUGGCAACUUAAGCAACGUUGUUUAUUUUGAAGCACCACUGGAGCAACAUGACGUGGCAGUUGGGUUGCUUAAAUUUAAGCAACGGUUGCUUAUUUAAGUAACGGUUGCUUAUUUUCUCUCUUCUUACUUUUUGACUAAAAAAUCAUAUUUUCUCUUUCAUUCAUGUACUUGUAUAGUGUCAUUACCUUGAAAUAAUAUAAAUAUAAGAGGUAUAAUGGGAAGUAAACUAAGCAACCGUAGUUGGAGCGAAUUCUGCUUGGGUUGCUUAAAUCCUAUGUGUCAGUCUGGACCCACCGAAAUAGUCUUUAAGCAACCCAACUAGCAACUAUGCAUUGGAGAUGCUCUAAGAGGUCUAUACAUGUCUGUGUGUAUCUAGUGAGAAAAUGGGAAUUUUAUAAAUUUCUGUUUUUUGGCUUGCAAAUUUUAAUGGAAUUACAGCUGAGCUGAAAAUGAUGUUGAAAAUGGAAUCAAUCAAUCGGUUGGCCAAAACUGCAGCAAAUUGAUCGUGCAGCGUAACUGCAGCGAGAAACAUUUUGAAGUGUGAAUGUGUGAUUUGAUUGAUCUUCAAGAAUAUAUAUAUAAUAUUAAUCUCAGGAACCCCAGAUAAGAAUUUGUUUAAGUGACUGGUAAGAAAGGUAGAGUAUCAUCUCUUAUCAUGUAUAAAGAGUCAUGUUUUGGAUAAAGAAAAGGUCAAGCAAGAACUUCCUUGUUAAUAGAAUAAAAUACACUCACCCCCCUCAAGGUUUGCAAGAAUGACACUCCACCCCAUUGUUUUUUAAAAUCUACACUUCACCCCAUUUUUUAUAAAGGCAAAAUUUAGUGACGAAAACAAAUUCGUCACUAAUAAAAAAUAAUUACUAAUUAGUUAAAAUUUAAAUAAAUUAAAUGCAUAUACACUAUCAUACAUCAAUUUAUGAAAAUAAUUUUACUGAAUUAAAUUUAAAAAAACCAUCUACUCUGCCUGUUAAGUCCACGUCUCAUCUAUCUCCAAAUCGUACUUCUCACCACAAACGGUCACCACCAAACCUUUGCUUCCUUUAACAUGACGACAACCAUCCCAGAAUGUGAAACCCCAUGGCACCACCAUGCCUCAAAGUUUUGUUGCGACCUGAACCCCAGAACGUGAAUCGCACAUCCCCAAAGCCACUUGUUCAACUACUUGUUGUGAACUUCACCCCUUUAAGUUGUGAGCGAACACUUUGUUGGUUUAAGAUGUUGUUGGAUUUUGUUAAAAACGGUGCUCCACCGCAUCGUUGGGUUCUAAUAACCUUCGAUCCACUUCAUAUUUCUUAAUUUUGUUUCUCUAUUUUCUUCACCACCCAUUUGUGUUGCUUUUUGGAACGGGAGGCAGCAGUGGGGAAUUUUCUACAAUGGGCGAAAGCCUGACGGAACAAUGUCGCGUGGAGGUAGAGGGCCUACGGGUCGUCAACUUCUUUUCCAGGAGAAGAAGCAAUGACGGUAUCCGGGGAAUAAGCAUCAGCUAACUCUGUGCCAGCAGCCGCGGUAAGACAGAGGAUGCAAGCGUUAUCCGGAUACAAUCCAAUUUUAAAAAUUGGAGGUAUAAAUAGAUUAUUUUGAUUAAAAUUGAAUUAUUACCAAAUAUGAAAACACAAGCAUGUUUCACUAUGUUCGAGAUAUGGUUUGUCAACCGGUCUUGUGUGCUAUUGCAGAAUUUGCAUUGUGAAUUUACGGAGGAAGAACGCGAUUGAGAGAAUGAGGAGGACUGUGAUGUUUUCAUUUUUAUAUUUAUUGGAUUAUAUUGAAAAUAUUUUUUGAAAUUAUUGAUUAACAAUUUAAAUAAUAACUAAUUAUUAAUGAAGAAUAUUUUUCGUCACUAAAUUUGCCUCUAUAUAAAAUGGGGUGGGGUGUAGAUUUUAGAUAAGAAUGGGGUGGAGUGUUAUUCUAACAAAACUUGAGGGGGGUGAGUGUACUUUACUCUUAUUAAUAAUAUAUAUUUUAUAAUUAUAAAAUCCUUCAUAAACAUGUUUUGGAUGUGUGUGUGUGUUAAGUGAUGAUAAGAGCAAUAGAUUCUCAUCUCCUAGCUCCCACAAAGAGUCGCUGCAUAAACAUUAAAAAAGAAAUAUUAAUGAUGAAGAACUCCUUAAUUUCAAAACGAGAUCAACGGCCAUGACAACCCAACGGAAAGAGAAAUAACAAGGAAGCCUUUAUAUAUAGCAGAUUCAUCAGUUAAAAUUUAUUCAUGAACGGAACCCAUUUAUAAAACCAAAUACAUCAAUCAAUCAAUAGAAGUUUAAACUCACCAAUAGUGAGUUCGUCUGCUAUAUAUUUCAGUCUUGUGAGAAGAAAUAAGCAAAUUAGUACAAGUUUUGAGGUGAAAUGGGUUAUAACAAAAUGAAGUUUGAUAGAGUGAAGCCAUUUGUAGGUGUGUUGUUCAUACAAACUGCAUAUGCUGGCAUGGAUGUUCUGUCAAAGGUUGCACUAAACGAAGGAAUGAGCGUCUAUGUAUAUGUUUUCUACUGCAAUGCUGUUGCCUUCAUUGUCACGCUCCCAUUUGCAAUAUUUUUCGAGAAGUAUGUAUAUAUGUUUCUCAGAUUGAGAUCCUUUGUCUCUAAAUGGUGUCUGCUCUUCUGUGAUUAAUUGUGUGAUUGAAAUUGAAGUUCAUUUCUUUUAACUGCAGGAACGUAAGGCCCAAGAUGACAUUUCCAAUCUUUAUAAAGAUAGUGGCCCUCGGCUUGCUUGAGUAAUUAAUUUAAAUUCCCUAGCAAGCUAAACACAUGAACUCUCUUAAUUAAUUAUCCAUGAAAAUUAGUAUAAUCUUGCUUAAUUGACUCUGAUAUUUUUGUAUUUUAUGGCAGGCCAGUUAUUACCCGAAAUUUUUAUUUUUCUGGAAUGAAGUACACAACGGCAACUUAUGCUGUUGCCAUGGCCAAUAUCCUUCCUGCCACCACCUUUAUCAUGGCUUGCAUUCUUAAGUAAUAAACAUUCACUGUCACUGGGAUGUAUAAAAGUAAUUCGAAUUUGGUUAUCACAAUAUUAUUAACAGAUGAACACAACUUAUGUGAACUAAUUAAUCAACACUGCAGUGGAAUAUAGCGUAUAAUAAAUUUCAUUUGUCUGGUUUUACCCUGUAGGCUUGAGAUGAUAAAAUUUAGUAGUAUACGUGGUCAAGCAAAGGUGGUUGGGACUUUAGUCUCUAUUACAGGUGCAUUGGUCAUGACACUUAUUAAAGGCCCGGUGCUUAAGCUUUUCGGGACACACCGCGACGAUAGCAACAGCCACGACGAGCAUGUUGAUGGUGGUUUAAAUGUUCAUCAAGCAGUAAAAGGAUCAGUGAUGAUCUUAACUGGAUGCAUUUGUUGGUCUUGUUUCAUAAUUCUCCAAGUAAGUGUUUCUUAAAAUAAAACUCUCAAGGUUUCAUCAGUGUCAAUUUCUUUUUAACUUGAUGGGGUUCCCUAUAUAAUAUAGAGUUUCAUCUCUUUAUCUAGUCUACUACCCUUGAAGUCUACCGUGCUGAGCUCUCUCUUUCGGCAUUGAUGUGCCUAUCUGCAACAACUGGAGCGGGCAUAUUGGCCCUGGUUAUGGAAAGAGGCAAUCCAUUGGCUUGGUCUCUGAAUUGGGAUUCAAAACUUCUAGUUGUUGUCUACAGUGUAAGUUCUUUACAUUUAUUUGCAAACAUUUAUUACAUUGUCCUGAAUCAAUUUUAAAAAUAUUGAGCUGCAGGGCUUAGUUUGCUCAGGAAUGGUUUAUUACGUUCAAGGAAUAGUGAUGAAAUAUAGAGGCCCAGUGUUUGUAACAUCUUUUGAGCCACUGUGCAUGAUCUUUGUGGCUAUCUUGGGAUCCAUCUUUUUGGCGGAGCAACUGACUCUUGGAAGGUAAUUUUGCAAAUUGAAUCCCAACCAGAACACAUGCUCAAUGAAAAAAAAAUUAAACUAAAUUAAGGAAUCUAAUUAAUUUUUCAGGAUGAUCGGCGCCAUUGUCAUUAUUAUAUGUAUCUAGUAGUGUGGGGGCAAAGCAAAGACUGCAAAUUACCAUGUACAAUUAUCAAAAAAGAGAAUACAGUGCUGGCUAAGCAAACUGCAGAUGAGAGCAACACAAAAGAAGAGCACUCUAACCAUAAGGUCAUCACUAUCUGUAACUCUGGUGUUGGUGAAGAAGUAUGAGGUUGUUUAUAUUAGUUAUUAGUUAUAAGUGAUGAGAUUGUUUAUACUGCAUACAAGUGAUGAGGUUGUUUAUAUUGCUCCUCACCUGUGAUUAAAGUGAAGAAAGGUUCUGGACCAUUAGGGAUCUUUGACCGACCAGGUUGCCCGUAACCCGCUUGGAUCUCCAUCUCCGCCGGCUGACCAAGCACACGCUACUUUAGUCAACCGUCUGAUGGCAGAAAUGUCUUCUGUGUAUAGUACCACCACUUAAGAGGCUCUGUUUAUAUGAGGAGGCCCUCACACCUUGUAUCAUCAUGUUCAUAUGAAUUCUUUGAUUUUAGGGGUUUUUCAUGAGUAGGUUCAAUUGGAAAUACAACUACAAGUGAUCUAUGACUUACUAAAAAUAAUGGUUCUAACUUGUUGUCAUCAACUGCAAUUGAGACCGCAGCAUCAAUGUUUUUGGGGCUCACAACAACUGCAUCAUGACUGCAAUGACAACCUCAUGUGACUAGUGAUAAUUUAAUCAAGUAGACAUUUAACACCAUUUUUUAAUUAGAUUUAGAAUAACUGCCAUAUGGUCAUACAAGUAGAUACCCAGAAAUAUAUCAUAUAUCAUUACUAUACAUAUACAAGCGAACCUUCCCCAGCACAUGAUGCUAGUGAGGCAUCAUCAGUCCAUAAUCAGUUUUAUGAAUACAAGUUUUAUAAUUGUACUAAAAACUGUAUGUAGCAUAAUAUUGUACAAUUUACAAUCAUUCUUACUAUUGCAAUUUAAAAUUUACAAAUAUGAUAAUAACAUCAAUUUUCUCUACCUCAAAAUUUGCUGUGUCAUGUUGCAUAUUGACAGCUCUCCUAGUUACCAGAGUUGUGGUGUGUUUAAAGUGGUGAGAUUUUCUGUCCACUCCACAUUGAUCAUCAACUCUCCACCUAAAUUCCACCAAAAAUCUCUUGUAAAAAAUUACACUAGGAGAUGUUUAUGGUACAUGAAAAAGAUACCAUAAUGUACCCCAAAAGAUGGAUCCUAAAGUACUUAUUUUUUUAUCCAUUCUUCUAAAAUUCCUCAUCAGAUUAAUAUUCUUCAUAGAGGUAUCCCCAGUUCUGGAUAUAGAUGCAUGAUGAUUAGCCAUCCAAUUCCACACACUAGGCCCACCAGCUGCGGCAACUUAGUGAUUGAGCCAACCUUGAAAAUCGCACGGUCUACAUGGUUGAAAAUCCAUAAACAAUAGAUUUUGGAGCCAGAAUCAAUUUUGCGGAGAAGCUUCUGUGAACAGCUUCUGGACCAUAGAAUUACCUCGGCGCGCUGACUAUGCAACUUUGAGCUCUUGUUAGCAACAUAAGCUGCUCUUCUGCUUGGACUUUAGCAGCGCAUGUGGAUGAAAAUGCAGCACUUGUCAAUGGUUUUAAGGAGCAGGACCUGGUGACAGUGGCAGCAGAAGGAGUGAGAUUCUUACUUGACUUGUCCACUUGAACUGAGAAUAGUGAAGACACUGGCCUGUGGUCUGAGAAUUUGGACUCUCCUCGCACAUACCACAUCUGAUUGAGGCCUUCCCCUUUCCACAGAAUUCGAUCACACCUGUUUUGAAUAAGAACUCAGAUAUAAGAACUCGAUCGGCUCAAGGGUGAAGACUGCUCUACCUUUUUUAGGACUUAUUUAGUCAUAUUUAUUGUCAAUGUGUGAGCUUAACAACAUUGCACGGUCAUCUGAUUAACGUUUCAAAUGGAGUACGAUUCUAGUUGAUGACAAAAACAGGUAUUUUACAUUAGCAAAAAUCUCUGAAAGCUUACCAAGCAGGGGUUCUUGGUUUUUCCUUGGACUUGGAGGUUUGGGCCACAUAUUGGUCAGAAUUGGUCAAGUACUUGUAUGUAGGAGCAAAGUAUAUGCUUCCUUCAUUCCACCCUUUGAAUACUCUACCAGCUCUCUGCUCUAUCCUUAGCUGCCAAUAGUGGAGUCAAAACAACAAUGUGUUAGGGACAAAGAGAUAGAUUAGCCUUGAAGAACAUGCUACUAACAAAAUUCACAUGUCAAAACAUAUUUGGGACACAAGAUUUCAAUCCAUAGUCAACUAAAUUACCUGAUCCUUCUCUAGUAAUGCCUCCCAAUCAUUCUUCUUUAGAAGCUCGUGUGUAUCAUCGUAACCAGCAGCAAGGCGAUAAUUCAAAUCCCCAAGCCAAAUAAUAAUGCUAUUGACACAUGAAAAUAUUAAAUAGACUAUCAGAACAAAUGCCAUCCAUGGUGAGAAGAAAAACACAACAUUAAAAGAAAAGUGCAUAGCAAUGAAUCAAUGAGGAAUGAACUUACUCAUGUUCUAGUAUGGUUUGUGGGUGAAGAAGGGACUUAAAGGAGUGGCAAAAUUUAGUUUUCUUCAAGAUUUCAGACACAUCCAAGUUUCUUCGCAACUCGUCACCAAAUUUCUCUCCAGAGGCUAAGUGGGUGCAUACAAAGCAGAAUGUGGUGUUGUACAAUGUCAUGCUAAUUGAUAUUGAACCCUGUCAUAUCAACAAGAAGAUAACAUAACAAUGUAAGUAACCAUAAAGUCAGUUUCAAAAAAAAAAAAAAACCAUAAAGUGAAGGGUGAAGGGUCCCGAGUUUGAACUCUGAGAAUAAACUAAUUUACUAAUAUUACUAACAUUUGCCUAUAAAAAAAAAGCAAUCGCAAAGUAUAAUCAAGCAAGGAAUUAUGAGAUACCUUGUUUCCAAGAUAGCCCAUGAUGCCUCUGCCAACACAGGAGAGUUUUAAAUUGGUGAGAUGGUUGCAAAGAUCAGCUCGGACCCACACGGACAAGAAGACACCAACCAUUUGCUUGCUUGUUACUUGGCAAUAGUGUCUGGAAUCAGAAUCACUCGUGAGAUACGAGGUAAGAGGAGAGGUUGUUUCUGUAUCAAUAAUAUCAUUGGUGUUCAAGGCUUCACGAAUGAGGGCCAGCCACUUUGAUGCUGGGCCACUGUCCUCCGGUCCAAGCACGUUCCCUGCGUUUAGGGGCACAAUUUCUUGGAACCUAACCAACCACGUCCAAUGAAAAAAAAUAUUCAUUUGUCUUUGUACAAUACAAGAUAAAAGUUACAUCAAAAUAGUAAGUUAAUUUUAUUUUAUUAAAGUUGCUUGAAAUUUGUACACGUUCUAAUAGUACAAAUAGGAAGGAAGAGAGAAAAAAAAGCUUUAUGGUAAAUGUGUGUGAAGUGUCUACAAAUGUUUAAUGUUUAGAUGUCUAGUUAUUUUAUAAAAAUAAUUGUAAGAAUACACUAUUGGACUUCUUAAAUUAUACUAAUAAACUAGUCUAAGUAGGUGAAAACUGGUAGUGCAUACAUAUGGUGAGUUUGAAUUAGUUUACUCUUAAAAAUUAAAAAAGGUUUAGUGAUUGAUACAUAAAAGUUAACAGGUGGAGGAGAGAGUAGAAAUUAAAGAAAAGAUACAGAAAAAGUAAAUACCCACCCAAUAACAUAAAUGUCAGCUGGAGAAUGAGACGUCAGCCAACUUUUCAAGUUCAAUCCUUCAUUCGGUGACUUCCCUCCAACAUUCCACGUCCCAGCAAACAUCCUAUUCAACACCACCAAAUCCCACAUCCAUCAUUUUCUAUUUUUGAAGUCAAGACUUGAAAAAUAAGUACAUAUAACUUGAAAUUUCAGGUUCAAUUGAUGGAAGUAUUUACCUAAGGUUCAUAGCAUUAGUAGUGACAUGACUUGUUUCCUUCUCUCCUACUGCUGAACCUUUCAUUCCAUUUGUAGAAUCCUUCAACCAAUCUUCAUUGAAAAUAAAGCAAAUACUAAUUAUUUUAGCAGCCAAAAGGAAACAAGAUACAUUAACAUGAAAAUAAUAAUAAUAACAUCAGCCAUUAAACCUAAUAAGCUAGGCUUCUGCCUGCAUCAAGUUGUUGAGGGCUGUAUGUAGUAUAGCGGCAAUCAAGCUUUAUUUCCGCCUAAAACUACUUUAAAAAUAAAAUUUUAAAUAACAAUUUUAUGUUAGGUGCAAGUAUUGUUAAAUGAGUACUUGAAUAGAUAAAAUAAGAAAAGAGUAGAAAUUAAAAUUAAAAGUAUGAUAAUUCCGAAUAGAAUGAAAAAUUGUAGUAGCCGAUUUUUUUUUACUUAUUGAAAUUGAAUUUGAGAAUACUAUUUUAACUAACUUAUAAAUUAUGGAUUUAUUAAAUAAAAAAAGAUUAAAAAAUCUGCAAAGCGUGUAUAAGAGAGAUUAUAAUCCUCUCAAUUGUUAAAAAAAAGAAAAAUUAACCAUGUCAAAUUUCAUCAUCUAAUCAUUGAUUUCAGAGUGGUACAUAGAAAAUUACCUGAGAAAUGAUCAGGUACGAAAGCGUUACUAUCUUGGUCGGAGCAACUAUUUUUCCUCUCUGUUACACGGCAAUUAUCUGAAUGGAACUUGGCAUCGGAAUUGCUCUUUACAUUCAGCCACUUCCUCACAGCUAACCAAGAAGACUACAACACAAAAUUGAAAAAUAAUAAAUAAACAAAAUCCAAACGAUAGUUUUCAAGAGAACAUGUGAAAAGAGCAUUUUAUUAGCACACUUGAUGAUAGCGAGUUAUUGCAUGCAUACCUUGGAUUUCCUUGACUCUGUUCUCAUUGCUCCUCCACCUUCUGAUCUUUUCACUUAGUUAAACUGAGCCAAAUCAUAACCAAUUCAACAAUCAGAAAAAAAAUUCGAUAUAUAUAAUAUAACAAGUGACAGUAAAAUAGCAAUGGAUGCAUAAGAUUAUCCAAAUCCAUGAAGGGAAUCUUAUUUUAUAUAAAAAAUUGAAUCAAGGGAAAUUUUUUAUUCAUUGAAGGACACUAUAAAUGGAAAAAAAAUAGAAAGGUUUCCUUGUACGAGAAAAUUGUUAAACUAUUACUGAUCGGCGGUUUUCAACGGCAAUAUUAUAAGACCAAGUUGCAGGAGGAACGGGGACAGUUUCUGAAUUCAAUAGAAAAAAAAAAGGCAUAUAAAUAUUACAACAACAAAGUGAUAGAGAAGAAGAAAAGGCCAGGUUCAACGUUUUCUAUAUAAGUUUUGCACUUUACAGACAAUAAAACAGUGUAAGCGUUAAGAAAACUAUUGCAGAGAAUCACACAACACAUGGCGGUUGCUCACUAGUAUUUUAAAGUGAUCAAGAUUGGAAAGUUAUUGCACCUUUUUUUUUUCCUGACAGAAAGAGAGAAAUUAGACUACUCAUGAAAGAAGAAAGCACAUACAUGAAUCAAUGAAAGCAAAUCAAUCUCACAUGACCCACAAUCAGAUUCUACAAAGUUUGCCUACUCAGUGUUUCUUAGAGGGUGGUGCAAAUGAAACAAGACUAAAAAAGAAACAGAGAAAACAGGACAAUAUAUAGUAGUUAUUGAACAGAAGGAAACGCAGGAGGAACGGUUAUUGGAACGUGGGUCAGCUCAAUGGCAUUGCAAAAGAGAGUAGUAGUGAUAUACGUGACGGUUUUUGAGAAGGAAAAAGAUAACUACUGAGUGAAGAGUGGAAGAGAAAUUAUUAGUCCUGCUAAAAGGAAAUGGCAAGGUAAUUAAACAGAUCAAGAACAUAAUAAAGAAGAACUUACAAGAAUGAUCAAAGAGAAGGCUAUAAUUUCUGAUCCCAGCUUGGAUGAGUAAUGGAACAGGGGAGCACAGGAGAAGGGAUAGCGAUGUACUAUAACGUGUUUUGGCUUUCUUGGUUUGGUGGUGUUUGGGAAAGAGUGCAGAAGAGGAGUUUGGGGGUGUUUCACUUCCUCGGAGAAGGAAAAAAAAAAAAUAGUAGUGAUGUGUUGUGACUAUCAAAUCUGUGGAUUUGGCUUUCAAGUCAAAUUUUAUUUAUAUAUAUGUGCUGAGAUUUGAGACUCACAAAGAGGGUGAAAAAGCACCUUUACACUUAUCCACGAUCCACCUCAUCAUUUCUUCAAUUCCUAUUUGGGUUUGAAUAAUGUUAGGUUGAGACUCUAAAAAGGCCAACACACUAACACCUAGCAACAUAAAGAAGAAAAUAGAGAGGUAAAAUAAAUAUGUGAUAGGAACAAAUUAAAUGGGAUAAUUAUGAAAAGAAUGUGAGUGAAUAUGAGAUAUAAGAGAGAGUAAAGUAUGUGAAUGAUAAUACUUUCUUUUUGGUUAAUCAUAUAUUUCUUGUGUUAGAGUGAAUACGCAUCUAAGUCUCACAUCAGGCAGCGUGAAAAAUAAAGAAGUGGAGGAUUUUAGUUUGUCGGUUUUUAGCUCAUGUGUUCUUAUCCUCAAUUUUUAUUGUAUAUUCCACUUUUUAUUUCCUUUGUAGAUGGGUUGAAAUACCUUUAGUAUUUCUUUUUAAUACAAUUUUACUUAUCUAAAAAAUUGUAUUGAACUUGUGUAAAUGUGUGUCAUUUUAACGGUUUGUAAUACUGUUCUUAAAUUUUGUAAGAGUUUGCAAUUUUAUUCUUUUAAAACUUAUUGCAGUU